Molecule: long non-coding RNA, 100259 nt
Filed under: Capsicum annuum
Lineage: Eukaryota; Viridiplantae; Streptophyta; Magnoliopsida; Solanales; Solanaceae
Description: long non-coding RNA (CANN_LNC012164)
Source: RNAcentral
CUAUGCUGUCUUGAAGUUUCUACAGGAGCACAGUCAAACCAUUUGGAUGAUAAUUUGGUAAUUCCUUAUAUCAUAUGUUUUGUUGUCAACCAUGAUUGAGAUCCAAGGUCACAUUGAUCCAUUAAAACACCCUUUUAUUGCACAAUUAAAAUGGUAAGCAACUUCCACUAUUAUUCCUAAGAAUCAGCAAAUUCAUAUCAAUAGUGUAUUGUUUUGUGACGAAAAGGCAAUAAAAACCCAUGUAUAUAUUUUCUUCUUGAACAGAUAAGGACAGUCAUGGAUUGUUUGUCACAAAUGUAACGGAACAUCAUCUAUACUCGAAUGAAAUAAGAAGUUGUGAGCCAUUCAUUUGUUAUUUACGGAAAGGCAUCAACCAAAAUGCUCAGACACAACUUGUAUUUAGAGAUACUUUUCGACAAACAGCUUGAACUUAGAACAUUGAUCGCAGCCCCAUGUUUCCAGCUUAGAUGCAUAUACUUAAUCUAGCCAGUAAACAGAACUAUUUCCUUGAUGCAGACAGGACAUACAAUUUUCAUCACAAAGUAAUAAUUGCUAAAGACUCGACUACAAUGAAAUCAGCAAGCAAGUAAUAAUAGUGAUAUAUCUAAUAGUAAAUGAUACCUCAUUUGUCUCCGAGCCAGUAGCAAUGUAACCUUCAGAUACAGAUAAGCCAACAAAGUUCUGAAAAGAGGGAAUACUUUUGUUAAAAGCACAAUUAAUAUUCCAUCUCAUUCACAGUUAAAAGCACAUUUAACCGCAACUGAAGUACAAUCUCAUUUCUAAGAAAAAUACCUUUACAUUCAUGUGUCCGGUAAAUGACUGAAGAGGCGAAUCAAGAAUUCGAGAUGUGCAAAUUGACAAAUCCCAUAGCUUUAUCGUGUUAUCUGUAGAUGCAGACACAAGAGUUGUGGAAUCUAUGAACUUGACAUAACUCACGGUCUUGUUAUGCCCGAUUAAUGUGCAUAGAGGCAUUUUUGAGUUACGUAGAUCAUAAUAAUAUAUCCUGUGAUCUGCAGAACCAAAAGCAAGGGAGCGACCAGAAUCAAAGGGGAAUUGAACGCAGCAGACAUUGGCUUUUGUUUUAAUGGUUCCAACACUUGCUCCCUGCAGUACCAACCCAGGUAAGAAAAACAAUUUAUUACACACAGGUUUUAUCUACACAUCGACAUAACUAGAUGACUUUAGUACGUUUAGUUUCAAAGCUGACAUCCACCAAGUGCAAAAAUAGAAUUGCCUGAUUGAUAUUCCAGAGCUUGACAGAACCAUCAUCACUCCCGCUGGCCAACAUGGUUGGAUCGGCUACAGAAAAGUCAACAGACCAGACACGCCUUUCAUGUUCUCUCAUUUCCAUGAAAAGCUGACUUCUUGUGACGUCCCAUACCUGGAAAGGAAUUCAACAAAUUUCAUCACAACUAAAUUAAAUAGAAAAGCGACCAUAAUCAUGAAUAUAGCUCACCUGCACCACGCCUUCAAAGUUACUUGAAGCGAUCUGGCUUUUAAUAUAGCCAUUCCAACAUAUGCUGCUUAGCUUAGAUCUACUAGACAUUUCAACAACUGGAUAGUGGAUAUCACGGUCCGCAUUUACAAUUGAAUUAUAUUCAAAAACUUUGAUCUUCUUAUUUACACCAGCAGUUGCAAAAAAUUCACCAUCACGAUCAAAGCCUAGAGCACAUACAAGAUUGGAAGAAUUCAGAAGAUCCCCUUGCUUCAAGUCGGCCUUCACUUCCAGCUUGCUAUAAGAUAGAUACUUGCACAGGCCCUCCAGGAAUGAACUGAUCGAUCCACUCUGUCUAUCCUCAUUGCACCCCUCUUUUGAUGACAAAUUACUCAAUGAACUUCUUUCGGGUGCUAUUCUACAAUCCGUACUUGCCUGAGAAUGUCUAUUCAAUGGUUUGCCAAUUGGUUUGAUAACCCUACGUCUUGUCAUGAAAUAAGCUGCCUCCAAUUUCCUGAAGUUCUUCAUCAACCGGGAAUUUUUUGCCAGAAUGCUCCCUUUGUUUUCAACAUGCUUCUCAGACUCAUCUGGAUUGCCAUUGGAUUCCUCAGUUGCAUGAGUAGAAAAGCCUGGCCUAAAUCUCUUUCUAGAUCCAACGUACCCAGCAUCGUCAUCUUCAGCAAUAUUUAUCUUCCCCGAACCUAAAUCCUUUACUGGCUCCUGAUUUGAUCCGCUUUUAACUCCGAGGGUCUUCUGCAUCUUUGAGACCUCUUCUAUGUCAGACGAUAAAAAAGAUACAAUCUCAUGCAAAUUGUGCAUAGCCUCCUGCUUUCGCUGUUGAAUCAGCAAAAGGAAUUCCAGCAAUAACUCUUGCUCCUCUAUUUUUUCUCUAAGCUGUAUUGCUGCUUCACGUUCUUGAAACUCAUCUCUUGGAGCAUUAAGGAACUCGCUUUCUAGCAGCUCACUGCCAUCGAUGGAAAAAAAAGAAUCAGAAUAACAAGGACAAAGGAGACAGGGACGUUGCUGUUAAACGAAUUAAGAUAGAAGUGACAGUAGAUUCUUCAAGUGAAUCAUUAUUGACGCCUGAAAUGAAUCUGUAAACAGGUAAAGGCUUCCAUUUAAUGCAACAAUAAAAACAACAUACCCAGUGAAGUCCCACAAGUGAGAUCUGGGGAAGGUAGAGUGUUCGUAGACCUUACCCCUACCGAGGUAGAGAGGCUGUUUUCGAAGGAUACUUGGCUCAGGUGCAACAAAUCAAAAUAGUUAUGGAAAGGAAAAGUGGUCGUGGAAAAAACAUAGCAACUAAUAAAGAAAGCAGUGCAGAGCAUUCAGAAAAGGAACAUUAACAACAACAAAACAGUGUGGUAAACGAAACACAAAAAAAAACAGAUGGUAAUAAAUAUCAAAAAGCAAGACACUACAUGAAUAGGCUAAUCCUGUCGAAAAGCAAGACAACACUCAAUUACCUACUCACCUUCUACCCUAUCUACAACCUCCAUACUUUCCUAUCUAAGGUCACGUCCUCAGUAAGGUCAUGUCCUCAGUAAGCUAAAGCUAUCCCACGUCCUGUCUAAUCACCUCUCACUUAAUGCAAAGUAGUAGAAAACUUUCCUCAAUUCUAUUUAUUGCUCUCUCAUCAAGUCUUAAGUGCUCUUUUUCCAUUCUCUUCCUUUUACUUCUAACACGGUGCAGGAAACAUUUUGCAGCAAUCAAAGUUCAAACAAAUUGUGCAGGUAAACAGCAAUAAUAUGGCCGAAUUUCCAUAGCAACAAGCUGAUAAUACUUUAAGAUGCCACUGACGAGAAUGGAACAGUAUUAUGCAAAGAGCAGCAAAGCUGUUGAUCAGUUAACUAAUAGUUUUGCCAGUAGACAACCACACCCCUCACUACUCCUAAUGAGUUGCACCCACCAAGAAGUAACCUUGGGUCAUCUCAUCAACCAAAGAGGGAAGAGAAGAGGAAUGAAUUAAUGCUGUUGCAAGAAACGCAAGCAUGCUUUGCUACAUUUUCCUUCUUUCCUGUAGUAACAUUUAUUCAUCCAUGCACAAAACUCAACAUACCAUGACUUCAUUAGAUAAGAUUUUGCUACCAGAAACAAAGUGUGCGUGCUAUGUCAAUUUUGCUGAAUGAUCUCUCAAGUUGAGAGUUCUGUCAUUAAAUAGAAAGAAUUCUCCUUGUACAUCCCUAAAGAUCUGCCAUGAAUCCCCUAAUAUCUGCCAUGUAUCCCCUAAUAUCUGUCAUUCCUAACUAUUACAUCUCUAAGAGUAUUUCCUAUAUCUAAGUAUUAAAAGCUUCCAGCUAAUCUGGCUAUCACUGAAAUCUGUCCAGAAAAUCUGCUGGACAGAUAUAUGUCUAUUAUCCUAACAUCCCCCCUCAAAUUGAUGCCGGUGAAUCAAGAAGCAUCAAUUUGCCCACUAGAAACUGAUGGUGUUGCCGUGCCAUGGAGUUUGUAAACGCAUCGGCGAUUUGAAGAUCACUGGAUACAUGUGGAAGAGUAAUGACUCUCUUAUCUACACAUUCUCUGAUAUAAUGACAAUCCACUUCAAUAUGUUUGGUCCUUUCAUGAAAAAACGGAUUGGUGGCAAUCUGAAUAGCACUUGUGUUGUCAGUGCGGAGAGGAGUGGGAUUAGAUUGAGGAAAUCCAAUUUCUGCAAGUAAACCACGAAGCCAAACAAUCUCGGAGCAAGCAGUAGACAUUGCUCGAUAUUCAGAUUCAGUUUAAGAUUUUGAAACACAGUCUUGCUUCUUGCUCUUCCAAGAUAUCAAAGAAUCUCCAAGAAACAUGCACCAACCCGUGACGGAGCGACGGGUGUCAGGACAUCCAGCCCAAUCAAAAUCACUAAAUGCAUUAAGCUGAAUUAGAGAACCACUACGAAAGAAUAAUCUACGAGUAGAUGUUCCCAAGAGAUAUCGAAUGAUGCGACGGACAACAACCAAAUGUAGAUGACGGGGAGCCUGCAUAAAUUGACUUACUUGUUGAACUGCAAAAGAGAUAUCAGGCCGACUAAUAGUAAGAUAAUUUAGGCUCCCAACUAAUUGUCGAUACAAAGUUGGAUCAGGAAGAUCUCCUUCCUUGCGAUGAUACUUUACAUUCAAUUCCAAUGGAGUAUUUACAUAGGAAGAUUCUUGAAGACCAGCCAAAGUAAUCAAAUCUUGAGUAUAUUUUUGUUAGUUCAAGAACACACUGAGUAUAUUUUUGUUGGUUCAAGAACACACCUAAAGAAUCAUAAUGAACUUCCAACCCUAAAAAGUAUGUAAGAGUACCAAGAUCUUUCAUAUGAAAACAAUCCUUUAGCUGCUGUUGGAGGCUAGUGAUUAGUGAAGAGUCGGUUCCUGUGAUAAUAAUAUCUACAUACACCAAAAGAAGAACACAACUUGCAGAUGUUUGUCAAAGAAACAAAGAUGAGUCAUAUUUGCUCUGCUCAAAAGAGAACUGAAACAAAGUAGACCGGAACUUGUCAAACCAAGCUCUGGGAGCUUGUUUUAAUCUAUAUAAAGACCGCUUCAACUUGCAGACAUCUGAUGUAGGUGAUGAGAACAAACCAGGUGGGGGUUUCAUAUAAAUAUCUUCUUUGAGAUCACCAUGAAGAAAAGCAUUUUUGACAUCCAUCAGAUGAAGAGGCCAAUUUUGUGACGCAGCAAUGGCAAUAAUAGUGCGCACCGUAGUCAUUUUUGCUACAGGUGCAAAAGUCUCCUCAUAGUCCACACUAUACUCCUAUUUGUUUCCAAGAACCACUAGACGAGCCUUGUACCGAUCAAGAGUUCCAUCGGAAUGAAGUUUAAUUGAAUAAACCCAUUUACAUCCAAUUGGACAGACAUUUGAACAACAAGGAACAAUGUCCCAUGUGUUAUUUUCUUGAAGAGCCAAAAGUUCCUCUUGAUUUCUGCCAACAUUCAAGCUUGGAGGUUCAUGAGUAACCUGUUGGAAUAGACAUAGUGGAUAAAGUAGAAGAAAAACCAUACCGUUUAGGACUAUGAGACACUCUUGUAGAUCGCCGACGGGGUUCAAGAGGAGCAGACCUUGAAAAAAUCUCAGAUUCUGGUUGUGGAGCAGUCUCAGGUGGCGGAUCCAUUUCGGAAUGGGGUAAAGUUGGCCGACGUCGUUCAUACACAAAUCCGGGUUUGAACCGCUUAGAAGAAAAUGAAAAAUCCUCAAAAGUUGGAAGAAGAGGAGAAAUAGAAGAUGACUCAACAUGGGUGGGAAAGAAAGACUGAUUUUCAAAGAACACAACAUUUCUAGAAACACGAAAUUUGUUAGAACUUGGAUCAUAACAAAUAAAACCUUGGUGUGAAGUACUAUAACCCAUAAAAGCACAUUUAGUAGACUGAACAGAAAGUUUAUUGUGUUAAGAAGGAGGUAGGUGCACAAAACAAACACAACCAAAUGUAUGAAAACUACUGUAGUUAGGAUACUUGUGAUAAAUACGAUAAUAUGGAGACUCAAGAUUUAACACUUUCAAUGGAAGUUUAUUAAUCAAAUAAACAGCAGUAGACAAAGUUUUCACCCAGUAUUUAGAUGGUACGGAUGACUCAAUCAAUAAAGUACGAGUGACAUCUGAAAGAUGACGGUUUUUAUGCUCAGCAACCCUAUUUUGUUGUGGUGUGUAUGGGCAAGAGCGUUUUGAGAUGAUCCUUUUCUCAAGUAAGAAAUUAUUGAAUUCAUGAGACAUACAUUCUCCACCAGAAUCAGAUCUUAGUAUUUUGAUACAUGUGGAAACCUUUAGACAUAUACAUGUUGAUUGAUGAGUCGCAACAAGGUGUUAAUGAUAAGCUAGAGGUUUGGCGACAAACCCUGGAGGCUAAAGGUUUUUGAUUGAGUAGGACUAAGACGGAGUACUUGGAGUGCAAGUUUAGUGACUCGAGGCAAGAGGAGGAGGUGGUAGUGAAGUUGGAUUCCCAGGCGGUUUGCGAGAGGGAUAGUUUUAAGUAUCUUGAGUCUACGAUUCAGGGGAAUGGAGAGAUAGAUGAGGAUGUCUCUCACCGUAUUGGGGCAGGUUGGAUGAAAUGGAGGCUCGCUUCGGGAAUUUUAUGCGAUAAGAAGGUGUCCCCCAAGCUGAAAGGUAGAUUUUAUAGCGUUGUGAUCCGGCCGGCUAUGUUAUAUGGAGCAGAGUGUUGGCCAGUUAAGAAUUCUCAUAUCCAAAAGUUGAAGGUGAUGGAAAUGAGGAUGUUGCGUUGGAUGUGUGGUUUUACAAGGGCUGACAAGGUUAGGAAUGAGAGUAUUCGAGAGAAGGUGGGAGUGGUGUCGGUGGAGGAUUAAAUUGCGGGAAGUUAGGUUGAGAUGGUUUGGUCAUGUGAUGAGGAGAGGCACGGAUGCCCCGAUUUGUAGGUGUGAGAGGUUGGCCUUGGACGAUUUCAAGCGGGGUAGGGGUAGACCGAAGAAAUACUGGAGGGAAGUAAUUAAACGUGACAUGGAGCACUGGGGACAUGGCCCAGGAUAGGAAGGUAUGGAGGAAAAACAUUAGGAUAGAGGGCUAAGGUGUGAGGUUGCAUCGUAGGCAAUAGUUAGGAGGGCUUUGGUGUCCUUGUUUGGCAGUGUCCAAUAUUUUUGGUGGAUGUCAUACCUAUGUUAUUUUAUCAUGUUCCAUGCAUUUUUUUUUAUAUAUACUGUCCUUUGUCUUGAGUCGGGGUUGUAUCGAAAACAGCCUCUCUACUUCUUUAAAGGUAGCGGUAUGGACUGCGUACACUCUACCCUCCCCAGAUCCCAUGAUGUGGGAAUAUACUGGGUUUAUUGUUGUUGUUGUGGAAAACUGAUUCUCAAUGUAAGCCAAAAAUUUCUUCAACAUGGAAAACACUUCAGAUUUGGAUCGAAGAAAAUACACCCAUGUAAACCAACUAUAAUCAUCUAUGAAUGUCACAAAGUACUAGAAAUGAGCAUGUGAAACAAUUGGUGAAAUGCCCCAAACAUCACUAUGAAUUACAUCAAAACACUUCGUAGCACGACUACCAAAAUCAAGAAAAGGAACAGUUUUACUUUUGCUUAAUUUACAAGUAGAACAAUCAAAGGAAGCAACUGAAAAUUGAUUUUUAUUUCCUAAUAGGCUAGAGUUUGAUAAAUGAGACAACACAAUUGAAUUGGGAUGUCCUAGAUGCUUAUGCCAAACCUCCGUCUUACUAGUUAUAGAAGUACAAGCAAAAGAUAGAACACAAGGAAUGGAAAAGUGCAUAGGAAACAAUCUUCCAACUUUAGGCCCCUUCGCGAUUAUCGUCCCCGACACCUGAUCCUGCACAAGGCAACCAUUACGAGAAAAUUUCACAUCACAAUUGUCAUCUACUAAUUGACCAACUGAAAUAAGAUUAGUGGAGAGCUUUGGUGAUACAAAAACAUUCUUGAAAGUUUCAAUAAUAUCCCCAACUUUGAUAAUGGGUAAAUUACUACCAUUGGCCACCUGAAUUUGUGAGAGAUCAUGAUACUUACGAACAUUUUUUAGCUCACUAGUUGAGUUGGUCAUAUGAUUGGAAGCACCAGAAUCAACAAGCCAAAGAUUAGAUGGAAUAUUGUUACCUUGUAGCCCCAAGACUAAAAGGGCUGACACAAUCAUUUGUUGUACCAUUUCAGGAGUAAGAACUUGUCCCGUUGCCGGAGUAGCAAAUUGGUUGUUAGUUACGGUUGAAUAUGAGUUAUCAGAAGUGGAACCAUUUAUCUCCUCUUGGAAGGCAUUGAUCCUACAAUUUUGAAGACAUAUGGGACAAUCCUUGACUAUAUGCCCGUGUUGUUUACAAUAAUUACAAAACUUCUUACCACAAUUGCUCCCAAUAUGGCCAUAUUGCUUGCAACUGUAGCAUUGAAUUUUGCUCAUAUCCCUACCCUUUCCUCUUCCUCGAGCAGCAAAUGCAACAGUCUGAAUGUUUUCUUGCUUGAAAGCAUUUUGUGUGAAAAGACGCUGCUCUUCACGAAGUAAUUCCCAAAAACAGAUAUCUAAAGAGGGAGACAGGUCUCGAUUCAUCAAGUUAGAACGAACACUCUCAAAUUCCGAUCGCAAUUUCAUCAAAAAUUGGUCUCUCUUGCUUUGCUCAUAAACUGCUUGAAUUACAGAGACAGAUUCGGCAGGUAGUUUAGCAUAAAUAAUAUCAGUUAAUUCAGCCCAUAAGUUCUAAAACCCUGAGAAAUAAUCUUGAAUGGAGAGACCUCCUUCAGAGUAAUUAGCAAUUUCAUGCUCUAGCUGAAAGCGCCUUGAGCUAUGGUCUUGGUUGUAAACCUUUUAUAAGUAAUACCACGUGGCCUUUGUUGUCUUGUAUGGCCUGAGAUUAAGGACAAUAAGAGGGUCAAUUGACCCUAAAAUCCAUAUCAUCACCCGGGCAUCUUAAAUCUUCCAUUGACUGAGCUUUGUCGGAUUGGUAGGAGCAGGAUCACUUCCAUCUAUAUGUCCCCGUAAUUCUUUUCCGGUGACAAAUAGUUGAAAUUGAAAUUCCCAAGCAUAGUAAUUUUUUCCGAUGAAACGAACAUGGAAGGACUCAAACUGAUGUGAUGCCAUGUUCUUGACUAGCUAAGGGAGAUAGAAAUGCAAUAAUACCAGAAUUACCAAGACGAAAUUCCUAAGAUGCUUAGGACAAACUGUUAACAGUAACAGUAAGCAAUAAGCAGAACCAAGACAUUCAAAAAAAAAAAAAAACUGAAAGGAACCACGGAUGAAAGAAAUCAAGAAUCAAAGCUGAAAAGAAGGCUCUGAUACCAUGUCAAUUUCGCUGAAUGAUCUCUCAAGUUGAGAAUUCUGUCAUUAAAUAGAAAGAAUUCUCCUUGUACAUCCCUAAAUAUCUACCAUGAAUCCCCUAAUAUCUGCCAUGUAUCCCCUAAUAUCUGUCAUUCCUAACUAUUAUAUCUCUAAGAAUGUCUCCUAUAUCUAAGUAUUAAAAGCUAUUUACAUAAAUAUUUACAAAUAUUACACAUAUAUAUAUAACUGAAAUCUGUAUGCUGAAAUCUGUCCAGAAAAUCUGCUGGACAGAUAUAUGUCUAUUAUCCUAACAUGCUAUAAUCUCUAUGGCAGUGCACUGUACAUUAUGUGUCAACAACAACAGCUUGGAAAAUCAAGGAUUACAGAAAUAUGAGCUAUAGAUUAAAGUAGUUACAAGAAGACUGUGACAACAAAUUAAUCAGGAAUCAACUGAUGAUUUUCCGUAAAGGGGAACUAAGAGAGGAAAAAGAAGACCGGUUGACAGAUAAAAAGAAUACUCACCUCAUUUUCGGCCUAUUGCUCGGCUCGGGGUGCAGUAACCAUAAGCAAAAUGAAGCUUCUUUAGGACAUUUCAACAGCAACUGAGGAGGGAGUACACGGUGUCUCAGACUAUUCAUAGUUGUGCUUUUCUCUUCUGGUGAGCUGAAGGUGCAGAAUAGCUGCUCAAAUUUAUAAUAAUCGUUAAAACACAAAGUUUGAUCUUUGCAGUCAUGAUAAAUAUAACUCAGCAGACCCUUUAAAAUGCGACAUGCUAGCUAACGAGUACUAACCUCAAAGAGAAGGACUCCAAGUCGGUAAAUGUCUGAAGCACAAGAGCUUGAAGCACCAGCAAUUUCUUCUGGACUAGUGUACCAAUUGGUUUCCAUGAGCAAUAUCUGUUUCAUUGGGAAGGUGUGCUGUUUUUCUUCUUCUUGUGUGUUUUUACUAGCUUCUAAAGCCUGAACCGCAUGGCCUGAGCUUGACUGCAAGUAACAGUUUUCAGAUACUCCGGUAGAAGCUUUUGCAGAAAUCUUCUCAAGCUGAGAACUUUCUCUCCCCAACACGUCCGACUCAUGAGGCAAAACUGAGGAUGUAUCGUUUAACUCGAUACUUUGGCUGUUCAAACCAUCUUCUGAUGAAUCUGACCCUGAAUCCGAGCAGGAUACGGAUUCAAUAAAAGCAAUACGUCUGAAAGAGGACAUGACAAAACAUGAUGGUCGUGCAUUAUGAACAACUAUUCCCUGUGAAUGUGCGAGGUUUACAAUCUCCACAAUUUGGGUGAAUAUGUGCAAACAUUCAAGAGCAUCAACAGCUCUCUCUGGGUUGUCAAGCCACUGCCUCAAACUAACAUCACUACAGUCUCUUCUACGACCACCUUGGUCCACAGUAAGCCUAUCCUCCACAACCCCACCUUGAGCUUUAAGGCAAUUUACACGAGGGAACUCAAUUCUCUCCCUCCCCUUUCUACCUGGAACAAAACCAGAAUCAUGCAACAAAUCAUCGGAGGACCUAAUGCUGCUUGUUUGAAAUCUAGUAUUCCUGUCCUCAAGAGCUGAAGAAUUCAAACCCCUAUAACUAUCUGAUCCCUCCCAACCAGAUUCAGAUGAACCCUCCAUUACUCUCUACAUAUAACUCAUAUGCAGCCCAAAGGCCACAACAUUUACCAGUUGGGAAAUCCUUAGAAUCCUAACACAUCCACAUCCUUUCACUUUCACCAUAGCCAAAUUGAAUCAAGAACACAUUUUCACAAACAGACAAACCAAACCAUCAUCUCAAAAGUCUCUCAACUUCAUAGUAUUCAAGGUAUCUAACUAUUUAGCAAGGAAAACAGUAUAAUCAAGCAAAACAAGAAAAGCUACCUAAGGUCUUCCUAAAGAGAGACAAACUCACUCUGAGAAGAAUCAGCAGACAGAAACCAAUAGCUCAUCAAAAUGCACAACAGCAUGCUAUAUGCUACACGUUUUCUUAAGGAAGAGAGAUAUUAGCUAUGCUUUUAUUUCAUCCAGAGCAAACAAAACAACAAGAACCACACACCAAAUACUUCAACUUUAAAGCACAAAACCAAAAAGUGUGCUUUAUUCCGAGGAAACACCACAGCCUCACAAUAUAGCCAAAAAAAAAAAAAAAAAAAACUAUUUUUUUCUCUACAAUAAAAAGUUAAACCAAAACAAAAAAAAAAAAAAAAAAACAAGCUUUUAUUAUACUUAUUUUCUUCCACAAAAAAAUACAUACAAGACAGUUGUUGUUCAAGACCUGAAGUUAAAAAAGAGUAUAAAAUUAAAAAAUCCAAUUCUCUUUUGGAUCACUCUAAAAAUUGUUUCUUUUAAAAAACACCAUGUGGGGACAGUAGAGGAAGCUCCCCAUUAUCUAAAACCCACUAGUUCCCUCAUGUAUUCUUUUGCAUGUACGUGGCUUAUUCACAUCCUCAAAGCACUUCCAAUAAAGAAGACAGGCAAAAUGGUAUUUUAAUCAACAACAGCAGCAGCAACAUACCCGUGAAAUCCCACAAGUGAGGUCUGAAGAGGGUAGAGUAAAGUAUACACACCAAACCAUUACCUCGGGAGGUACAGAGGUUGCUUCCGAAAGACCCUCGGCUCGAGUACAACAAAUCAAGUUACAAAAAAAUAUAGCAACUAACAAAGAAAUAGUGCAAAACAGUAUUUUAAUCAAAAAAGAAUAUCUUAAAACAGGUGGGGUUAGUAUGAAUAUUAUGAACAACAAGAAGGAUCUUCAAAGAGGGAUCUUGAAAUUAACAACUAAUAUUUCUAUUUUGGGUAUAUAAUCUUGGUUAUAAUUAUUACUUAAAAAUCUUUGUGAUCUUAAUGGGAAGUAUAAAACAUGCAUAAAAUAAUCAAGAUUGAGCAAUUAAAUAUUAUGCAACACAGUGAUACAAUGAAUUAACAAAUAGAAGUGCUCAAUGCUUACAUCAUUAUCAAGAUUUCAACUUUUCAUUCAAUCAAGAAACCCUAAACAUCAUGUAAUUCAGAGGCAAAAAAAAGGAAUCUUUUUUUAAACCCCUUUUCGUUAAAAUUGCUGAUUAUAGCUUUUUUCAAGCAAAGGAAAUAAAUGGGUUUCAAGUUUCAAUAAAUUAAACUCCAUGAAAAUGACUGGUUAAUAGACUAUACAGAAGCUAAUAAUUUUGUUAAGGAUGUUCAAACUUUAGUAUAUGUCCAAGUUAUUUCAGAAUAAUUUAUCACUAAGAUAUAAAUAAUGAGAUAAAAGAAUCUUACCCUAACUAAUAAGUACCUUCAAUCAAACGCAUCAUAAAACAAUCUUACACUUUAUUUCGAAAUCUUUGUACCUUAUGCCUCAUACCAAACGACUCCAAAAAGUUGGUUUUUGACCUAUGCAUGCAGUAUCAUUUACCAAGUACACACUAUAAUUUUUCGACUAAGAAUGUUCGACUCACCACCUUUUGAUCAGUGACAUUUAACACAAUCCAAAGAGCCAUUAUUUUUAUUUUUUGUUUUUGCAUUUGUUGUUAACAAGAGGGAACACUGAUGACAUUCCAAGUAUUGCUAAUGGUGGCUUAUUUGUUAUUGUAUAGAUUGAGUAGAAUACCACAGUAGUGUUACAGUGGCAUAAGCUGAUUUUUUUAUCUUUUUUUAUUUUUUGAUAAAGAGAGUAUAGAAUAAAAAAAAAAAAAGGCUCAAAAAUAUUCCUGAAUUAUUCGAAAUAGCUUAAAAAUAACCUUCAUUAGAUUUUUGGCUCAAAAAUACCUCUCCAUUAAAUAUUUGGCUAAAAAAUACCCCUCCCUCUAACGGAAUUCGAAAAAGGAUCAAAAAUACCCCUGAACUAUUUGAAAUUAAUCAAAAAUACCCCUCUGUUAAAUAUUUGGCGCAAAACUACCUCUCCCUUAACGAAAUUAAAUUAUUUCAAUUAUUUCUUUAAUUUAUAUAAAGUUCAUCAUUUAGUUUAUAUUUCGUUAAUUUCUUUAAGUGAAAAUUUAUAUUUCGUUAAUUUAUAUUUCGUUAAUUUCUUUAAAAAUUAAAAAGAUGUAAAGUGAAAAUACCUUUUUAGAAUAAAUGUAUGUUUAUUUUCCAAAUCAAAUUCAACUAAUUUAUAUUAUAAUUCAAACACUUUUUUUCAUUGUCUUGUUUUUAAAAUUAAAGAAAUACUUUUAUGUAAAAAAAAAUUAAAGUAUUAAGGUUAAAAAAUUAAAGAGGAUUUAAUUCAAUCGAAAUAAUUUAAUUUCGUUAACAGGAGGAAUAUUUUUGAGCCAAAUAUUUAACAGAGGGGUAUUUAACGAAAUUAAAUUAUUUCGAUUAUUUCGUUAAUUUGUAUAAAGUUCAUAAUUAAAUUUAUAUUUCGGUAAUUUCUUUAAGUGAAAAUUUAUAUUUCAUUAAUUUCGUUAAUUUCUUUAAAGAUUAAAAAGAAGUAAAAUGAAAAUACCUUUUUAGAAUAAAUGUAUGUUUAUUUUCCAAAUCAAAUUCAACCAAUUUAUAUUAUAAUUCAAAUACUUUUUUUCAUUGUCUUAUUUUAAAAUUAAAAAAAUACUUUUAUGUAAAAAAAUUAAAGUAUUAGGGUUGAAAAGUUAAAUUUAAGGUUUAAUUCAAUCUAAAUAAUUUAAUUUCGUUAACAGGAGGGAUAUUUUUGAGCCAAAUAUUUAACAGAGAAGUAUUUAACGAAAUUAAAUUAUUUCAAUUAAUUCGUUAAUUUAUAUAAAGUUCAUCAUUUAAUUUUUAUUUCGUUAAUUUCUUUAAGUGAAAAAUUAUAUUUCAUUAAUUUCGUUAAUUUAUAUUUCGUCAAUUUCUUUAAANNNNNNNNNNNNNNNNNNNNNNNNNNNNNNNNNNNNNNNNNNNNNNNNNNNNNNNNNNNNNNNNNNNNNNNNNNNNNNNNNNNNNNNNNNNNNNNNNNNNNNNNNNNNNNNNNNNNNNNNNNNNNNNNNNNNNNNNNNNNNNNNNNNNNNNNNNNNNNNCAUUUCAGAUAGUUCAAGGGUAUUUUUGAGCCAAAAAUCUAACGAGGGGCAUUUUUGAGCUAUUUUAGAUAGUUUAGGGGUAUUUUUGAACCUUUUUCCAAAUAAAGAAUAAAGUUAGUGGAAGAUUUUGCGGCAUAAAUUGAGAAACUUUUGACAACGUUGCAAAAAAGAUAAAAAAAAACUUUGUUAUAAUUAUGGGUAUUUAUUGAUCGAUUCAGUUCGAUUUUAUGUAUUAUUAAUUUAAUUUAUUUUAAAUAUUUUUUCUAAUUUAAAAUAAUUAAAUUAUUAAAAUAUGACACAUAUUUUAAGAAAAAAAAGAUAAAAGACAUAAAUUGAUCAUGUUUGUCUAUUUUUGCCCUUUUCGAACUCCAUAACAUUAGUAAUGAUCAUUGAAACUCAUCAUUUGAAAUUUCAUUAAUAAAGGGUAAAAUUAAAAAAAAUUUCAACAUCUAUCUUGAACAGCGAACAAUUCAAUUAUUUUGACCACUAAAAAAUAAUUCAAUAAUCCAAUUAUUUUGGAACGGGGAGAGUAUGUUAAAUCAAUAAAUAAGAACUUUUAUUGAUUUUUAGUCCUUAAUAAUUCAAUUUUCAAUUUAACCAAUAAAAAAAUACUCAUAAAAUAGAAAUUAUAGCAACUAACAUAAAAAGAAAUCGAAACUUAGUUGCGGCUAAAAUCCUACAUGUGCAUUUUAAUUUAAAAGAAUCUCCAAGAUUGAACUGAAUGUUAGUUAGAAGAAACUAAUAGUUUGUUUAAUUGAAAUAAUAGAUUUGUUAAUUUGUAGAAAUUAAAGAGAAAUUAAGAAAAAUAUAUAAUAAGUGGGAUUAAAGUAGUAAUUUAUUAUAUUUUAUUGGGUUUUGAUUUAUCCAAAAAAUCAAUAAGAAAAAAUCGAAAUCAAAUCAAUAACUCAAAAAAAAUUAUAAAACCAUUAAAAAUAUUAACACAAUAAUCCAAUAACAAUAAAUCAAUAGCAUUUUGUCGGUUUGAUUUUUAUACAGUCCUAAUAAUAAUAUGAGUUGUGGUGAGAUGAUUAAGUUUUCGAGUUCAAGCUUCUCAAAAUGUGAACAAAAUCCCAUUGAAGCUUAGCCUAAGAAAUGGGUUUAUAAUAUACAAAGUUGAAUUUAAUAAAAACUCAAUAUAGAUAGAGCUGUCAAUACGGGUCGGCUCAAUCUAUCUGGGCUAACCCACACGGGCUUUGAGUUUUACGGGUCAGGCUGGCUGGCCCAUUAUUUUGAUGGGCCAAAAAACACCAAGCCCACUCCAUUACUCUGUGGGCUGCGGGCCUUACGGGUCAGCCACUUUUUAAAAAAUAAUAUUUUAUAAUUAGAAUGUUAAUAAACAUAAAUAUUACCAGACAAUAUUACAGAGUGUUAAUACUUGUUAAUCAAGUCUUCAACACCCCAAAAAAUACUCCUAAUAGCGAAAUUAAAUAACUUUUGACAUGAUAUCCUUCGAAUCAAAUAAAAAUACUAAUAAACAAUCUAAAUAGUUGCAUGUAUUUGACUUAUGGGUUGACCCACGGGCUAGCCCAACCCACAUUGUUCAAGUCCCACAGAUCACAGGCUUAUCUGAGCUGAGCUAAAAAGCUCUGUUGUUAAAUGGGCUGCAAAAACUGAAGCUUAACUCCAUUAAAUUACAGGCCGAAUUGGAAACAUAGAUAUCCGACUCCAUGUCAAAAAUUAAAAGGGAGAAAAAUGCCUUGUAAUUUGGAGCAAAUAUUCUUAACACUAGCAAUAAAAUAAUUUUUACUUUGCACCAUCCAUUUAUGAUAGUAAUAUUUAUUUUUUACUAGUUUAUUCCAAAAGUAAUGACAUCUCUCUAAUUGUGAAAAUAAUUAAAUUAAAUUUCUCAUUUUAUUUUUAAUAAAAGAAAUUUAUAAUUACACUAAAAUUUUAAAAGUUUUAUCACUACAUUAAAUAUUAUGGCAUAUUUACAAUCAUAAGCAUUUUCGUUUUCUUUUUUUGUACAUAUUCAAACUUUGUUACGUAGAUGGUAAUAUGUCACUACCUGAGUCGAUGCUCUGGUCGCGACGGGCAUUCCGAACCAUCAAGGCCAGAGACACCCCUGUAACUCCCCAACCCACUAGUAAUAUUGUCCGCUUUGGGCUCAAGCCCGCACGGCUUUAAAAUGCGUCACUAAGGAGUAAGACUUUCUUACUUAUAUACCCACCAUCCCUCCUAUGUUUUGCCGAUGUGGGACUCCUUCCUAAGUUGGCGUGUUACAUAAUAUCAGCCAUGCACCUUUCAUGUUUGACUAGAAUAGUGUACGUGCGUUGCACGUGUAUCACAUGUUUUUUAAGAAUAAACAUAUCUAUAAAAUAUAUUAGUUUUGUGUGUGUUGUCUUUAAACCGCUAUAAAAAGGUAAUUCUUAUACUAUUUUUAUGAAUACAUUUAACGAAAAUUCAAUCAAUAAACCGCCUAACAUCACAAGAAUUAUCAAAAAAUCAUCAUCUAUGUAAACUCAACAAAACGCCUAACAUCCCUUUGAUUUUUUCUACCCAUCAAUUUAUCUAAAACAAAGAUAAAUCAAAUUUAACACAUAUGCAAAACUCUUCAGUUAAAAGAAAAUCAAUGUAAAUUCUUACCAUAUCAUACCUUUUAUUUUUUUAAAAUACUUUCUAAUAAGCAGCAUGACAAAAUACCAUCUAAGAGGCAAAAUACAUUCAAGGGAAGAGAAUAGAUUUUAUUAUCGACUUUCAAGUUGAAAUUAAACAACCGCGAUAUAAAAAUAUAUACAAGACAAAUUUUUGAUUAACUUUAAAACUCUAAAUUUUAGGAUUUGUGCUGUAGUUCUAUAUAAUAGAAGCACUGGUUUCGACCAGUGCUUCAUCAAUUUACCAUUUUACCCCUAAUUAUUUCGUGAUUUACUAUACUAACCCUAAUUAAUUAUUAUAAUUUAUUUAUAUAUUAGAAUUAAUAAUAUUUUUUAUUAUAUUACCCCUAAUUAAUUAGUAUAAGUCAUUUAUAUAUUAGAAUUAAUAAUAUUUAAUUAAAAAAGAUAUUUAUAACGUUUGUUUCAGUUGCUUUAAUCGUGAUUUUACUAUAUCAUCCCUAAUUAAUUAUUAUAAGCUAUUUAUGUAUUAAAAAAUAAUAAUAUUUAAUUAAAAAAUAGAUGACAUGUCUGCCUAUAUUAAACUUAAUUGCUCUGUGAUUUAUUAUAUCACCCCUAAUUAAUUAUUAUAAGUCAUUUAUAUAUUAGAAUUAAUAAUAUUUUUUUUACUAUAUUACCCUAAUUAAUUAUUAUAAGUUAUUUAUAUAUUAGAAUUAAUAAUAUUUAAUUUUAAAAAAUAGAUAUUUAUGACGUUUGUUUCAGCUGCUUUAACCGUGAUUUUACUAUACCAUCCCUGAUUAAUUAUUAUAAGUCAUUUAUGUAUUAAAAAAAAUAAUAUUUAAUUAAAAAAAUCAGCUGCUUUGUCAUUUAAUAUAUUAUCCGUAAUUGCUCUGUGAUUUACUAUAUUACCCCUAAUUAAUUAUUAUAAGUCAUUUAUAUAUUUGAAUUAAUAUUAUUUAAUUAAGAAAAUAGAUAUUUAUGACGUUUGUUUCAGCUGCUUUAACCGUGAUUUUACUAUAUUAUUCCUAAUUAAUUAUUAUAAGUCAUUUAUGUAUUAAAAAAUUAAUAAUAUUUAAUUAAAAAAAUCAACUGAUUCGUCAUUUACUAUAUUAUCUCUAACUGCUCCGUGAUUUACUAUAUUAAUCCUAAUUAAUUAUUAUAAGUCAUUUUUAUAUUAGAAUUAAUAAUAUUUUUAUUAUAUUACCCCUAAUUAAUUAUUAUAAGUUAUUUAUAUAAUAGAAUUAAUAAUAUCUAAUUAAAAAAUAGAUAUUUAUGAUGUUUAUUUCAGCUGCUUUAACUGUGAUUUUACUUCAUCAUCUCUAAUUAAUCAUUAUAAGUCAUUUAUGUAUUAAAAAAUUAAUAAUAUUUAAUUAAAAAAAUAGAUGACAUGUCUGUNNNNNNNNNNNNNNNNNNNNNNNNNNNNNNNNNNNNNNNNNNNNNNNNNNNNNNNNNNNNNNNNNNNNNNNNNNNNNNNNNNNNNNNNNNNNNNNNNNNNNNNNNNNNNNNNNNNNNNNNNNNNNNNNNNNNNNNNNNNNNNNNNNNNNNNNNNNNNNNNNNNNNNNNNNNNNNNNNNNNNNNNNNNNNNNNNNNNNNNNNNNNNNNNNNNNNNNNNNNNNNNNNNNNNNNNNNNNNNNNNNNNNNNNNNNNNNNNNNNNNNNNNNNNNNNNNNNNNNNNNNNNNNNNNNNNNNNNNNNNNNNNNNNNNNNNNNNNNNNNNNNNNNNNNNNNNNNNNNNNNNNNNNNNNNNNNNNNNNNNNNNNNNNNNNNNNNNNNNNNNNNNNNNNNNNNNNNNNNNNNNNNNNNNNNNNNNNNNNNNNNNNNNNNNNNNNNNNNNNNNNNNNNNNNNNNNNNNNNNNNNNNNNNNNNNNNNNNNNNNNNNNNNNNNNNNNNNNNNNNNNNNNNNNNNNNNNNNNNNNNNNNNNNNNUAUGACGUUUGUUUCAGCUGUUUUAACCGUGAUUUUACUAUAUCAUCCCUAAUUAAUAAUUAUAAGUCAUUUAUGUAUUAAAAAAUAAUAAUAUUUAAUUAAAAAAAUAGACGACAUGUCUGCUGCACCUGCUUCAACCAUAAUUUUUCUAAAUAUUGCUUAUAAUUAAUUAUUAUAAGUCAUCUAAGUGUUAAAAAUUUAAUCAUAUUUUUUUAAAAAUAAAAUAGACAUAAAAUGAUAAAUUAACUCUUGAUGUAUUAAAUUAAGUUGACCUCUUUCAACCGUGAUUUAACUGUAUCACCCCUAAUUAGUUAUUAUAAGUCAUUUAUGUAUUAAAAAAUUCAUAAUAUUGAAUUAAAACAUUGGUUUCGACAUGGCUGCUUCAAGAGUUGCGCCGUGAUUUUACUAUACACUCCUAAUUAAUUAUUAUAAGUUAUUUAUGUAUUAGAAAAUUAACAGUAUUUAAUUAAAACAAGAAAAAUAUGCGUUUAUGACAUGUUUGUUGCAGUUGCUUCAACCAUAAUCAUCUUUGAGAAGAUGAUCCAAGACUUUAUUGUUAAUUGAAGUAUCUUUUGUUCCAGUUUUUAUAUGAAAUAAUCCUAUGAAUAUUAGUUCUACAUCUUUUCUAUAUUUUGUAGCAGGUCUCAAUCUUAUCAUCAAACAAUUAAAAUAACCCGACUACACGACACAUCACACUUUUUUAGCAUGCGAAAAAAAACUAUCUUAUAAAACUUCACUCAUUAACGAGUAUCGUCAAAUAGUUAUUAUUUAAAAAAUUAUCAUUUUAAAUCAAUGCACAUUUAUGUUUGUAUCUCAUAAAUAUCGAAUAUUGGUGCUAAAAGAUGUCUAUAGUGUUGGGCCCAUGCUGACACGGGCCAUGCACCUCUAGUAGUCAAAUAAGGAACAAAAAUGUUGCUGAUUUUAAAAAUUUAAAUAAAUACUUGUAUCUACCAUAUGAAUCACCAUAAUACCAUAUAUAUGAAUCAUCCAAUAAUUAAAAUAAAUAAUUGUAUCUACCAUAUGAAUCAUCAUAAUACCAUAUAUACUACCCAUUAAUAUCAUAUGAAUAACCCAAUAAUUGAAAUAAAUAAUUGUAUCUACCAUAUGAAUCAUCAUAAUACAAUAUGUAUCACCCAUUAAUAUCAUAUGUAUCACCCGUCAAAAUCAUACAAAAUUUAUUUAUCGUAUGAAUCACCAUAAUACUCAUAUAAUAAUAUCAUAUUUAUCAUUCAUAUGAAUCACCAUUAAAAGAAUAAACAUGUAUGAAUAACUAAAUAAAUUUAUAUAUGUAUCAAUAGAUUUUUUAAAAAAAAAAUGGGAGAGAUUUUAGGAGAGGAAAAAAAGUUGCAUGCAUUAAUGGAGGAGAAAAAAAUCAGGAAGGAAGAUGAUUUAAGCAUUAAUGGAAGAGAAAAAAUCAGGAAGGAAGAUAAUUUAAUUAUUGAUAAUUAGGGAGAUAUUUUAGGGCAGAAAAUCUUAAAUGAGUUAAUGGUGGAGUAAAAAUAGGAUGUGGGGUUUUCUUGAUAUGUAUCAAGAGUAAAGUUAAAAAAUAGAAUUUUAUGUAAAUUUUUAAAAAAAUAAGGGAAUUAGUUAAUAUAUAUCUUAAGUAUGAAAUUUGUGUAAUUUAUCUAAAAAUAAAUUAGAAAAGUCCACAAAUAUUAAUUAUACUUUGUCUAAACUUCAAGCUUCCUUUUCUUCUCACUCUCUUAUACUACAUACCAUUAUAUCGAAAAAUUGAUGAAUAUAUACCAAAUCUUGAAGAGUAUCUUCCUUCUACAUCCAUUCAAGAAACGCAUGUCAAGCUUCGCUUGUAAUUUCCUCUUUUUUUCUUUUUUUCUUCAUUUUUCAUGCUUUAACACGUUUGAAGAUUUGAUUUUUUUUAACCCUUUUCGCCUUACAUUUUCUAUGUUUUGAUUUUCUUAAAACCUCUGUUGCUUUAUAUGUUCUAAUUUUUUAUUUUUGUUACCACUUUUGCUUUGCAUGUUCGAAUAUUUAAUUUUUUAAAAUCCAUUUUGCUUUAAUUUCUUGUUUCAGGUGUGAUUUGCUUGAUAUUUACAUAUAAUAUGUGUCAGGUAUGCUUAAUCUUGUCAAUUUUGAGUGUCUUAAUGUUUGCAUGUCAGAUGAGAUACUUGAAUUUGAGGUACGGAAUAAUAAUAGAAGCAGUUAAAUAGAAAUAUUGUCAACAUAUUGUAAUACCCCGUACCUUUUCCUAGCUUGAAAUUGUCUCAAAAAUGUUAGGAGCUUUUUUUGAAAGAUGAAUCCAUUUUUGUACACGUGGUAUUUUAAGAUUUCACAUUUUGUCAUGUGGGAAAUUGAAUUAGCUUUCCAACGAUACCAAUUUCAUCAAAAUCCGACAUCGAAGGAGAAAGUUAUGGCCAAAAUGCAGUAAAAAACCGCCCAGGUACGACGGUGAGGCUGACGGACCGUCAGACUAGCAACGGACCGUUGCCCAUGACCGUCCCAAGGGAAACAAUGAGGCCACCUUCUGGAUAAGAUGCGACGGGCAGGUUGACGGACCGUCGCUACUUAGGCAGUAAGCCCUUUUCUUGGUCCACAUACGACGGUCGAAACGACAGACCGUGGCACGAGCCAUCGUAGGUCCCGAUUCAGCAAAUUAAAGCCAUUUUAAAAGGAGCUUUUUGGUCUUUUACCACCCGUUUAUAUACCCAAUUGUAUCCGACCAAAGCUCAAAAAUUCAUUAUUCUUUCACAACAACAAAACUAGAGUUUUCUCUCUAACAUUAAUCUCCAAGAAUGAAAUCCAAAUCUUCUUCAAGAACUAGAGAUUCAAAUUCUUCAAGUUCAGGAACUUCAAGAAACUCAACUCAGGUAUGCAUAGUGUUCAUUCAUGGACUCCUUUCGUCCAUGAAGUCCAAGAAUCCCUUUUCCAACUUCAAGUUAUGGAUUUUCUUUAUGAUUUCAUGAUUGAGUUGUUCUUGUUCAUGUUGAUAAAUGAGAAAUUGAAUUUUACUUCAUGUUGGGUGAUAAUUUCUAUGUGGGUUUAAUAAUUAUAGAUAUAGAUUCAUGCAAACCUAUGACUAAACCCUUGAAUGAUGAAAUUAGAAUGUGACCAUGAUGUUUAAUUGUUGUACAAUGAUGUUUACAUGUACCAUGCCUACAAUAUAUUUGAUUUAAUGUCUAAAUGAAGGAAAAAUGCCUAACUAGCAUGUUGUCAUGAAAUCCCCAUGUAUGUACAAGCUUAUGCCUAUCACAUGUUUGAUGAAAUGCUUCAGUAAAUGCAUUAUGGUGAUUAUUAUGUAUUCAAGCAAGUCAUGCUUUGUCAGUUUCCUUCUAUCGAGUCCUAGGGGUACUAGUACCCGAAACAUUAACUGUGUGCCUAGAGCCAUGUCAUAUUUUCACGAUACUCUCAGUCAAGCUAUGAAUCCUUAGACUUCAGACAGUCUUGUGACUCAGGAAAUCUCCAUGAUCUCAUGAACUCGGUCAGUUGUCAGAUAUCAGUAGUAUUCCGUCAGUCGACAGAAUUCAGUAACUCAGCUCAUGUUUAGUUCAGUAAAUCAUGUUCAAUGUCUAUUCAGAUGGGAGUAGAAAUUAGCACCGAGUGAACCCAAGGAUAGGGACUUACCUAUUAUAUGAGGGUGUGAUUCUUAGAAGCAAUUCUUGCAUUCCAGAACUAUGUAGCCAGCAUAGGUUGAGAUAUCAUAGCCUGCUACAUGAGGGUAGAUGAGGUGGCUUAGCCUAUUAUAUGAGGGUUCCCACCGUUCUCACUAGAGUUACCUGUUAUAUUAGGGUUACUCACACGUUGUCCUUACCAAUGACGCGAUAUUGAUACCCUUCCAAUCAGGGUCAGGAUUGGACCCCAGCUCAGCUAUUAUAGCACAUUUGGGGCAUGUCGGUUAGAUAACUACUUCCCACAGUUUUAGUAUCAGUAUCAUUUAAGAACUUAGAUAGUUCUUCAGAUUUCAGGACUGUCAGAUACAGUCAACUCAGAUACAGUACGGAACUCAGCUAGUUCCAUUAGAUUCAGUCACUCAUGUUAUCAGUUAUAUCAGUUAUCAGUAAUCAUAUUAUCACAGUAUCAGUAUCAGUUUUUAUGUCUCAUGCAUGUACUCUCACGCUCAUGAUAGUUAGUCUGUUAUUAUAUUUGUUCAUGCAUAUAACCCCAUGCAUUCAGCUUACCUCACAUUCAUACCAGUACAUUCAAAGUACUGACGCAUUUGCGCUAUUGUGUCUUAUACCAUAGGGUCAGAGACACGAGUUCCAGAGCAGCAGUAGAUUCCAGAUAUCAGCAGUCAGAGUUAGAAGUGAGUCCUCAUCCUUCGAGGACAUGAUUAUUUCUCUAUUAUCUCAUUAAUUAGUUUAUUAGUUGGAGUUAGUUGGGGAAUGUCCCAUCAACUCCUUACUCAGACAGUUCAGUCAGUUAGAAGCUUUCCAGACUAUUAUGUCCAGAUAGUUAUUUCAGUUAUUUUGGGUAUUUCAUACCCUGUUUUAGAUGUUAUGUUUUACUUCAGUUAUGUGAACCUUAGGGCCUUUCAGUUCAUGUUUCUACAUUACUCAGUAUAUUAUGCAGUAUACAGGUACAAAUAUCAGUCAUGGGUUAGCUUGUGGUCCUUCGGGGUCAUAAGCACCGUGUAGCAUUCCGGAUACCAAAUUUGGGGCGUUACACAUAUAUUAUUGGGAGAUAGAAGAUACUUGAUAAAAUAGUUGAGAUGUGUAACCUAAAUCAUGCACCAUUAAUUCACGAAAAGAUAUAUGCAUGAAGGAUUUUGAACUUUGACUAUAUGAAUAGUAUAGCCGGGGGCGGACUCACUAUGGUUCAAGUGGGUUCAUAUGAAUCCACUUCGUCGAAAAAUUAUACCGUAUAUACUUGUAUAUAUAAUCAGUCCAACAGUAUAUAUUUAAAUUUGAACCCACUUCGAACUAAAUAAGCCGCUAGCCUAACAGAAAUAGGUUCAAAUUUGGAUGCCCACGUCGCGAGUUUGAACUUGGAUUGCAGCAGUUCAUUUUAUAAAAUUUUUAAGCAGUCCUUUCUAAUAACAGUAUAUAUUUAAAUUUGAAGCAACCUUAAACAAGUUAAGCCGUUAGCCUAGUGGAAGCGGGUCCAAAUCCGGAAGCCCAGUCGCGAGUUUGAACCUGGAUAUCAUCACUCUAUUUUAUAAAACUUUUAAGUAGUCUUUUUUAUAUAUUGAACCCAUUGGUGAAAAGUCUGGAUCCGCCACUGAGUAUAGCCAGUUCCAAGUGCACACACCUGAUGCACAAACAAAGACUACUUUAUCCUCAUAUUGAUUCCUAGUAUGAAUCUUGUGCUUUUCUUGUUUAUGAUGUGAAUUACAUCUGUGAUGAUAACUGGAGGCUUAACGGAGCAUACUUUAUGAUAUGGGAUUUUCAUAUGUGCAGAAAAUAGAAAUGUGAUCCUUGGGAUGUUACCUUCUAGUAAUGGUCCUCUUCUUUUCCCUGCAUUCACAGUUUAGCGCAUAUAAGGCAUGAUAAACAUAUAAUCAUUUAAGUUCUCCUGUUGAUUUCAUUUUGGAAUAUGUUUAGUGUGAGAUCGAAAUGGAUCUGAAUAGGUGAAACAAAUGCAGAUGAUUUGUAUAGCCGACCUGAAUUUUUUUGUUAUUAGGUGAUAGUUGAUUUAUUCGUUUGCACUUUGGAAUGUCAAUAUGAAAGAACAAAUUAUGUGGACUUCAUAUUUGUCACAUUUCUAAUUUGUUCUUCCAGGAGCGAUAACUCCAUAUUAAAAUGCGUCUUGUGAAAUGUCUGCUAGUUUUUAAUUGGCCUUAAGGUAAGGUGUUGUUGUCACCGAUUCCAUCAAGGUAUAUGCACAUGUAAUAAGAAAAUAAAAUGAUUUCCUGGAUUCUGUUCCCUUGGAACAUUUGUUGUUUGACUAAUCAUUUGCUAAAUGCUUUGGUUAGGACCUUAAGAAAUGGUUUUAUUUGAAUUGAGGAUUUCCAUCUUGAUAAUAUUCAGUGUAGAGAAUAAGAUAUGUCUACUUGAUACAUUCCAAAACUAUAUUGUUCGAGUUUUUAGUCGCGAGAAGUAUAUUACCCCCCCCCCAUUUCAAUUUGUUAGUCUAGUUUUGACUUGGUAUGGAGUUUAAGGAAAGUAACGAAGACUUUUGAAUCUUGUGGUCUUAAUCUAAAGAUAUGUAGAAUGUACCAAAAUGCUCUUUAAUUUUAUGGUCUUAAACAUGUCUGUGGAAAGUUGAAACUACAGAGGUGCUAGAAAGGGAAAGACGCAUUUCUCUUUGCAUUUUGGAUGCAGUCUGGUUAUUCUCUCUUCUUUUUUUUUUCCUUCAUAAGUCCUGAUACUUCAUUUUGGAAGUGAUUUGAACUGCUUCUUUUGAGUAGCUGUCAAUAGCAAUAUGUGGUGCAGAAAAUGUCGAAAUUCACUGUAUCUAUAUCAAAAUUCACUCAAUUUUCUUUAAUGACGCCUGAGAACUUACCGUGAUAUUUUAAGAUUACUAAAAUCUUGAUGAUCCUUCAUGUAAGAAGCAUUUCAACAGAAAAUUCUGACAUUUGUUGCACUGCGUUAAAAUUGUAGAAUCCCUGGAUCCAGACGUGAAGAUCUUGAGCCUUGAAAUCAAGUCCCCUGGUAGACCUGCUAUUGUUCUCCCAAUCCCUGAGGACGGGAAACCCCGGAGCCCAUGGUUUAUCAACAAUGAUCUAUUACUGCCUUGUAAUUAGCAUUUUAUUCAAACAAUUUGUGGACCUGCCUACCAAUUCAGAAAAAAAGAGAAAUGAAAUGCUUCAUGUUUGGGUGUCGUCAAGUAUGGUUAUCUUGGACCUUAUUUAAGAUAGGCAUAAGAGAAAAUCACUCUUUGGUCGCCAUAUAUUUCAUAGCAUAUAAUCCAUGAUUUAAGUGUAAAGUGAGCUGUUGGAACAAUUCCAAGAAUAGUCAUUGUCUUUUUUCUGCUUGAGCAAGCAACUUAGAGCCUCCAUUGCUUCUACCUAUUAUAGAAAUGCUGGAUUAGAGGAAGAUGAGAUCUUCGUUUCUGAUGGUGCCAAAAGUGAUAUAUCUCGACUUCCUGUUUGGUUUUCUCUGCAUUUAUUCGUCUUCUUCAAAUUACAGCCACCGACUUCCACUAACAGUUUUUCAAAUUUCUUGACUGUAUAUUAGGUUCUUUUUGGGUCUUAUGUUACUAUAGCUGUGCAAGACCCAUCAUAUCCGGUAAAUGUUUUAGGCUUUUACCUCUGUUCUUCUCCGUUGUAACAAAGUUAAAAAAAAUAGGAGUUGAAAGGCAACCAGAUGGUCGUCCAAGCUGUACCUGCAUAUUGUAGAUUUACGAUGUCUAUUUUGUUUUCUGAUUGCUCACAUCAUUGUGUGAUUUAAGUGAAGUGGUACUACAUUAUAACUUUAGCACAAAGUUGAUACAUAUUUUAUUACUUUCAUUAUUGCAUCUACUUGCACAUUUUCCUUUUAUUUGUUUGUGUCUUGAUCUGUCGGACUACUCCUUGUAUUGUUAUCAGGCCUUGAAACAAGGUUCUAAACUAAGCCUUGUUUGUGUUUCUACUGUAGGCUUAUGUGGAUUCAAGUGUUAUUAUGGGCCAAACUGAUCAGUUUCAGAAGGAUUUGGAAAGUACGGAAAUAUAGCAUACAUGAGAUGUACUCCAGAAAAUGGGUUCUUUCCUGAUUUAUCCAGUGUUCCUCGGACAGAAAUUAUAUUUUUCUGUUCGCCUAAUAAUCUAACUGGUGCGGCGGCGGCAUCAAGGGAGCAGCUGACUAAAUUGGUGCAAUUUGCUAUAGACAUGGCUCAAUCAUUGUUUAUGAUUCUGCAUAUGAUAUGUAUAUAUGUGAUGACAAUCCAAAGUCCAUCUUUGAGAUUUCUCGAGCCAAAAAGGUAAAUUCAGAUCAUGUUAUGAAAAAUAGAGAAAAAAUGGUGGAGAAGAGGAGACACCAAUUUGGAAAAUGUACUCCCAAAAUUGGGAAGUUCACUAAUUUUCCCACAUUGGUGGGAGAAGGAAACUUUGGAGUGUUUAUAAUUAUGAAUACUUACUUCACAUGUUAAGUGAUGCAAUAAAUAAGAGAUGCCUUGUGUUGUUAUUGUUGUUGCUAGCUUGGCUUUGGCUUCAGCAAAUGAUGGAUGAGAUCUAUUUUUUUGGAAAAACUUUAUUUGACGAAAUCUGAUCAAUACUCCAUUUAUAUGCAUGCAGUAACAGUGUUUCUUUUCGACUGAACUGAUGCAUGCACAGAACUGAUAUACUGUUUUUGUUUCGACUGAACAGAUGCAAUUCUUCAAUAAAGUGAUGCACUGUUUCGAACAGGUGCACUGUUUGGUGAAAUGGUAUACUGCUUCAGCAAAAAUGCAUUUUCAGAAACGUCACACCAUUUAAGUGCACCAAUUCCACCUUUUCGAAGAGGCAUCUGCUAGGCUAUAUAAACCUGCUUUCCUUCACAAGUUUUAAUACGAAAUUUUCAGAAUAAAAAAUCUCUUCUUUUCUUUACAAAUAUUUUGUGUGAUCAAUCAAAACGUUCUAUGCGUUCGAAGAAUCCGCCUAUUUGAGGUACCGCUGUAGUCGGAUUGAAGACCAUUUUAUCCUGGGAGGAAGAUUCCAUAACCUUGGGUAUAGUGAGAGGAAUUACUUCUUAAGGAAAGUCUGUGAAUUCGGACGACUUGGUCUUAUUCAUUUCUGUUUCAUCUAUUUUCUGAAAAAUAAAAUACACCUUUUGGAAAGGUCAUUUUGAUCUUGUAUUGAGGGUAUUUGAUAUACUUCAUUGUGUUCUUGUUUAUAUACUUGAACUUUAGUUUAAGUUGUUGUUUCUACUAGACAGAUUGUGCAUACCCGUAGAAGGAAAAUAACAAUCUUAAGGAAUAAGCACUAUUACAGAAUCUGUAUUGCUUGUUUUUGGAGAUUAAAGUUUUAACUUUCUACUCCGCCUGAACUUAACUAGUGAUUUGAAGUCAUAAAAACUUCGUCACAAGUUAAAGAUCAUUCAGUUGACAAUUGGAAGUGAUAAAAACUUCAUUGUUAACUAGAAACAAGGAAAAAAAGAUUUAAAAGUUGCUUAAUUUUUAUAAGUAGUAUUCUGAAAAUACUAAGUAUUUUUUGUCUUGUGGUGACAGAAAAAUGGCAACUGAAAGUCAAAUGAUGGAUGCGACAACGUCUGUGGGGGCAACUAAUAUUGCCACAUCAAGUCGCACAAAUGCUCCACCAACAAUGGCACCAGCGGAGAAGCCCGAAAAAUUUUCGGGCAUUGACUUCAAGCGGUGGCAGCAAAAGAUGUUCUUUUACCUCACCACUUUAUGUCAGCAACGGUUCACUAGCGAAGACGCUCCUGAGGUGUCUGAUGGAACCUCGGACAAAGACCGCUUCGUUAUUGUAGAAACUUGGAAACAUUCGGAUUUCCUUUGCAGGAGUUAUAUUCUGAGUGGUCUCCAAGACGACCUCUACAAUGUUUAUAGUGGAACCAAGACAUCAAAGGAACUGUGGGGGGCACUUGAACGAAAAUAUAAGACGGAGGAUGCGGGAAUUAAGAAAUUCCUUGUUGCACGAUUCCUGGACUUCAAAAUGAUAGAUAGCAAAUCUGUUGUCUCUCAAGUACAGGAGUUGUAAGUCAUCAUACAUGAUCUACUAGCAGAAGGGAUAUCUUUGAAAAAUACCUUAGUUGAACAAAUUAAAAAUGUUCUUAAUACUCACAUAAACUAUUUUGUAGGUUUAAUUGUGAAUGAUGCUUUCUAAGUAGCAACGAUAGUUGAGAAACUACUACCUUUGUGGAAAAACUUCAAAAACUACUUAAAGCAUAAACGUAAGGAGAUAACUGUUGAAGAUCUUAUUGUCUGACUUCGUAUUGAAGAGGAUAAUAAAGCUGCCGAAAGAAGGUCAAAGAGGAAUUCUACAAUUAAUGGAGCACAUAUUGUAGAAGAUGACCAAAACAAUUCUAGGAAAAGGAAGAAAGCUGAAAAAGGAAGCAAUCAACCCAAGAAAAAGUUUAAGGGAAAAUGCUUCAACUGUGGCAAGAUUGGCCACAAGUCCACAGAUUGUUGUGCCCCAAAGCAAGGCAAGAAGAAGGAUCAAGCAAAUAUGAUUGAAUCAAACAAAUAAUGCGAUGAUAUGUGUGCUAUGUUCUCAGAAUGCAACUUGAUGGCGAAUUCUCACGAAUGGUGAAUGGAUUCUGGUGCCACCUGUCAUGUAUGUGCCAACAAGGAUUUGUUUUCUUCAUUCGCUUCGGCUUAAGUAGAAGAAAUGGUCUACAUGGCUAACUCCGCUACAGCUAAGGUAGAAGGAACAGGAAAAAUUUGCUUAAAGAUAACUUCCGGAAAGGUCUUGACACUUAACAAUGUCUUGUAUGUUCCGGAGUUAUGUAGGAAUUUAAUUUCUGUUUCACUUAUAGACAAGAACGGAUUCAAAUGUGUAAUCGUUUCUGGAAAACUUGUAAUUAGUAAAGGAGAAAUGUAUGUAGGAAAAGGCUAUCUGACCGAAGGCCUUUAUAAGAUGAAUAUAAUGACUGUUGAAAUAAAUAGAAGUUUGAAUUCUUCUUAUUUGCUUGAGUCUUAUGAUUUAUGGCAUGAACGUUUAGGCUAUGUUAAUUACAAAACGUUACGAAAACUGAUUAACUUAGAAGUUUUGCCAAACUUUGAGUGCAAUAAAUCAAAGUGUCAAACGUGUGUGGAAUCAAAGUAUGCAAAGCAUCCUUAUAAGUUCGUUGAAAGGAAUUNNNNNNNNNNNNNNNNNNNNNAUAUUUGUGAUAUGAAGUCAACACCAUCUCGUGGUGUGAAAGAGUAUUUCAUAACUUUUAUUGACGAUUGCACUAGAUAUUGUUAUGUCUACUUGCUAAAUAGUAGGGAUGAAGCAAUAGAUACGUUUAGGGAAUAUAAAACUGAAGUUGAAAAUCAGUUAGACAAAAAGAUCAAAAUGAUAAGAAGUGAUAGGGGCGGAGAAUAUAAAUCUCCCUUUGCGCAAAUAUGUGUAGAGAAUGGAAUCAUCCAUCAAACUACGACCCCAUAUUCACCUCAAUCUAAUAGAAUUGCGGAAAGAAAAAAUCAAACUUUGAAAGAAACGAUGAAUGCCUUACUUAUAAGUUCUGGUUUACCGCCAAAAACUUGUGGAGGGAAGCUAUCCUUACGGCCUACCGUAUACUCAAUAGAGUUCCCCAUAGUAAGACAUAAUCAAUUCCUUAAGAUAGGACCUAAAACGGUGGACUGUGUGUUCAUAGGAUAUGCUAAAAGUAGUAAAGCAUGUCAAUUUUUGGUUCAUAAAUCCGAACAUCCGGAUAUUAAUGAAAAUACGAUAAUUGAAUCAGAUAAUGUUAAAUUCUUUGAAAACAUUUACCCGUAUAAACUUAGACAUGAACAGUCUAGUGGAGGAUAUAAACGACCUCGUGAUGAACCAAUUGAGAAUGAACAUAAUGAAGAAAAUCCAAGACGUAGUACACGUCAAAGAACGUCUACUUCAAACAUUUAAGGAAGCGAUGACAUCUUCGGAUUCAUUCUUUUGAAAAGAGGCAGUCAACAGUGAGAUAGAUUCAAUCUUAAGCAACCAUACAUGGGAAUUGGUUGACCUUCCUCCCAAAAAUAAACCUUUAGGUUCUAAAUGGAUCUUCAAAAGGAAGAUGAAAGCGGAUGGUACUAUUGACAAAUACAAGGCAAGACUUGUAGUAAAAGUCUUCAAACAAAAAAAAGCACUUUAUUCCUUCGAUACAUACUCGCCAGUAAUAAGGAUAACAUCGAUUCGAAUGUUAAUUGCCUUGGCUGCGGUAUAUGGUCUUGAAAUCCAUCAAAUCGAUUUGAAAAUCGCUUUCCUAAAUGGAGAAUUGGAGGAAGAAAUUUACAUGGAAUAACCUGAGAGUUUUGUGGUUCCAGGGAAGGAGAAUAAGGUGUGUAGACUUAUUAAGUCAUGGUAUGGACUAAAGCAAGCACCUAAACAAUGGCAUGCAAAGUUUGACCAAACCAUGUUGGCCAACGGAUUCAAAAUAAAUGAAUGUGAUAAAUGUGUUUAUAUUAAAGACACUCCAAAUCACCAAGUCAUUGUAUGUUUAUAUGUGGAUGAUAUGUUGAUCAUCAGUAGAGACAUUUCUGACAUAAAUGAAACAAAACGAAUGCUCGAGAGCAAGACCUUAGAGUUGCAGAUGUGAUCUUAGGUAUAAGAAUCCGUCGAACUCCACAAGGGUUGGCAUUGCCACAGUCUCAUUAUAUAGAAAGGGUACUUGACAAGUUCAAGUAUAUGGAAUUCGAUAUUGCCAAGACUCCAUUGGAUGCAAGCUUUGCACUUCAAAAAAAUGAAGGUGAAAAUGACUCGCAAUUGAAGUACGCAAGAGUAUUGGGAUGUUUAAUGUAUAUAAUGAACUGUGCACGACCAGACAUAGCAUGCACUAUCAGUAAAUUGAGUCGGUACACGAGUAAUCCCAACAAAACUCAUUGGAUGGCAAUGAAAAGAGUUUUGGGGUAUCUUAAAUACACUCAAAACUAUGCUUUGCGUUAUAAUAAAUAUCCUACGGUACUUGAAGGAUAUAGUGAUGCAAAUUGGAUCACCGAAUCGAACGGAGUAAAAUCCAAAAGUGGGUAUGUAUUUACUAUUGGUGGAGCAGUAAUUUCUUGGAAAUCAUCCAAACAGACUUGUAUCGCUCGUCCUACAAUGGAAUCUGAAUUUAUCGCAUUAGAUAAAGCCAGUAAAGAAGUAGAAUGACUCUGGAAUUUCUUGGAAAAUAUUCCGUAUUGGCCCAAGCCAGUGGCACCAGUAUGUAUACACUGUGAUAGCCAAGCGGCAAUAGGUAGGGCAGGGAGCAUGAUGUAUAACGGUAAAUCUCGUCAUAUAAGACGAAAACAUAAUACGGUUAAAGAACUUAUCUCUAGUGGAAUUAUCACUGUAGACUAUGUAAAGUCAAAGGAUAAUGUAUCGGAUCCACUUACAAAAGGCCUAACUAGAGAAGAGUGGAAAGAACAUCCAAGGGAAUAGGUUUAAGGCCUAGGAUGAGUCAGCAUGGCGGUAACUCUACCUAGCAGAUUGGAGAUCCCGAGAGCUAGGUUCAAGGAUAUCAAACAAAGUUGUGCCUGACAGGUUCAACAUUGUCAAAUACCCAACCCAUUCUCAUGAUGUAGACAAUAUUUAGUAAACAAAGAUAAGACUUUAGGUGAACAGUCUUUUAAUGAUUAUCUAAAUUUGGCAGAUUUGAUCAAAUAGAUUAAUCUACAUAAUUGAACAUUUAAAAAUCACCUAUGCGAGGGCAAAGUGGAAGCCGCUUCAAGGAGAAUGUUAGUAAAGGCCUAUUCUCUAAGCUCUCAUGAAAAUCGAGACGUGUUCAUGGCUGAAAAGAACCAAAUCGUAAGAACCAUAAACGUUAAAAGGCUGGUUGUAUGACAUGUGUUGUCUAGGUGUACAUUAAAGCUCGAUGGUUCAAAGAUAUUAAAUCUACCGAUUGACCGAGUGCAUCCGAUGCAUGUUCACUACGGAAAGUUCAAAGGGAAACCUGCUUAUCCAUAUGCGAUCAGUCUUUGCUUGAUGAUCACAUACUUGUCCGUAAAAGUUUUACGAAAAAUAGCCAUUCCCAAUUCAUGUGGGGGAUUGUUGGGUUCCUAGAAGUGUGAAUGGAAAAUGGAGAAAAAAUGGUGAAGAGGAGGAGACACUAAUUUGGAAAGUAUACUCCCAAAAUUAGAAAGUUCACUAAUUCUCCCACAUUUGUGGGAGAAGGGAACUUUGGAGUGUUUAUAAUGAUGAAUACUUACUCCACAUGAUAAGUGAGGCAAGAAAUAAGAGAUGUCUCACGCCGUCGGCGGCGGCGCUCGCUCGGUUUCGGCUUCGGCUUUGGAUUCGGAUUCGAAUUUGAAAAAUGAUCGAUCGAUGAGAUCUAUCUUUUUGGAGAAAAUUUAUAUGACGAAAUCUGAUCAAUACUCCAUUUAUAUGCAUGCAGUAACAGUAACAGAAUCUGCCUAUUUGAGGUACUGCUAUAGUAGGAUUAAAGGCCAUAUCCGAAGGCCAUUUUAUCCUGGGAGGAAGAUUUCAUAACCUCGGGUACAGUGAGGGGAAUUAUUCCUUAAGAAAAGUCCGUGAAUUCGGACGACUUGGACUUAUUCAUUUCUGUUUCAUCUAUUUUCUGAAAAAUAAAAUACACCUCUUGGAAAGGUCAUUUUGAUCUUGUGUUGAGGGUAUUUGAUAUACUUCAUUGUGUUCUUGUUUAUAUACUUGAACUUUAGUUAAAGUUGUUGUUUCUACUAUAUAGAUUCUGCAUACCUGUAGAAGGAAAAUAACAUACGUUGCUUACUAUAAAGAUCAAUCUUCUUCCAUUUCUCUUUAAAUCCCAUUACAACCAUGCCUCAAUUCCAAGCUACUUAGUGCCUAUUUGGCCAUGAGAAUUUUUUACUUUCUUUUUUUUAUUUUUUACCAUGCACCUCACAAAGGUAGGGGUAAAGUCCGUGUACAAUGCAGCCUUCCCAGAUUCCACUUGUGGGAUGACUCUAGAAUUGUUGUUGUUGGGUUAUAGAAGAGCUAAGUACUCAGACUUCCUAUUAAUAAUUAGUUUAACGUUCUUGGAGCUGACCUGUGUUUUUAAAUGCACUUAAUAGUAACUUGAGCUAUGAAAAAAAGGAAGGCAAAAUCAAAGCCACCUCCAAAGAAGAGGAUGGAUAAACUUGACACUGUUAUUGCUCAGAUAGAUAUAGUGUAGUCCUUAAAUCACAAAAUGCGAUGACAGAAUUUUCUAUAGAAAACUUUUCUAGCAACACAUCAUCUAUUUCUGAGAAUUUGCCCCCAUAAUGUGAUAGUUUUUCUAUCACACCUUUAUUUUUCAAUUACAAAAAAUAAGAUUAAAUUAUUAAAUUAAUAAGACAGUUUAUGUAUUAAACAAAUCCUUCUGUGAAGAGCUUAAAACUCACAAAAAUGUCAAAAUAGUAAAAUAUUGAAUUUAUGGCAAAUGUUAAUUGGUUGAUGAAAGUUAAAUGAACUACCUAAAAUUGUUUCCUUAUUAAUAUUUUAUACAAGUAAUAAUAUCUAGUAUGUGAAUGUAUAUUUAUCUGUUUGUUGAUGUGUGUGAAACUAUCAUAGGGUUACUUAGUCACUCUCCUUGGUUGUUUAUUGAAUAUCAGAUUUGGUGAAAGUUUGUGUUUUCUGUAAUGUUUUUGUUACUAAAGCAUCAGAAUAUUAGCUUUAUAAUUUCUUUUUGUGGGGUUAUGGAAAGAUGCAAUCGUUUUAUGAUUUAGAUAGCUUCAAGCGUAUUUGUUUUGGUUGUUUUCUGAAUGUCUGAUAUGGUGAAAGUUUAAUGUUUUCUAUUCACAAAGCACCAGAAAAAAUAGCUUUAUAUAUGAAAAAUUAAAAAACAUGUGAGGUUUGAAAAAAAAUAAUAUUACCUCCUCGUCAACUAAUAUCACCAUUUUUCGAGAACCACCGUCAUCCUUAAACAGCUUCAUUGGCCCACUUGCGAUAACCAAGACUUUGAUCAUAUCCAGAUACAGUCUUUUGACUUCAAGGUGUUGAUACCCACAACUUCGGUGAUAGGAUCCAUUGUAAUAAUCUUUAAGAAAAUAGAAGUUAGAACGAUAACAACAUAUAAUUUCAUAACAAAGGUAAACUUGUGAGAUGAGAAGAAUUAUACCUAAAUAUAUGAAUCUACUUGGUAGAUGGGUAGAUAAAGAAAGUUAUGAGCAAUAGAAAUUAUAAUAUAUUCUACUAACAGGACACAUAGAAUGAUAAGAACGUAGAAUUUUAUAAUAGAGGUAGAUUUGUGAGAUGAGUAGAAUUAUACCUGAAUAUGUGAAUCUUUUUGUAGGUUAGUAGAUAAAGAAGGUUAGUUAUGAGCAAUAUAAAUUAUAAUAUAUUCAACUAAGAGGACACAUUAAGGAAAUAACAGAAUCUGCGAGAAGCGAAAUAGUCUAAUAAAUAUGUUUGCUAAUUUAAACUAAGCAAUGUAAGCUGACAUAACAAUUAAUAUAUUGUAUGUGACAUAACAAUUAAUAUAUUGUAUGUAAAUUAACAAUGUAAAAAGGGAGAGAUGAUAUAACGACAAAAAUCUGAAAUUAAAAUAAAAUGGUCGAAACUGUGUUGAGACGAAGACUGAUGAAUAAUGGUAAAUCAACUAUGAACAAUGAAAAACCACAAUCGUUUAUAAUAAUGAACAAUGAAAAAAGCUCAAACAUUUAUAUAGAAGGACGUAAUGUAUAAAACCAAAGAAGAGAUCAAAUAGGCAAACCAAAUAGAACACAAAUUUGGAUGGAAGAUAAAUUUGAAAAAGAUCAAAUAAAACAUAAAUUUGGAUGAAAAAAAUUCAGUGUUUUUUGGUGAAACCAAGUAGGAAGAAAACGUGGAUGUAUUUUUGUUGAAAGAAAUCAAGUAGGAAAAAAAAAUGGGUGUUUAUUUUGGUGAAAUAAAUCAAGUAGGAUACAAAUUUGGGAAAAAUUUAAUUAAAGGAAAAUUUUAGUAUACUAGGACCAAAAAAAAUGGAUGUUUUAACCAAGUAGUGAAAAAUACGGGUGUUUUUUUUGAAAAAAAAUUGGGUGUCUAUUUUGGUGAAAUAAACGAAGUAGACACAAAUUUGGAAAGAAUUUAAUUGAAGGAAAAAAUUAUUAUAUUCAUUUUGAAUAAUUUAAUUGCAGGGAAAAAGGUAAAAGACAAUACAGAAUUUUAUUAAAGUUUAAAUUUUAUGCCAUUUGUAUUUUGUUUCCCAUAUUUCCCUGUAAAAUUAGGCAUGUACGAUUUUUAUAUGGAGGCCAUAAUAGCUAUUUUUUUCCCGAGAAAAUAUAAUUGUUUAAACUAAUUAAUAUUCUCCACAUUUUGCAAUCUAAUCACGUAAUAACCGUGACUCUGUUCGUAGUCCAAACAUUAGUAUGUAUAUUUUUCUCAUACCAUAUAUUUUAAGAUUUCUUAAAUAUUAAUUUUUCUAAUAUUUUUUACUAGAUAUUUUUUAUUACCAAAUAAUAUAGAACUCUUUAAUUUUUACAAAAAUAUUUUUCUCUUACCAAAAUAUUUUAGAGCCCUUAAUUUUAAAUAUUAUAAAAAUAAAUAAUAAUUGAAGAAAAUAAAUAAAAAAAUAAUUUUAUCUGUUGCAGACUCUUUUAAUGAAGGGUAAAAAGUUCAAAUCACUUUUAUAAGGGUCUUCACACUUUUAAUAUAUUAUUAUUAUUAUAUUAUUGUAUUAUAUUACUAAUAUAUUAGUAUUAUUAUAGAUAUAGAUUUGUUGGUGCAAUUUGAUUGACAUUUUAAAAAAAAUAAAACGAAUAUCUUUGAUCACUUUUAUUAUUAAUUGUUAAUUGAGCAUUUUUUUUUUUCAUAUACCUUAAUUCGGCAAAAUAGUUACGUAACUUUGAGAGAAGGGGUGUCUCGUCACAAAGGGUUCCAGGUGAUCAGGCUCGGGCGUUGCAAAAUCAUGUAUGAGGUAUCAUUUGCGAUCUCAGAUGUGUCGAUAUCAAUGGUGUAUCAUUAUUUUGAAGAAUCAUUUCUUCGGACAUAAGAAGAUUAGGUAAACAUUUGCUCGAAAUCUCACUGUGUCAUUAGGUCCUUGUUUAAGUAUCAUUAAGUUACUUCUUGUUCUUCCAAUACUAUGUUUGAUACUAAUAUCAAAGGUCAUAAAUAGACUUGUUUUGGAACUAACCAUUUCCCAUUAUAGUAUACUUUAGUUUUAUGUAAUAAAAAGGUUCAUGCCUAUGGAUCCCCGAUUCAAUUUGUUGAGAAGGUCAUGAUUGUUGAAACACUUGAAGCUAUAACGAUUAGAGGGUUGAGCAAGACCCCUCGCCUGUCUGACCUGCUUUCUGGCUAGCUUCUUAAUGGCAAGCACUACCCUAACCUAGCUAGUGCGACAUCUUGGUAACGUCGUCUGAAUUGCCACACAAGUGCUACAUCUAUAUGGCAAGACUGUCGACCUUCUUCAUAUGGCAACCGCUAUCCAUAAAAGAAGGUAGAUACCGCCUCUAAAUGUGUGACAAAUGAAUAAAGAGGUAUCACAGGCACUACCACGGAAUCCCUUCAAAGCACUUGAAUGUGGUACCACAUAGCUAAGCUAGUUUUUUUCAAGUAUCAUAAGAACAACUUUUCCCAGGUUGGUUUGUAAAUUGAAUGCUGACCGGGCCUGUUUGGACAUAUAAGAAUUUUUGAGUAUUUGAACCGGUCAUUCUUGCCCAGAGACACAAGAUAUCUUAGCUGCAAGAAUGACACAAUGUCUAGAGAGAGUUACAUUGUUUAAAUAGCAGAAAACAAGGAAGAUUUUUUCCUAAUAAAUUCUUCUACAAAUGGCUAAAAAAAAGACCCGGCGCUAUAGUUCCUUGAACAACCUCUGUACAAACUCUCCCUCACCCUUUUCAAAUUGACUCAUUUUACAAAGAUAAUACUAACUACUUAUGAUUUUCCUAUAGUCUGGCUUCUCUUUUCGCUUAUUUCUUGGCCGCUUUGCUCUCAGUUGAAGUUUCAACGGCCAGAAACAAAUAAUGAAUUGGCUGUUAAUUUGUUCCCUUCAACCUGAAUUUUCUUUGCUUUUGCCUUGUCCAAACGUGCUCGUCUUACAGCUUCUUGGAUGUGGCGAUCGUGAUCUUUCAGUACUUGAUCCACUUUGCCUGAUGGAACUAGUAGUGGUCCGGAGUAGUGAAUUUUGUUGCCUUUUGAUCCAUAUCCCAGCUGGACAUUAAAAAAGUGAGCAAAUCAGCGGCUAAAACCAUCAUCGGAUUUGAAAGCAUAUUAUGCUGUACAGAUGUAUAAAAGAAAGAACAUGUUGAUAGGCUCUUACAAGAACAGGAUCGUUGCUGCUGGUUUUACCAUCCUCGUUUUGAUGUGAGUUGGCAAGUGCAUGAUUUUUCUGCUCUUGUUUCAUCGCGGAAUGUGAAACCUCUUUGAAGGAUCCAGGGAACCUGGCUAUAAGUUUAGGAACCUCCUGUUUGUGUGGACCGGACUUAUCUGACCGAUCUUCAGAGAACAUGCUUCUCCUUGCAGCUACUAGCCCAGACAUAGCUGACAAAUCUGCUACAGAUAGUUUUGGGGCAUCAUCCAUAUUUUUUCCAGCUUUUGCCCAAGCAGCUCGGUGAGACAAUGGCCCGGAAUGGGAGCCUCGCUUGUGUAGCUGUGCCGAGUGAGGAUCAUUGCUUGCUUCUUCCACAACUUGAGAUGGUCUAGGGGGGUCAAUUGGAAAACCGGAGGCAACUUCUUCUGGAUGAGAGUUAAACAUCUCGCUUCUGCUUUUUGAAUUGGAUUGACCUUGUCUUUUCUGCAGAGAGAGCACCACACCACAUGAAUAUGGAACAAAACGACAGAAUUAACAGAAUUUGUACUUUCAAGGCUUGAAUUGGCAAACCAAAGGUAAAUGCAAAACAAUGGCUACCAGAACAAAAAAAAUAAAAAAGCAUAAAACUCACAAUGAAGCCACGAUAGAAGUACACACUUCUCUUUCAUGCUCUCAUGUUUUAAAUGAAUAGAUUUUCAUAUGCUCAACUCCCAUACUAUCAGAAAGGAAGAAAUGGACUGUUGUGACAACAUAAUCCCUCUGUCCUGUUUAAUAUGACACACUUCCCUUUGUAGAGUUUGUCCCUAUCCCAAAUAUAGCAUCAUUUCAAAUUUUUGGAACAGCGUAACUUUAAACUUGCUAUUUUACUUGGAGUUGACUCAUAAUGGAUUGCUUGCCUACGAAGCCUCCUGGCUUUCACUCCUCCAAUUAGACCCUUAGGCUCGUUUGGUACGAGGGAUAUGGAUAACUAAUCCCGAGAUUAAUUUUAGGAUGAGUUCAUCCCAUGUUUGGUUGGGAUAAUAUAGCGGGAUAACAUAUCUCGGGAUUGUAGUGUUAUUUUUAUCCCACAUUGAGGGUGGUAUAACAAAUCCUGGGAUAACUACUCCGGGUGUAACUUGGUUCCCGACCAACGAAGCUGUUAAUGGGAUGAGUUAUAGCCAUACAAAUGCCUAUGGCUUGUUUUAUGUUUUAGGCCAAGUUUCAAAAAUCUUUUUUUACCUAUACUCCGUUCCAGUCAAACACUGCCACAUAAAUUAGGACAGAGGUAGUAGUAAUCUAUGUUGCUCGGACUCUUCAAAAAUGUCAUCGGGUCACCGCAACUUAGGUAGUAAUUUCAUGGCCUAAUAAGUAAAUAUUCCAGGGUAACUUGAGUUACUCAAGCCAGGGACUCAGAAAGUGCAGUUCUACUCCAAGGACAAAUCAAUGUCAACAAGCUAUGGUAAGAAAAUUUACCUGCAUAGAGGAAACUAGUUCAGCAUUGGCUUCGGGUGCAGGAACUGCACGCGAAUCUCUUGUUCCUCUCCUUUCUGAAUCAUAUCUAUGACCCUUAGCUCCAGCAGCCGCUUGCCUAAAUAUUUGCAAAGGCAGUUAGAUUAUCAGUACAUAAAUAAGAGCAAAUCAAUCAGCACAAAUAUCAAUUAUGUCUUGAUGCCCUUUUUUUACUGAAUUCUGGAGCACAUUGAAUAAGGAAGCUGGAUAAAUCAUAUUUAUAUUUUCUGCUACUUUUACCUUCGGGCUUCUUCAUCCCGCACUUUUGCAUCAAAUUCCUUGCUCGGAGGAUAUUUUGGCAAGCUUGAAGGAUCACAAGGAAGUGGCUUUGUUGUAAAGAACUGAAAUAAACAGGCCUUUUUGAGAGGGGGGGAAAAAAAAGGCAGGUUCCAUAAUGAAAAUUCAGAAAAUUUGUCUAAUCAUUGCCAUUCGGGCUACAUAGCAUAAAAAAACAACAUACAAAGUAGAUGAUUGUAAGAAAUUUCAAGAGAAAGCACCAUUAUCAAUGGUUGUUCCAGCACAAAUGAUAGUUCGCGAGAUGGCACGUUAACAUCUUCAACAAAGUGAAUGUCCUAGUGAUACAGUAAGAUUUUAUCUUUAAGAAACUUCAUACCUCACUCUUCAAGGCAGAGGCUGAGGACCCACGAUCAGCAGGAUCUAUGGACAGCAAGGUUUCUAUGAGUGCUAGUGCUGGUACAGGGAACUCUUUAAAUGUUUCUGCAACACAGCGCCUAUAAGGUUGUUGCGGCUUGAAAAUUGUUGCAUGUGGCAACCUCGAUUUCCUCCAGUAUUCCUCGGAAGGUGAUCCACACAGUUUGAAAAUCUUAUGAAGCUGUUCAACCUACACCGCAGAUUAUGCACUUAAAAUUUAUUAACAUGUUAAGCUUGAGCACAAGGUCAAUAGAGAGAAAAUCAUACAAGUAAUACAAGAGAAGAAACUACAGAUAGGAUAAGUAACAGGCCAGCAAUAUCAAGUUGAAUAAAAGACGCAACUAAUGAAUGUUCUCUAUCAGAGAAAGUUGUAACCACCAUAGACUAUUCAUAACAUAAGAACACAGAUGCACCUAACAGGAUGAUAAGAUAAAUUAUCUGUUAAGGAGUGCAAAUAAAAAAGAAGUAUAUAAGAUCACAUGAUACAACGCCUAUUACAUCUGACUAGGAUGCCAUAGAACUGAAUCAGAGGUCAAACUUGAGAAGAUUCUUUUCAAAGAUGCAUCAAAAUUCCAGUGUCGCAACUUCCUUGCAUUUAAGUACCAAAGUAACACCAAUAUCAUUCAUAUCCCCGGAACUGCCAAGUGUAACUUACCUACCAGUUAGUGAAGAAAAUGAAGACAACCAUUCAUUGAGCAACACCAAUUUGUUGGGAACAAGCAAAAAAACCAAAAGACUAACAAAGAACAUACCUCUGUUCUUCCUGGCAUUAUAGGCUUGCCGGCAUAAAGUUCUGCUAGUAUGCAACCAGAGCUCCAUAAAUCCACAGCAGUCCCAUAGUAAGUAGCACCAAGUAGCAGUUCAGGAGGCCGAUACCAGAGAGUCACUACACGGCUAGUAAGAGGCUGGCUUUGAUGAGGAUCAAAAAAGCUUGCUAGACCAAAGUCAGCGAUCUUUAAUAUGCCAUUAUUGUCAAUUAAAAGGUUGGAACCUUUUAUAUCACGAUGUAAAACACCACGACUGUGACAAUGAUCAAGUCCACGUAAAAGUUGUUGCAUGUAACAUUUGACCUACAAAAGCAAAAGUACAAAUUUUCCAUUUAAGUGAGCAAAUAAUAAAUUCUCAGAAAGGGUUAACAAAAUGAAAAAAGAAAGAGAACCAAGUACUUCCCUCCACAUGAAAAAGUGAUACAUAGUGAGCAAAUUCAGAGGCAUCUUUAUUAUAAAUGCAAGAAUGCAAUCUCAGAAAGGAAGCCAUUACAAAAAUUCUGUUGAUGUAAAUACAAAUUGAGGUCUGACUAUGAGGAUUUUCAGCUAUAAACGUUUACUGGGCUAAUGUAAUUUGCAAAAAUGGUGAAAAAGAAUACUGUAAUCUGCAAAACAUUGAAUGCACAGAUAUUGCAAGCAAAUUCAAAUGAGUACCUGUGACUCAGUAAACUUAAGACCAGGAUGUGAUGCUAGCCCUGCUAGAUCAUGCUCCAUGUAUUCAAAUACAAGGUACAGGCUGCAAGACAUCCUAGAAGUAACUAAACCUUCUAGUUUUACUAUGUUUGGAUGAUCAAGCCUCCGUAAUAUGUGAAUCUCCCUAGCCAUGAAUCGAACACUCUCAGGUUCUAGAUUAUCAAAUCUCACUUUCUUCAAAGCAACAAUCUUCCCUUGAUCAAGAUCACGAGCACGAUAAACGUUGCUGUACGUACCCUGGCCAAUCUAAGGAAAAAGAAGCCAUAAUACCAAAUAUCAAGUUAGCCACAUUCACUCAUCAAGUUUUUUUAGAAGUAAACAGAUCACACAGUAGACCAUUUUUUUCUAGCUAGAGUAACCACAAGAAAAAAGUUUCUGUCAGUACCCAAGAUCAUAAGAAACAAGAUGUCUGACUAUUUUGAUGAAGUUGUCAUUUUUUUUUCAUGGAAAAAAAGUGUGAAUAUUAACCUUUGCAUACCCCACGUAGAUCACAGCGUUCACAUAUAUCAGAAACAUACCACAACAACAACAUAACUAGCGCAAUUCCACAAGUUGGGUCUGGGGAGGGUGCUAUGUUCACAUAUAUCAGAUAAAUGCCAAAAAAUAUUUCAUGGCUGAGAUAUAGAUGUUAAAAUUAUUGAGCAUGCAAUAGUUACUAUGGAAAGACCAUAAUCAAAAUGUAUAGUGAUCUAGAGAAGGAGCAAGUUUCAGACAUGUCAUCACUCAUCAGCCUUCACGACCGGAGCAAUUUGUGUAAUAAACAGGGACUGAUAAGUUGAUAACUUCAGAGGUUUGAAAUAUAUGCAAAGUAACCAUCUUUGGGUUUGCAAUGCAUUGGUGGGUCUUGAGAGUUUUAAGUGGUGUACAAGCAAAAGGAUAUUAAAACUGGAAAGUAAUAGGCAUAGAUUAACUUGUUUAAGACUAUUUUCUUCACUGAUGUCAUGAUUUGAAGUAAAAGAAAAUAUGCAUCAACCAGAACUAUCAAGUUUCUUUGUAAGACUCCUGCAUAAAUAAGCUAAAGCCAGCUUCUUGCAUUCCUCAAUCAAAGGGAAAAUCAGCAGUCAAUCGCUGGAAUUCGUUUUUUUUUUUUUUCAAGAUAAGGAAAUUCUGCGGUAAAGAAACACCAGUCGGUCUUAGGUUCAAGGAAACAAAGUACAGAAAACAGAUAAAAAGCUUUACACCUCUCUGCCAAACUUUACCCACUACAUUCCAAACUAACAAAAUCAUAAAAUGUCUCCCUGCCAUAAUAUUAGAUGAAUGUUACUGGAAGAUAGUAUUGUGGCAGUAACUGUAGAAAUUUUCUAGGAUUAUCAUCUAACGACAUACUUAAAUUUAAAGGAGGAAACUUGACUUGUUUCAUCGUAUCUGAAACAACAGAAUGAUCAGAAUCCGUUCAUCAAUAGCAAUAUUCUGUACAUUGGGCCAAAUGUAGCAAACCGCUGGAGAAACUAAAUGAGGCCUAUUCAAACAUAACGAAUACAUGUAAUAGUUCACAAAAGAAAGACAUUUGAUACAAAUCAAUUAACUCUGUCUCAAUCUCCAUUUAGAUGGGUUCAGCUAUGUUAAUUGUGUACAUUCUGCUUUAUUUGGGAAUAUUACAUUCCAAUACAUCCCUUGCCCAUUCAGUACUACACAGGAAUGACGAUGCAGUGCAUGCCUAAGGGAACGCGUCCGUAUGAAUUCAAUGUUUGAUUCAUGAUAUUAUGACAAUUUUAACAAUGGAUAUCAACCUACUGCAACCCUUGGCUUCUUUUUGAGCUUUGGACCAGCUAUCCUAAACUCGCACUAUGAAGUACAUGUAUAAAUCUAUGUUUGCCUUGACAACUGAAAUAUAGCCCAGUGAUAAGAGCUCUGCGCCUCCAACUAUGAGGUUGGGGCUCGAACAGCCAAGAAGGCUGUAGCAGGAAAACCACAGUUGGCUCCCGGUAUAAGGGGUUUGGAGGAGUAGAUUUACCAUAUUGGAAAAACAGAUUAAUUUCUUGCUCGUUUCCUUAGACUUAUAUUCAGCACAAAAUUGUGAUUCGCUAUACCAUGCAAAAGAAAUUAAAAAAUCAAGCUCCAACUCUCUGCUUGUCAAAAUCCCACAUUGGUUAUGGAGGGAGUAGUUGGUCUCAUUAUACGAUCUUUGACAAUCCUCACCUCAUGAACUUGAGGUUGAGUUAGGCCCAAGGUCCAGGAUGAACCUCGUACUUUGAUCACGGAUUGUAAAUUUAGGUGUAAAAAAUACUAAAAUUGCACUAGAUAAUAACUACGAAUCUAUAAUGGGUUCAAAUCUAAGAACCUUAAAGAGAUCGAACCCAUAAAGCUAAAACCUUGGAUUUGCCUGUACCAAGGUCCAUUUCUUACCAUGGCAUCAGGAGUCAAACUCAUUCUAAUUGUUGGUUUACCAAGAUGCAAGGCCUCCAUAUUAUGUUAUUCACACCCCAAAUGUAGGAGGCUCACAUUGGCUAUGGAUGGGGUAAUUGAGCUAUCUUUUGAUGCUGAAGUGAAACAUUUCCGUCUUUUCGGAUAAUCAAACAUUUAAGCAGAACGCUGACAUGAAUUAAUAAGGACAAAUUACAUGAGUCAUAACCAAACUUCUACCAAUAAUUCACUUUUUUGUGGGGGAGAGAGAGAAACUAUUACGUGACCAUUAUCAUGAAAUGUUUGAUGUUCCUACUGUAGAAUUAAAAGUCAAGAACAUAAAAAGGAGCAUACUUUAUCCAAUUUCUCAAAAGAAUCAGCUCGCCUAGGCACCCAUCCUCUGAUAGCUUCACCAGCAACUGCAGCAAGCCAUGGUGGCCAUCCAGCAGCAACCUGUUCCCCUUCACUACUUUUUGGUAAUGUCCCAAUGCCAAGAUGAUGAUGAUGAGUGGCAACAAUAAACUCUUGUUUCUCCCUUUUCCUCUCAUAAUUCUCAGUCUGCAACCUAACUGUACCAUUUACUUGUUUAUCAAUCAACAUUGCCUUCCCAUCAAUGCUCCUAUAAGCUUCCUCUCUUCUUGAUGAACCAGGUCUUGGCCCUCGCAAACUCGCAGCACUUUUAUUUGACAGUCUCUCCCUUGGACUAUCUCGACUGUCUUCAAUGGCAGAAGGCUUGCCACAAACACAACCCAUCCCAAAAAUACUAAACUAAAAAAAGCAUCAACACUACAACCCCACCUCCCAAAAUCACACCUUUUCACCAAUACCCCUCCUCAUUUUCAAGAAAACAACACUUCCCAAUUACUACAGUACAACAUCAAAAUCAAACAAACCCCACCUCCCAAAAUCUUAUCUUUUCACCAAUAAACCUAGACUCACUAACCAAUAUCAAAGAAACCAACUUUAACAAGAACACGUAAACUUCAGAAAACCAAGAAAACAGUUCAUAUACACAGAGUGUAUAAAUGUACAGCCACUAAAAAUCAGCAAUACUGCAACCCCACCUCCCAAAAUCUCAUCUUUUCACCAAUAAACUUCUACAACCACUUUCCAAUAUUAAAGCAACCAACUCUAACAAGAGCAUUAACUUCCCAAAAUCACACCUUUCCACCAAUACCCCUCCUUAUUUUCAAUAAAACAACACUUCCAAUUACUGCAAUACAACCAAAUUACCAAAAUCAAACAAACCCCACCUCCCAAAAUCUCACCUUUUCACCAAUAAACCAACACCUACUUACCAAUAUCAAAGAAACCAAACUUUAACAAGAACAUUAACACUUCAGAAAACCACUACACCUCCUCAUUUUCAAGAAAACACCACUUCCCAAUCACUGCAAACAACCAAAUUAUCAAAAAAUUAAACAAACCCCACCUCCCAAAAUCUCAUCUUUUCACCAAUAAACCUCCAGCCACUUCCCAAUAUCAAUGAAACCAACUUCAACAAGAACAUUAACACUCUACAAAUACCAAGAAACAGCUCACAUACACACACACUGCAGUAUACAAAAUGUACAACCUUAAAUCACUGAAACAGUGCAAAUACUAAUGUAUAUAGUACACAAAGUUGAGUGGAGGAGAAAGCAUGUUUGUGGAUCUAGGGCACAUACAACAAUACACAAUACACAAAAGAAAGAUUAAAAAAGAGGAGUGUUUUUACAUAAACUACUGUUAGGUGAGAUUUUUAUAUAUUUCUGACUGGUGCAGAGCAGCUUUUUUAAUAAAUACACUUUCACAGUACUCAGUAUAUGUGUGUGUGUGUGAGAAAGAAAACAGAGAAAGGAAGAUGGGAAGACCAAUGCUGUUACGUUCGUGACAUUCUUAAAUCUUUGUAGUAGUAUACGUAACAUGUUUAGUUGACAAACACGCGCAUAACAAAACAAAGAAAUUGCCAGCUUAGCUUAUCCACCUUACUUUAUUUUGUUUUAAUUAAAUGUCUUGCUUUGGCUCUUUUGAUGAUGAUGAUGAUGCCACCUAAAUCACCUACAAUAUUUUUAUUACCAUUGUUAUGAUACAGAAUAAGUAAAUUAUAAGUAAAAAAAAAUAACAACAUCAUACAGAUUUUUGUGAAAAUUUUUGAAAAAAAACCACGGAUAAAGGCAAAUGAAGUUUACCAUAAUGGAGAGAGUAUAAUAUGGAGAAGUAAAUUUUUCUAAAUAAUAAAAAUAACCCACUAAUUUACAUUUAUAUAUAGUACGUGCUUACAAAUAAGUCCUAGGCCCAAAAACAUAAAGGUUCAUACCGCAAGGGCAAUUGGGAUCAAUGGUGGUAGCGUAGGGAUCGGAUUGAUUGAAAAUCACAAACAUGAUUCGCACUGCGAAAUUUUCAAGGCUGGAUCAACAAAAUUCGGAUCACAACUCUAAAAACAUGCAUAUCUCAAUUUUGUUCAGUUUUGCUUGUAAAUUUUUUUAUUUUUAAAUCUCCAAUAAUACUUAUUCUGUUUAUAAAAUUAAUGGAUGAUUUAUUAUUUUCUAUCAGUUUUAUCCUUAGCAUUGAAUAGAUUCAUUAUCUAAUACAUUUUUCAAGCAUUAAAUUUAUUAUAUUUAAAGGGUAAUAUGAUAAAAUUACCUUUAUCAUUUACUAUUUCUUAAUUUUUGUGUUAAUAAUAAAAUAGGCAAAUAAAAAUAGAUGGAAAGAGUACUCUGUAGAAAUCCACAAAUAAAGUCUUAAAAGGAUAGUAUGUAUGCAGCCUUAUCACUACUUUGGAAGAUGAAGAAGUUGUUUACGAUAGACUCUCGCCUUAACAAAAAUAUCAAAGCAUUACUAUUUGCAAGAUUUAAUACAUGAAUAAUUUAAUAUCCAGUUUUAUUUUGUAUUUUUUUUUAGUUUUCCACUUGAUUCUCAAUCCUGCAUUAAAACUUAAUUAAAUUUAAAUUAAGAUAAAAAUACUUUCUAAUAAAACAACACUAUACGAGACUAUGCAUUAAGACUUUACUAUUUCCUUGAUCUCAAAUUUUUUAAUUUAAUUUUUCAUUUUACUUAUUUUUUUCAUUAAUUAAUAAGAGACAAUUUUUUUUUCAUUUUUACCUUUUGCAUUAAUUAUUUUUUCUUCAAAUGAAAAUAUAAACAACAUUUAAUAGAGAUAUUAUGAUAAACUAGGUAUAUUAUUAAUUAUUAUUUUUAAUCGAUGUAUCAUCUCAAUUUGGAACGGAGGGAGUAUAAAAGUCCAAAUUUGUUUUGUACCAAAUGCACAUGUGAUUACUAAUUAGCAUUUAAUCUUCUUCCAAAUUUUCAAAAUAGUUUUUUGUCGAUAAGUGUUAAACUGAUUUUUUUACAAAAUUUAAUCUAGUGGGGCCCUACAGCUACCUGUACAAGUACAAACUCCAGCUGUUCGUGAAGGCGCGUGGUAGUAAUGCGCGUGACUGUAGAAGGAGUUUUUACUGCUGUCUCUGUUUUCUGCACAAAGUAAUGUGGCUUUGUUCAGGGCCUGGUUGGGUGGGACUUGGGUGUGGGAUAGCGGCAAAAUUUUCAUUAAAAAAUUAUUUAGUUAAAAAUAAUACUAAUACGGAUAUACCCUCAAUUAAUGAUAGUGGGUUUAUUAAAUAAGAUAGUUAGAAACAAAAAUAUAUAUAUAUAUAUAUAUAUUUCUGAAUUAUGAUAAAUGAUACGUAUAUACCUUCACUAUAUUUUGGUACACAUAUGUCCUUACCAAUAGUGUGAAGGGCAUAUAACGAUAGAUGUAUAUGUGUACCCAAACUAUAAUAGAAGAUAUAUACAUAUUAUUUAUAGCUUAAAAAUAUAUUUAUUCAUUUUUGGUUUCAAAAUUGAUUACUCUAGUACUAGUUAUCUCAUUCAUCCUCAAGGUGAGAUAAAAAUAUAUUACAAUCUCAGGAUAGUUGACAAUUAAUUUUAGGAUAGAGUUAUUUCACACAUUUUAUCCAAACAAAUAUGAAAUAAAAUUAUCUUAAAAUUAAUUUUGAGAUUAUUUAUCCCUUAUUUUUUGUACCAAAUAAAUCCUAAAAGGGUUCAAAAUAUAUAAAAGUAAACACAUAAUGAAAUCGAAGGAGGUUCAAAAACUACUAUAUAUAUAUAUACAAUAAUUGUAGUUUCAAUUAUACAUACAACAACAACAAAUCCAUUGUAUUUCCACAUAAUAAAAUGUGGAGAAGAUAAAAUAUACGCAAUCCAUACCACUACCUUCAGAGAAGUAGAAAGAUUGUUUCCGAUAGAUCCCUGACUCAAGACAAAGUUUUAAUUAUAUAUAAAUAACAUAAUUUUGUGUCAAAUAAAAUUCGAUUGAACCCCUCGAUUCUACGUGACUCAACGGAAGUGAAGAGGGUGGUGGUGGGGGACUGGUUUGCUUUUCUACUUUUUAAUUGUGGGGUCUUCACGCAUUAAUAUGCUAAGUUGAGGCCUUUAAGUGCAAUUAUUAUUCCUCAUUUACCAUGCUGAACCACUAAUUUCCCCCACCGCUUUCUAAAAAGGCCAUUAAUUCUGAGUUUAUUGCAGCAGUAAAAUAAAACCUCAUGUGGGUUCCACCCCCCUUGACAUAAUUCUUCACCCUCCUCCGUUUUAAAAUAAUUGAUCCCUGUUAAUUUAAUAUUUAAUUUAUUAUGAGUUUAUUUUAUUAGGUUAAUUUUAUUAAUUAUAAUUUAAAAAUAUAAAUUUGAGUAUAUACACUUUAAGUACUUAUUUAAUGAUAGAAAUAGUAAUGGAAAAACAUAAAAAUAUUCUUUUAAUAAAUAAAAGAGAUAACUAAAUUGAAACAAGUAUUUUUUUUUAAAAAGUCAACUAAAACAAAACGUAGAGAGUAUUUCCUUUCUCUAUAAUCAUCUGAUAUUCAAUAUUCAUAUUCACUAAUUUCUACUAGUUUAAAUUUAUAUCAUUUAGAAUUUGUUAAUUUCUCCGUCCAUCAAUAGUUAUUCAUUAUUGACUUGACAUAUAUAUUAAUAAAUAGUAAAUGAUAAGAAUAAAUUAUCAUAUCAUUCUUUGAAUAUAACAAAUUUAAUAUUUUAAAAAUAAACUAUUUAUUAAUUUUCAAAUGGGACAAGUAUUAUAGAAUAUUUAUUUUUAGUACGGUGUACGAGUAAAUAGAUGAGAAAAUUAGUAGAUAAGAUUAGAAACAAUCAUUUUUAUGAGGAGAUGCAAGUAGCACGUACUAAAAAUAAAUGCGAGAAGGUCAUUUGAGAUAGUUUGAACACAUUAUACGUCAAUCUAUAAAUGCAUUGGUAUACAAGUAUGAAAUUAUGAUAAGUGAACGUAUUAAAAAGAAAUGAAUAAACCUAAAAUCACAUGAAAGGAAGUAAUCAAAUAAGACCUCAAAAUUAUUAGUACCAAUAUAAGUUAUUUUAAAAGUCACUCCAAAAUUUUAUUUGCAAGAUUAAACAAUAUAUAUAAAUAAACAUUGAAUUCAAGGCAUGGACGGAGUCAUCUUAGACAAAGGAUGGUCCGAUGCACAUCCUACGUCAGAAAUUUACGUGGUGAAUAGAGAUUAAAUGGUAGCUAUUUUGCGCAUUCUUAAUAUAAUUGAAUAAAAAAUUUGUACAUUCUCACUGAUUUGAGAUUAACGUUCUAGGAAAGGAUAAUUUCUCAACAGUUAUUUGCACAAACUUUUAAAAAUAGGUACAAAUUUUAAAUGAUGGUCGAAAAAAGAAGUAUUUGACAAGGAAAUCAAAAUGAAAGUACUCUGGCUUGCUACGUACAAGUUGGUAAAUAUGUUAUGUACUGGUACUUACUGAAAUUCUAACAAUAGUAGAAUAAUGAAAAAAAGAAAAGAAAAGAGGCAGAUGUAAUAUUAAAAAUAAUUUUUGAAAUCAUUAGUAUUAUUUUGUGUGUGAGAGUUUUAAAAGUUUGAAACCUAAAGAAAACAUUAUUUUUUAAAGAGAAAAUAUCCAAUUACUUCCCUGAACUAUACUCAAAAGAGUCAUGACACACCUCAACUUAAAGGGGUUCUAUUACCCCUGAACUAAUUAAAAGUAUAAUUUUGACAUCCUUAAUGCAUACGUGGCACACAUAUGUACCUACAUGGACACUUCAGUAUGUUGUGCCACGUAGACACUAAGAAUGUCAAAAUUAUACUUUUAAUUAGUUUAUGAGUAAUGAUCCACCCUUUAAAUUAAGGUGUGUCAUAACUUUUUUGGUAUAAUUCAAGGGUAAUUAAGUAUUAUCUCUUUUUCAAAAAAAAUAGCUUCAUUUGAUAUUUUUUUGUUAAUUCAUGUCUUUAAUGAGUGUGGACCAUAUUACAAUGUGUUCAACAUAUGGAUACUAAAUUAUUGAAAACUGUUGAUGGAAUUCAUGAAAAUCUUUUAACUAACAAUUGGACUCACUUUUUGCUAAAACAGUUAAAGCGAGUUAUGAAUUUUUAUUUUUUUUUGAUUUUUUAUCCCGUGUUCAAUGCCAGCAUUGAAAUCUCGAUUAAUUUGGAUCGCGCGUUGCAGGACUCAUUAAGGUGGCGAUGAAGCAGCCCCAUCCACUACACCACAACCCAUGUUGAUGAUUUGACAAGUUGGUAUAAGUAAUACCUCGUAUAAUUAGUUAAAAGUGAGCCCGAUAAUUAGUUAAAAGAUUUUUAUGAAUUCUAUCAACAUUUUUUCAAUAAUUUUAUGGUAUUACUUAUUCGACCAGUUACCUCAUACAAUUAUUGAAAAAAUGUUGAUGGAAUUCAUAAAAAUCUUUUAACUAAUUAUUGGGCUCACUUUUUGCUAAAAUAAUUAUAACUAGUUAUGAUUCCACAAGCUAGUAUAAGUAAUACCCCAUACACACACUACCUUCAUAAACUCUUUAUAACUGUAAUUAAUUAUGCUGACAUAAUAAAGCUUUGGGGAUUAAAGGAUAUGAUAUGUUUAUGUAGUUUGUUUCUUUAUUUAAUAGUUUAAUUUGGGAAUUUAAGAAAGUAAUAAUGUUCUAGGUAGGGAAGUUUAAAUUCGAUAUAAUUAAAACUAGAAUAGUAGACCUUCAUCGUCAUAUUUUCAAAUCUCUGACCUAUACUAGCUUUGAUAAAAAUUAAAAUGGUCAAGGUUUGACUCUUUACUUAAUUAAUUUUUUUCCUAGAUUAGCAUUAAAGAGAAUUUAGUUCAACCUGUUUUUAAUUUAAGUAAAUUCAGGGAGAAAUAAAACGGAUUGCAAUAAUGACAUUAUUUUAUGAGGUGGAAGAAAAGUUUUCUCUUACAUCAAGUUAAUAAUUAAGCCAUUAGAGUUACAAUAAUUUUAGACGAGAUCUCUUAAAUAACUAUAAAUCUAUAAUUCAAGAAGACAAACAAAUUUUUAUAUAGACAUGUCAGGUAGAGCAGUGGCGGAGACAAAAUUUUUACUUAGAGGUUUAGAAAAAAAAUAUACGAAUUAAUCAAAAGGGGUUCAACAUCUACUGUGUAUACAUAAAAAGUAAUUUUAAUCAUGUGUAAAUAGUAUAAUUUUUCAUCGAAGUAAGCUCAGAUGAACUCUCUUGCCCAAAGGUGGCUCUGCCCUUGAUGUAAAUUAUUAGUUACCGGUUCAGACAAACUCGGUAACUAUUAUUUAGAUCUUGUAUUUAUAUUACGAAAUUCAUUAAAAUAUAUACACGUAUAUAAAAUUGUCAAACAAAUAACUAUGAUGGACGACUAUCAAUUUGGUGACAAGUUCAAAACCGUCAAACUUCAAAUUUUGACUCCACCUAUAAUUAUUUUAGAAUAUGAACAAACUUGUGUAUCUCUUAUCACCAUACUAUACAUGCAUGCCUAAUUAUAUAUCUUAAUUACUUUGAGAAGCCAAUGAAGAUUUUUUUAAGGAAACAAACCAAAUAUUAAAAUAGCAAAUUAUAUUGCAGAAGAUAAGGUGAAGGUGAAUGAAGAAAAAGAAGCACAUGAUGAUAUAAUAAAGACAUUUAAUAAUGAACAGUAGAAAUUCAAGUAAGUAAUAAUGCAUGCAUGAAAUUAAUGGCAGUGCUUUGUAUUUUCCAGACAAUGUAACGGGUGAGUAGGACCAGGCCACAUCAAAGGUUUUGGUCCUAUUGGAAAAUGGAUAUAAACAUUUGAGAAAAUAAUCCAAUCUAAUUUUUUUUAUUUUUUGAUUUAGUGAAUCGAUUUACAAAUACUUUAUAAAAACUCAAGUUUUGAUUUGGUAGUUGAUUUUAACAAGUAAAAACUUAUUUUUAGAAGAAGAAUUACACAAAAUGAUAAUUUUUAAGAUUGCUACGUAAAGAAUAGCUGAAAUUUACAAAGCUUCCAAAGUCUAAUCGCCUCAUAAUUAAACUUCAAAAUUUUGAUUUUCAAACUGAUGUAUAAAGUUUCAACUUCGAGUAUUUAAUUUGAAUUAUCAGAACUUAUUUUGAAAAAAAACUCCAAAAUAAAUCAAUAAAAACAAACUUAAAUUUCCUACUUCAAAGUUGUUAUAUCACAUAAAAGCGAUUAGACUUCAAUGGAUAAUAUACCAAGGAAGAAUUAAGUAUUUGACGAAUUGAAGAUAAGAAAAUUCAAAUUAGACAUCUACGCAUGAAUUUAGGCUUGAAUAGUUCUUAAUUUAACCUUUUUGGACUGAAGAUCAUAAAAAUAUCAAGCCUAACUUAGGUUCAAACGUUUGAAAUUUUAAAUUGUAUGCUACAUUAUACCAACCUCAGGAGUUAAUAACUCAAAUGGUCACUCAACUUUGGACUUUUAUCCCAAAAAGUCACUCAACUUUCACAUUUUUACUCAGAAAGUCACUCAACUUUCACAUUUUUACUUUCUAAAUGUGAAAGUUGAGGGACUUUCUGAGUAAAAAUGUGAAAGUUGAGUGAUUUUCUGAGUAAAGAUCAAAGUUGAGUAACUUUCUGGGAUAAAAGUCCAAAGUUGAGUGAUCAUUUAAGUUAUUAACUCCCAACCUCAGAUACUAAACUUUGAACUCGAAAUAUUCAACUUCAAUCUCAUAAACUUGAAUUUGAUUUCGAGUUAUCUUAGCUUUUAAAAUUUUAUAAAUAUCGAUUAUUCUUUAAAGAAAAAAUCACAUAAACUAGCAACUUUAAGACAUUAAUUACAAUUUAUAACAAUAGUUUUUAAAAAUUACAACUAAUAACAAAACUAGCAAUAUUUUACCUUACAUUGAGAAAAGCGUGUGACAUUAACUCUACUUUUUUACCUUCUUCCAUUUUCACGCCAUAUUCCAAUUUCAGUUCCCUUCAACUCUUUUUUUUUUUUCAAACUCCAUUUUUUGCUUUCCGAAUCUUGAUAAACUCUGCAUCCAACUUUUAAGGUAAGUUUAUUUUUCAAUUAAUGCAUGUUAUAUUUUCCAUAUAAACUCUUUUAUAUGUUUUAUUGUCGAUUUUUUUUUUCAAUUUUUCAUUCUUCUUCCUCCUCGUCUGUUAGGGUUUGAUUUUUUUUUAUUUUUUUUUUGAGUUUGUGUUGAAAUCUUUGAUUUUUCGAUAUAAUGGUACAACAUGCAAAUCAUAGUAUUUCAGUUAGUGGUAAUAAACCGAUGAAUUUAGUUUCCGAUGAACUUCCAUCUUUUAGUCUUGAGUUAACUCAAGAUGAAGUUUUUAACUUGGGUUCUUCUAAUAUCCAGCCUUAGGGAGGUGUUAGCAGUGAAGGAGCGAGAUUGAAGCACUAUAAAAAUUCGAAAAAUAUUGUCGAAAAAAUGAAACGGAAAGGUUUGACAAAAUCUUCAUCUCCAAAACCCCCAAAAAUUCAAAAAUCAAUAAAAAAGACAAAGUCAGAUGAAAAAGGUGAAUGUAGAAAAAUUUCAAGUCCUGUUUCAUCUGAUUUUGAAUCAGAAGAAGAGAAAGUGGAGGAGAUAUGUUUCUAUUUUUAAAAUUUUGUAUUUUCUUGAAAACAUGUUCAUAGGCGUAUUUUAUAUAUACAAUUUAUUAUGUAUGUAUUUAUUUUUCUGUUUCUUUAUGAUUUGAAAUUUUGGUAUAUAUUGUGUUGUUAAGAUAUGAAAUUGUAGCCCCUAAUUAUAUAUAUUUUUGUGAAAUUUAUAUUUUGUAUAUACUUGUUGUAUACAUAAAUACAUAUUUAUAUGUUUAUUGUAAUUAGUUGUAUUCUGUAAAUACAUAAGUGUCACUCUUUUGACAUGUAAAAUUUACAUGCUACAGUUUAGAUAUUUUUUUAUUUUGUUUACUGUUAAUAUUAGUGUUUGAUGUCAAGUUGUAUUUUUUAUUCAUUUGAUUUAGACGAAGUCAUGUACUUCUUCUUGUUAAUUUGAAAGAUUUCCGUUAUGUAUAAAUAAAAUACAUAUGACUUUUUCUUUUUUAGAUUUAAUUUAGGAAUAAUGUAACUUUAAGUUGUAUUUCAUAAAUAUACAUAUGUCACUGUUUUGAUAUAUAAUUGUAUUUUGUGGUGUAUAGAUUUUGCGUGAUCAAAUAUACAUGACAAGAGUAUUGCCAAAAUUUGCUCCACUUAUAGGGUGCCAUACUGUCAAUGACAUUGAACAUCGCAUUAAGUCAAUUUUAACGAAGAAUCGGUAUAAUAUCUUUUGUAAUAAUAGCAUAUUUGCUGUCUAUUGAGCUAACAUCAAAGGAGAUUUCAUGCUUUCGGAUACCCAAGAAGGUUGUUCCUACAGGUGUAAGUCACAAAGAUGAUGAGGUUAAUUCGGAUGAUGAUUUCCAGGAUCCACCACAUCCAAAAAAAUAUUCAAUCACCUAAAAAAAACAUCAUGGUGAUUCAUCAUCUUCACCUGUCAAGAAAAAGCUGAAGCAACAACAUAAAGGUUUGGAUGAGCAGACACCAAAAAGGACCCCUCCACCUCGUGCUGCAAAGAAGUUUUCUGUCAGGACUCCAAUUUUUAUGCCGAUUCACCAAAAAGAGAAAGUAGCUUCAAAGAGGAAGGACAUAAAUCAGUCAGCAAGCAAGAAAUCUAUUCCGAUUCAGUCACCUGAUUCAUCUUUGUGCAGUUCUGGAAAUGAAGAUGAUUUUAUUUCAAAGAAAGUGUUUCACAAGUUUUGCACUGAGGUAAUUUGUGUUUAAGUUUUGAAUUGCUUUGUUUUCAUAUAUAAUUUUUUUUUUUGAAGCAGGUUCUUCAAGAGAUGAUAUCCAUCCAUGGCCUAGUAUCAACAAGAUGGGAUGAGAUAAUGAAUGCUAUAAGUGAUAUCAAGGUACAAUAAUUUUAAAAAAUAUUUUCAAUGUUGAAUACAUAUACAACAUAUGUAUUUUAUGAUUUAUGAUAUACAUAUAUAAAAACAGUGUCUUUUUUUUUUUUAUGGAUAAUAGGUAUUUUUUUCUAAAUGCUAACAUGUAUAUUCAUAUAUACAUAUGAAUAUACAGUUGUAUUAUGUAUUUUUUCAAAUCGUAUACACACAUGAAUAUACAGUUGGUAAUAUGUAUUUUUAUAAAUGCUAAUAUGUAUAUUUAUAUAUACAUAUGAAUAUACAAUUGGUAAUAUGUAUAACACAUGGUGUGUUAAAUACAUAUUCUGCAUAUACAGUUGUGUUUGAAUAAAUACAUGUGCAAUAUAUACUGUAUUUUUACGUUUGUAUCAUGUAUUUUUUCAUGAUAUGUAUAAUCAUAUAUACAUAUGUUGGGCGAUUAUAAAUAGUUAGUUUAAUAUUGUUCUUGGUAUUUUUUAAAUAUUUUUUGAACUUGAAGAAAAAAGAUAAGAACAAUCAAGUUGACAAUCAACCCAUGGGUGAAGCUGACAAGACUACACUACACCAUGAAUUCACUCCAAAUUUUGUGCAUGAUCUUUAUAAGAAUUCUAAAGGCACAUUGGUAAGUUAAUUGCUUACAUUCAUAUGUAUUUUAUUUAUACAAUGUAAAUUUAUGUUUAUAUAUAAGAAUUAUACAUGUGCUACAGGUUACUGAAUAUAUCAACAGGAAUCAAAGCGCUAGUUUGAUGGAGGUGAAUAAUGAGGAUAAAGAUGAUGUUCUAGUAAAUAAUUUAUUUUAUUUCUUUCAUUCUAUUUAUAUAGUAGAAUAAUAAUAUUUAAUACGCUUGACUUUAUCGUUUAUGAAAGGAUAAAACUGAUAUUGAUCAGCAUGAAGCAAGAGAUAUAUGUGAAUCACCGUUAUGCUGAAUAUAUCUUUGAUGUUUUUUAAUUAUAGACAUCUAGUGUUGUUAUUUAAUUUUUAUUAACAUAAUUUGAAGAACACAAAAUUGGUUGAUGAUAAUUUCUCAAUUCUCAUUUCCAGAUGAGGUUCUCAGAAGCAUUAAUCUUGAUUUCAUAAAAUCCAAUUUAGGAGUUGAAGAUGAGUCUAUGGUAUUUGCAUUCUACGUCUUUAUUUAUUUUCAUAAGGUUUCAGAUUAAUAAAAUAUUUCUAUAUUUAUAUAGAACACAGGAGGUGCUGCAGAAACGACUGUGAAUGCAUCAGCAGAAGAUGAGUCCAAGGUAUACUAAAAAUGUGUAUUGUCUGCGUUUAUUUCUUUUGCUUUAAAUUAACUUUAACAAAAAUUUUACAUUUAUUUAUACAAAACACAAAUUAUCCUUCACAAAUGGAUGAAAAUAAAUCAACCAAAAACCAGUUUAAUGUAGCAUUGUCUGCAUUUGAUUAUUUUGGUACUUUGCAACAUUAUAACAUUUUUAUACAUUUUAUAUAGAACAAUGAAUGUGAUGCUGAAAAGAUUGUAGACGCAUCAGAAGAUUAUCAGGCAGAAAUGAAUGAAAAUAAAUCUCCAAAAGAUGAUUCAAAGGUAGCAUUCUCUGCUUUUAUUUAUUUUGCUAAUGUUGCAACAUUAUAACAUAUUUAUAUAUUAUAUACAGGAUAAAGAAUGUGAUGCUGAAAAGAUUUUAAAUUCAGUAGAAUUUAAUAUGAAUAAAUCAAAGUUAAAUCAGCAAAAUCAAUCUCCGGUUCACAUUCAUGUAGCAUUAACUGAAGAAAGAAAAGUUGAACAAGAUUUUUCAGACUCGCAAGUCACUAUUCCUGAUGAGCUUUUACCGAGUCUUAAUGCAUAUUUGAAUCAAGAAAGAAGUAUAAUUGUACAUUCAUCGGCAAACAAAGUACAAGAAACGCCCAUGCAUGUAUCAAGGAUUAAGCGAUCAUCUAGAUUCAAAGAGUCACCAUUCACAAUGAAUUUUGGUUUAGCAGCUGGUAAGUACUUUGUAUAUUAUAAAAAUAGUAAUUUCUUGUUAUUUUUUAAUGGCUAAGAAAUAUGACUUGUAACCUAUAAAUAUGCACCACUACAUUAGUGACACUUUUUUGACAUGAUAAACUUUAGAUAUGUAUUUGUUUUGAUUACUACUAACAUUUGUAUUUAAUGUUAUGUUGUUUUUGUUAUUCAUUAGAUUAAGAUUAUGACAAGUAUGUUAAUUAGAAUAAUUUUGAAAAUUAAAAUAAAUAAUUUUUAUGUUAGCUUGGAAUCAUGUUUAUAUUUUGUUGUUCGAUAACUUCAAUAUGUAUAACUGAUGUACUCAUAAUAUAUAUAUGCUACAAUUAUGUAUACAUUUUUAUACUGCAAUUUUCAGAUGUAUUAUAUAAAUACAUCUGUUUUAUUAUUAUGUAAUAUCAUUGCACAGAAGGGAAGCACAAAAUAUUCAAUCAGAAGCAUCCAUUCGUAUCUCAUCCGAUUAAUGAUAUAGAAGACACUAAGAUUACCAACAAGUUUCUGAAGUGGCUGUCUGUGGAUGUUCUUAAAUUUCAUGCAAAAAGGUAUAUAGUUUAGCACCUAAUUGUAAUAAUAUUUACAUAUAAGUUUUUGUUAAUGAUGAAUCAUUAUGUUUAAUAACUGAACAGAAGCAACAAGCAAGAACACUAUAAGAAAGGCAAGUUCAAAACAUUAGUAAUCAAUUUUAGAGUUUUAGCUAUAGAAAAUAAGAAUUGGUUCUACAUUUUGGGUGCUCCUGGACAAUCAUGGUCUGAUGAGGUAAGUGUUCAGCUAUGGAAUGAUUUUUUUUUUAUUGUUACAUAUGUAUAUUCACAAAUACAUAUGUAAUUGUUUGUUAUGAUGGAGUUGAAAAUUUAUAUUUGUAUGUAUUUAUGCUUUUAUUCAAUAUGAUCUGAUAUAUGUAUAUUAUAUAUACAUAUGUAGUGUUGGGAGUUUUAAUUUCAUUAUUUACUUUUAAAUAUGUUUUUUUGUCAUAAUGCAGUAUAUUGAUGUAUGCUUCUACUAUCUGCGAAAGAAAUCUAAGUAUGAUCCGAAUACUUCAUACAAGUACAGCACUGUAGACUGCAAUUUCAUGAAUAUUAUAAAUAGUGUGCUAGCUGUGUACAGAAUUGAUGAUGCAUCUCUUAAUGCUGGUGGAAAGUAAUACCAUCUGAAUGAGUACAUAAAUGGAUUCCGCAUGCAUGCUACAGUGCCUUGACAUACGGUUGAUCAUAUUUUCAUUCCUAUCAACGUUAAGACCAAACAUCAUUGGGUUCUUGCGGUUAUAUCUUUUAAUGAUAGAUGCAUUUGUAUAUGAUUCUUUGUCGUCUGCUAGUCAUGAUGCUGGGGUACUUGCUGAAGUUGAAAAGUUAGUUAUGGUUAUACCUAUAUGUCUCGUUGCAUGUAAAUUUUACGAGAAGAAGGGUAUUGAUACUGCUAAUCAUCCAAAUUACAAAUCCUACGAUAAGAUGGAUCUAUUUAAUGUUUAUGUUGUGGAGGAUUUGACUCAACAACCAAGUGACAGCUUGUAAGUAUUCAUAUACAUAUCAAUUGUACAUAUACAUAUAUCUUGUUUUUAUAGAACAAAUUCUUAUUUCUUUAUAUAUGUAUUUGUAGGGAUUGUGGUUUAUAUAUGGUGACAUAUGCCGAGUGUCUCACCUUUGAAGAUCUUGUUUCACCCGUUGAUUUUGAUCCAGAUCUGAUUCGUACUAGAUAUGCUUCAAUUUUGUGGAAUUAUGGUAUGAAGAAAGAAGAAGAGAAUGCACAAAGUAAUGAUGAAGCACCGAUGAGACCUCCUCGUGAAAUUGGUUUAACAGAAGAUACUGAAGUGCAUGAAAUUUGAUGUUUCUUUUUAUUUUGCUGUAGUUUACAUUAUUUAACAUUAGCCAGACAAACAAGUUGUUGAAUAUUUCUUAUUUUCCAUCAGUAACUUUUAAUGUUCUUAGAUGAUAUACUAUUGGUUCUUGGUUGUUGUGUUACAGUUUAAUGUUCUACAUAUAUAUUUAUGUUUUACAUAUUUUUUAUUUCUUGUUAAUACAACAACAAUAAUGUGUUAAUGUGUAACUUUAAUGUUCUACAUAUAUAUUUAAUUUUUCGUAUUUAUUUAUGAAUAAUUGAUAUCAUCAAUCCUUUACAUAUAUAUUUAUAAAUAAUAAGAAAGUUAACUUAUUAUUAGUUUUUAUAUAUGUUCAUACGUACUUAAAAGAGUAUAAUAUUUAUUUUUCAGAUUUAUGUUUAGCUUAAAAUAUGUUACAUAUAAUAUCACCAAUUUAACAAUGACAACUACAAUAACAUAAAAAAUGUUUAUCAAAAUUGAAAAUCACAUAUAUCUUACAUUAAUGAAAAAAACCAUUAAUUGUUUAUUCACUUAAUACGUCAAUCAAGUUAUCGUUUGUUGUAUUUCCUACAUGAACCUAUUGUGACCUUUUAAUCCACAUGAACUACAACAAUUUUUGGUCUUCUUUCCAUACAUAUCUCGUCCGGAUUUUUCACGGUCAUUCUUCGGAGGUCUUCCAGGGGGACACUUGUAUUUGAGAUGCAGAACUACCUCAUCUAUAAUUUCCUUCGGAAUCACCCAGUCAUCUUUGUGUGGUAGAGGAUAAGUUGGAAGAUCAUAUGUUCUCAAGACAGUUUUUUGGCUUGUAUAGAUCGAAGCAAAAUGGUCCCUUCUUGAAAUUCUUGCUAUCAAGAACUGCACAAGCAUGAAUACACGGUAUCUCAUCCAAUUGAAAUGCAUUGCAAGAACAUUUUUUUUCCUUAAGACAAACAAUAAAAUGUUUCUCCUUGUCAUGGACUGUAAAGAUGUACUCUGGUGCAGGUAUAACCUGAAAUUAUUAAAAAAAAAAUUAAUUAGAAAAAUAAAAUUCAUCUCAACGUAUGUAUAUUGCAAGUUUGCAAAAUAUUUAUUUCUUCAAUACAUAUGUAUUUUUAUUACAGAAUAUAUUUUUCUUAAUUUAUUAUUUGAAAAAGAAAUAUAGUUCAUACAAAAAAUAAAAAUACUAUUAUAUAUAUAAAAUGAUUACAAAAAUUUAAUCAUACCUUCACACGUGUACACUCUGUUUCAUUCUGUUGAAGAAUUUCUUGAAAUUUACCAAUAAGAUCCGUAAAAGUAUACAACGCCUGCUGUCUGUUUUCACAGUUCCAUCUUCCAAACAUCAAUCUAACUUCAUCCAGAAAAUCAUAUAUUGGUAGUUCUCUAGCUGAUAUCAGUGCAACAUUAAUGGACUCGACAAUGUUUGAAGUCAAAGUCCAUCCUCUAUGAACGGAUGCAUACGAUCUAGCCCACUUAUCGUAACCAUCCAAUUCCAAGUAAUUCUUCACUCUAGCAUCAACUGCCUCCACUUUCUCCAUUAACAUGUGAAAUUCAGUCUUCAAAUAUGAUUUUGUCAUGGUAUAAAAGACAUCUGAUAAUGCAUCAUGUGAUUUACAAUUUUUUUUUUUACAUUUCCCCAUAAGCGCCACAUACAUGCAUAAUGUGGUACCUCAUUAUACACGUCACUGACAAUUUUUAUGAUGCUUGCAUUACGAUCAGAAAUGACAUACAUGUCUUUUCUUUCACCGUAUGCUUCCUUCAGAUUCUCCAAAAACCACCUCCAAGAUGCAUCAUUUUCAGAAUCAAGUACACCAUAAGCCAAAAGAAAUAUAUGUCCUACAUGUUGAAAAAAAAAGCAUAAAUAAUUUUUUUAAAAUAUAAUAAUGCAUAUGUAUAUUAUAAAUACAUACGUACAGCUGGAAACAUAUGUGAAGUGAAAUACUUAACUUCCAGUGCACAAAUAAAACUACUGCAUAUGUAAAUUAUGCACAUGUAUAUUAUAAAUACAUACAUACACCUGGAAAUAUUUGUGAAGUAAAAUACUUAAGUUUCAGUGCACAAACAAAACUACUGCACAUGUAUAUUUUCAAAUACAACUGACACUGAUCACAUAAACAUAAUCCAUAUAUGUAUAUUAUAAAUACAUAUAGCUGAAAAUAUAUUUGAAGUCAAAUACUUAUCUAAUAUAUCUUACCAGCUCCAUCCAUGGUACAAGCAGCUAUGAAAGUGCCAGUAUAAAGUCCCCUGAGAUGACUUGCAUCAACUACUAUGAUAGGUCUACAAUGAUCAAACCCUUGGAUGAAUGCAGUUAGUGCUGCAAAUAUAUAUAAAAACUCAUUAUCUGCAUUCUUUUUCAUUCUUAUAUGUGAACCUGGAUAACUGGUGUUCAACACAUGUAUGUAUGCAGGUAGUUUUCCGUACGAUGCUGGUGGUUUUCCUCUUAAAUCUUCAAGUGCUUGUUCCUUAGCUCGCCAACACAUAAUAUAUGUUAAAUCCAUACCCAUGUCGUCCUUCAUAUCAUUUUUGAUAUCAGAUGGACUGUAUUUUCACUUGUGGCAUUUAAACUUUAGUUUGACUAUACCACCAAUCAACUUACUAGUAGCAUGUAAUUUAGGAUACAUCUUAUCUUUGACCGGACAAGUAUGUUCAGGUAAAAAUUCUCUUACAUAAAACAUUGUAGAUUCGUCGAUAGCAGAUGCACAAAAUAAAAAUUCACAAUUUCUGGAUCUGCACAACAAUGUAUAACUGUAAACAAAAACAAAUAUAUAUGCUCAAAUACAAUUAAUACAUAUUGAAAAAAAAAUUAAAAUUCACAAUAAACUUACCAGGUUUUACUAGAUCUUGCAGAUAGUGAUUGAAACUUCUCUCGAAUUAUAUAAUCUUUCAUUACCGAUUUUAAUAUACUUUUCGAGAUAUAAACUUGAUCAACCUCAAUAUGUUUGUGAUGUGGGUCUGAGAUAAUAACUCUAGUUGUAUCCAUUUCAAAAGCAUCCAAACAUUGAUUUGAAGUAGGAACAAUUAACACUCUUUUAGUACUUGUAUUUACCAAGUUACUAUCAGCGACAUACAUCUUCAUAGGUUCGCCAGUACACAACAAUGAACAUUCCAAUGUGCUGAAAUUUUCCUUGUCAGAAACACUUACAUACAAAGGCAAAAUACUAAUAUCCUUCAAUUCCUUUUUUUGCAUAAUAUAGACCUUCAAACCCAUGUCAUUACGUGUACGUAUUUUUCUUGCACUAGCUGUCAAUUGAUACUCGAUUUGAAUACAUUUGUACGUCAAAUCAACAUCAAUGUGAGUAGCCAGUAUUGUGUAAAGUUGGUCAUAUGUAGCGUUUAUGCUCAACAAUAUCGAAUCACUGGUGUAAUCUUCAUAUUGUUGUUCAUGUAUUCAUCUAUCAGAGUGUUUAAUAAGAACAACUAUACUUCCCAUUGUCAAUCUCCAGAAAUUACAAAACAAUAAAAAUAUUACUAAAUAUGAAAUACGUACUAUAACACCAACUACGACUAAAAUUAAUAUACGAUUUCAAAUUUUUUCAAACAUACGACUGCUUAAAAAAUACAGGUAUUUCUUCAGCAAAUUUCACAUUAUAUUUUAGUUAAACCACAAAUAAAAAUUAAGUUGUUGAUAAAUACCUGUACUUGCACCUUUGUAUUUUUAUUAUUUUCUUCGAGACGUUAUUCGAUCAGCAUAACAAAAAAAAUUGAAGAAAAACGUUUUUCAAUUUGAAUGAGUAUUUUGGAUUUGAAUUGAAAAGCUGAUUACGGAAACCGUUUUUGAAUUUGAAUUUGAAGCUGUAAUUUAACGUUUGUGGUAACAAUAGAGUUUUAAAAGGUUAAGAAAUCUGUCAAAUUAAACAUUCCUUAAUUCACGGAACAGUUUUUUACCAUAUUAAACUGAAACAGAUUGGAGUUUUAUUAGGAACACAAUCUUUAAUUGUAUAUGUAACUAGCAAUAGUUUACUCAAAUACAAAAUACAUACUGCUAUUUUUUAUAAUUUUGAAACGGUUGCCAUAAAACUUACAAUUAAGGAUCUAUAGUUGCUAUUUCUGAAAUUUUUCCUUCUUUAAAUAACGAUCAUCCAAUCGACCAUUUUUGCAAUUGCCCCUAGCUUAGUUUGUCCCAGCCCAAAAUCACAAAUGGGCCAAACCCAUGAAGACCAAACUCUAAGGCCCAAAUCCAUUUGUUCCUAGAUAUGGUGGUCCUACAAUUCCACUCCAAUGCACUCUCCCUUCAGAAUUUUCGCUCCUGCUCCGCCGUCCGCCACCGUCCGCCGAGGCCGUUCGUCAAAGAACCGCCAUCAAUGGGAAGCAUCGGAGCUUUGAAUUUUCUGAAACCAAUAAGAACUGCCAAUUUCAGUUCUACAAAGCGAAUUUUCCAGUUAUCACCGUCGUCUUCUCGAAGCUACGCAGUGAAAUCGAGUGUUCUAGAACCUCCUAACGUUCCUCGUUUAGCUGAAACUGCUCGAAUUUCACUCAAUCAACAACAAUUUGAAGAAUUCGGUCCUAAAAUUGCACAAGUUAUAGAUUGGUUUGGACAACUACAAGACGUUGAUUUACAGAGUAUUGAGCCAGCUAUUAGGGCAGAUACUGAAGGAGAUAAUUUACGCGGAGACGUACCUGAGAAGUUUGAGAAUAUAGAUGAAUUGAUUUCUGCUGUGCCAAGUUUUGACAAACCUUAUAUCAAAGUUCCUAAAGUGCUCAAUAAGGAGUAAUGUUGCUCAGGUAUGACUAAAUUUUUUCUCGUUUGGAUGAUUGUUAGUUACUUUUGUAUUGUGUUGUUAGUAUCGUAUCGUUAAAUUCAUCAUUUCUUAACAAUGAAAAAUCUCAUUUUGUGUAAUAAUUGAUUUGAUGUGAUUGCAGUAUUACCUUAGCCAUCUUUUCUUGUAGACUUGUCUUCCAAAUUGGUGAUAUAUGGUAGUAAUAUGUGUUAUGAAUCCUACAGAAUAAGCAAUACCAAAAGCAAAAGAAAAAAUAAGAUGAACACACAGAUUUACCGGAAAUCCUUGCGGGAAAAACCACGGGCAAAGGCAAAGGAAUUUCAUUAUGAUGGAUGAAUAAUACGACGAGGAGAAUGACAUAUAUAACUCGUCCAAAACGAUCCACUAAACGCACUUAUAUAACAAGUGCGUACAAAUAAUUCUAGGCCCAAAAACAUACAGGUUCAUACCGCGCCCUAUCCCUACGCUACCACCACAGACCCAUGAAAAAUCACAAACAUGGGUCGCACUGCGAACUUUUCAAGGCCGGAUCAACAAAAUUCGGAUCCCAAACUCUAACAAUAUGUAACAUGAAAAACAUGCAAUUUAUUCAAAUAUUGUAUUCAUCAAGCACCCUUGGUGUGGACUAGUGGUUAAUAAAGUUGGUUGAGAAUCUGAGGUCUGGACAAAAAAUAUUUUGUGAUUCUUCCUAUUUGUCCUAGUCCUGGUGUAUAGAGUUACGUGGUAUUUGUUGUUGGUGGGAGGUGACACGUAUCUCGUGGAUUUAGUCGAGUACGCGGAAGCUGCCUAAGCACCACGAUAUAUAUGUAACAACCAUCCAAACAAAGUGUGAGGAGACCAUAAUUUUCAUUCUUCACUCCAAAAUGUUUCUUGAAGAUGUAAAGUCCCAUGACUUUCUUGGUCGACCAUCCCAACCGGGGAUGUUCGACAAGUCUUUCUUGAUACCUCUCAUCAACGUGAGAUUAAUUUUACACAUCUGUGACCUCUACUGAUACAUUCACCGAUUUCAUUGAUCAGUAAAUCACAUACACAGAAUACAAAAGUAAUACUUGCUGUUGAUAUCUUCGUGCAUGUCUCAUGGAUAAACUGUGAAUAUUACCACUGAUAACAAGAUUACAAUACACCUAAAGAGCACCUAUCAUACAUAGCCACCUUCUAAGAAGGUUCUAUGGAAAUGAGACCUCUAACUGAUUGCAUAGAAGAGAUUGAACAAAUUCCUGCAUCUACACAUUCUUUUGAAUGUAUCUGACUACUAUCUCCUUCUUGAUCUGUGCUAUUGUUGCCUGCCUAUGUAUUUACAGUUAUCUGUGCAAAAACCGAACCGACCGAUAAAUCGAACCGAUAAAAAUGCUAUUAGGUUAUUGGUAUUGGGUUAUUGGAUUAACGGUUUUUUAUUGGUUUUAUAAAAAAAUUUAUUGGGUAAACGGUUCGGUUUCGGUUUUAGCUUAUUGGGUUAUUGGAUAACCCAAUAAGUAUACACUAAGUUAUUGUUUUACUCCUAUUUGUGUUAUAUAUAUAAAUAUUUAUAUUACUAAUAUAUAUACACACUACUUAUUCACAAUUCAGAGGUUCACAAAGUAUUAACCUAUUCAGAGCAACAAAGGCACGGUACAAAGCUCGGGUAUUGUUGUAUUGGAAAGUUUGAAGCAUUUAGUAACUUCCAACCAUUAGGAUUCAGUUUUUUUUUAACUAACAUUCAGUUCAAGUUUAAAGAUUCUUAUAAACUAAAACGCAUUGCGUAUGAUUUUGGUGGCAACUAAGAUUUCGUUUUUUCAUGUUAGUUGUUACUAUUUUUAUUUCAGUAUUUGUUAAACCGAAAAUCAAACCGUUAAGCAUAAUAAACCGAUAAACCGAAAACUGAUAAGAAAAUAUCUUAUUGGUUAGUUAUUGGUUUUGCAUAUUUAAAAACCGAAAAUCGAUAAAUCGAACUGAAUCGAUCGAUGCACACCCCUAUAACCAUAACCAUGUAUGGUAUGUUAUUGCUCCCCAUGGUGCAGUAGCUAUUUCCUUUUUCACUUGCUUCCAACGCUUCCUUCUUAUUUUACCAAGCACAGCAACAACAUCAGCAGCCUGAAGUUGGACCAGUGGAAAAUAGCGUCUCUCACCGUCUUCCUCCGUUCACAAUCAACAGAGAGAUGAGUGGCAGUCUCAAGCUAUGUUGCUCGGACUCUUCAAAAAUGUCGAUAGGUGUGUGUGGGAUCCUCCCAAAAUAGUGUAUUUUUGAAGUAUCCGACACGUGUGCAGCAACGUUUUUGGAGGUCCGAGCAAAUUAGGUCUCAAGUGCAUCAACAUUUAUAUGUGAUUUAUGUGUAUAUUUUAGUGUGACUGGUUUGUAUGGAUGGUGUGCUGCGUUUGACGCUUGCUUUUUUUUUUUUUUUUUCAUUUGAUGUUCUUAAGAAUUUGAGUGAUUUGGUUUCAAGAUGAAAAAUUUCACUUUGAAUGUAAUUUGUUUUUUCUAAAAGGUAAUUCCAGUUGCAGAGCUCAAGCCAACAUACCCUGUUAUAAAUGAUAUGAUGCCUAAUAUUCCACCAUAACUUUUGAUGAUCGUGUCAAAGGCGGAGCUAAAAUUUUAAUGAAGGGGUUCAAUAUUUGAAGAAUAAUUAGCCGAAGGGAUUUAACACCUACUCUUGAUGCAUAAAAUAAUUUUAAUCAUGUAUAAAUUAUAUAUUUUCCGUCGAAAGGGGAUUCAGAUGAACUCUUUUCAAAGGGAUGGCUCCGCCCCUGUCGUGUUUGACUUCUCGUAAUAUCUAAACAUUGUAAGUUUGUGAACGUUUACCUAAAGGUGGAGUUGAAGUUCAUGAUAUAUUAGGAAUGAAGUCUACGACCGAAAGCAUCCAAUGGGUGUGAACUAGUGGUUUAAUGAAGUUGAGUUGAGCACCGUGAAGUCUCAGGUUCAAUUUCACUGUUCUAGCUUUGGUUGACAGAGUUAUCCGAUACCUGUUGCUGGAAAAAAAGUCUACAACGCAAAUAUGAUAGUACAAAUUAGAGCGUCAAGCAAAAAAUAAUUCCUAUAAAGAAUGUGGACAUUAGUGUAUGAUAUAUUCACAACUUUCAUUUUUAAAACAAUCAAGGAUUUAGUGCAAUUGAUGAGAUUUUUUUUUUUUUUUUUUAAAAGGGGUCUUAGUUCGAACUUUGAGUAUAAAAACAUCGUUGGUAAGGUGCGUUUCUCAUGAAUGGAUCUCACGCCACACGAAUAUGAUCAAUCUGACUCCAAUGUGAAUAUCGCAUAUCACAUAAAAAUUUCAAAAAAAAAAGAAAAACUUUAAAAUUUUAAACUUUUCGAGUUUAAGCCGUUGAAAAAUUAUCCGAUCUUAAAAUCAUUUAGUUCAAUAGUAAACGUCAACUAGAUAAAGCCCUUCCAUUCAUCAUCAUGCAAACAUUUAGGAGAAUUUAGAUGGUAUAAAGACAACUUUCUUAGUAGGGUUAUGGAUUUACUCAAAAGUAAGUAUGACCAUUGGAAAGCUAAAUUCAUUGAUAGUCUUCCACCUUUAUUUGCUGAAAGAGUUAGAAAAUCACUUAGAGGAUCUUAUGGCGAGGUUCAGUAUUCAGAAAAAACUUAUGGUCAGCUUAUUGUAGCUUUUACUCAAGAAGGCUUAGCCCUUUGCAAUGAGUUAAAAUUAGCCAGACAGAUUAAGCUCGACAAACUCAGAAAAAAAUCCCAAUUAGGAGAUUUUUGUGAACAAUUUGGUAUGGAUAAACCGUUAGCGAGAAAAAUCCUAUCGUAAGUCUACCAGAUUUACGAAAAAUAGAUCAAAAAGAGAGUUAGCAAAAAUCAAGUGCUAUAAGAGCAACCAAUAUGGUCAUAUAGCUCCAAACUAUAAGUUACAAAAACUCAAGUCCUUAGGACUUUCUGAAGAAGUGCAUGACCAAGUUUAUAAUUUAUUAUAUAACUCUGAUUUUGAAUCUGAUUCUACAUCUGAAAAUGAUUUUGAAUUACCUAAUUCUGAUAGUGAACCCGAUCAGGUUAAUAAAUGCAAUGAUUGUGAUAAUAAUAUUUGUAAUUGUGAUGAAAUACCCCAUUCUUCAAUAGGAAUAAGGUUUUUAAUUACUAUUUUGGAGUAUCCAUGUACUCCGGGGGUAGUUUCUCCGAGGGGACUGUGAUCAAAAGUUGCACUGAAUGUUUGAACUAAUAUAUGUUCAUAAUAAGUCCGGGUUUUAUAUGAUUCGCCAGUAAAAUAAACGUUGACAGUAAGAUAAUUUCUAAGUAUUCGCCAUGCUUCUUCAAAAUUUUCCUGACCAGUAAUAUGUUGAUUUUCAAUAUAUAAUAUAAGUUCUCUAGCAUCCAAUUUUUCAUACGAAGGUUUAUCUUCAGAAUUUUCCUGAACUAUAGAUGCAAAAGAAUCUGCAAUUUUUUAUUGAUCUGAUAGAUAGGAUUGCAGUUGUUUAUAUAACGGAUGGUCUUCAAGAAUAUCUUCCAAAUGUACGGAAGAGCUAAUAUUUAGAGUUUUUGAUGAUGAUGAUUCAUCUUGAAGAAUUUUUGAAUUAAUUAAAGUCCUAUUUCCUUGUUGUAAUACAGGAAAAUUAGAACUUGCAGAGCUAUAUGCAGAAUUUCUUCGAUCAAAAUAUGAAGGGUUUGUUCGUCCUCCAUGAUAAGAAGAGUUUUAACUUCGUCCAUCCCUUCCUCUUCCUUUGGUUAUUUGCCAAGGAAGAUUCAUUCUGCAUCAAUAAUUAGGAAUUUGAUCAGCAUAUCAUGACAUAUAUUCAAAGAGAUCUUCAUAAAGUGUGUCCUUUGUGAUAAGAUCAUUAAUGACUUUCCGAAGUAUGAGCAUGUGCAUGUCCGCAUUUAAAGGAGCUGCCUUUAUAAAGGUAAUUAAGACCUUUUGAGAGAAGAAGUGUAGAAAGAACUUCAUUAUAUCUUUUAAUCCUGUAAAUAUUAAUCACUUAAGUCAAUAUCAAACCAAUAAAUUUCAUUAUCAAGAAAUUCGUCGUGGUUAAAGAAUAAUUCUUCUUCUAUUAUACCACGAACCAGAUUUUCUAAGAUAAAAAAAUGAAUAUCUUCGUUUAAAGGAAUGCAUUUGAUAAUAGUAAUUACAGUUUUCUCAGGGAAGAAGUAAGUGUAAAAAUUCAUGUUAAUCGAUUAGAUAUUCUCGAGAUAGAAAAUCAGAUAAAAAAUUUUCACUACCCUUCUUAUAUUGUAUUUCAAAAUCAAAAGGGGCUAAUUGAGCCUGUCAUCUUGCAAAUAUUAAUUUAGAGGCAUCAUGUUUAAAGUCUUUGUUAAACAUAAAUUUAAUGGAUUGAGCAUCAGUUCUGAUUAUGAAUUUUUGAUCAUACAAAUCAUCUUGAAAUUUUAAAACACAUUUUACAAUAGUUAGCAUUUCAUGGGCUACUGUGGCGUAUUUUUUCUGGCUUUUAGUCCAUUUACCAGAAUAAAAUCUAAUCAAACAUUCUAUUUUUGUAUGGGGAUUAACUUGUUUAAGUAUUCCGCCAUACACAAUAUUUGAAGCAUCAGUUUCAACGAUUUUUAACCAGUUAGGGUUUGCAAGAAAUGUACAAGGAAGAGUUUGAACUCGUUUUUUAAUCAAUUUUACUAAAUUAGUGUGGACUUGAGUCCAAGAUGUUUUGUAAUCCUUUUUUAGUCUAUCAUACAAAGGAGUUAAAUCUCUAGACAGAUUUUCAUAAAAAGGAGAAAUAUAAUUAAGACUACCAAGGAACCUUUGCAACUGUUUUUUAUCAAUAAUAAUAUCAGGAAAUUUUUUAGCAAAUUCUAGAGGUCGUUGUAUAGGCUCAAUAGAACCUUGAGAAAUAUUAUGUCCUAAAAAUCUAAUAUUUGUCUGAAAUAAGCUCAUUUUUGGUUUGGAUAUUAACAAGUCAUUUUGUAUAAUUAUUUGUUUAAACAUAUGCAAAUGUUUGAAAUGAGAUUCAAGGAUUUUUAAAAAUACUAAAAUAUCAUCAAUAUAGACAAUGAUAAAAUCCAUAUAGGGAUUGAAAAUGUCAUUCAUAAUUUUUUGAAAUUCAGAAGGAGCAUUUUUUAAAUCGAAUGACAUAACAUUCCAUUCAUACUGUCCAAAGGGGACAUUAAAAGCAGUUCUAUAAGUAUGUUCUUUAUCAAAAUAGUAAUUAAAAAACUUAUUCCUAUUGAAGAAUGGGGUAUUUCAUCAAUGACUCAAAAAUCCAUGUCAAUAGGGCCAAUGGAACAAACACUUGUCAAUUUCACCUACUGGGAUUACAUUAAAGCCUUUUCUCAAGUAUUAUAUUAUAAUAAUUAUAAGCACAAACACACAUGGUUUAUAAAAAUUUGUACUAAGGUAUUUGAAAAACCUAUUCCAAUUUGGUUUAUUCAAUGGUGGACUCAGCAUGGACCCACAGUCAAAAUAUUACCUCCAGAAUAUUCCUUUCUGUACCAUUCAUGAAAAAAAUCCUCCCCUUUCUUAACUGAAUUAUAUCUUUCAGAGCAUAUUUAUAAGAUCGAUACUAUUGAUCAAAUGUAUUUCUACAUAGAAUUCUCUAUCCCUUGAUUCCAUCGAUGGUCAGUAGAAAUAGGUUAUGACACUCAACAAAUUCCUUCCUUAUAUCGAGUAUUCUAUUGUAAUUUUUGGGACAAAUUGCUUCGAAAAGAUCUAGACACUAAACUCACCUAUGGUCAUGAUCAAAGGGAGGAAAUAGUCAAGAAAAUUGCUGAAUAUGAAAAGACUUCCAAGAAAUCAAUUUUGGUUGAAGAAACAAGUCUUAACUAUGUUUCUAGGAGAAUAUCUGCACAUGACGAAAAUAAAAUGUAAAUGAUAGAAGAAUAUUUAUCAGAAGUAAGAGAUAAAUUACUUCAAACUGUCGAGCAAAAUUAAGAUAUCUCAAUGAACAGUACCGAAGCAAAUACCGAAGAUAUUACAGAUUCUCAACCUCCAGAAAUUCUGAUAAAAAAUGAAGAAAUUAUUGAAAAAGCUGAAGCAUUCAUCAAGAAAUGGAAAGGCAAAGACAAGAUAUGACUGUUUGACCUCGACAUAAGGCCCCUCUGCUUUUUAUAAUAAAUUCUUAUGUAAUAGUAAAAUCACUGUGCACAGGGACCCAUCCAUUACUGUGCAAGAUUCUCUUUCUUAUUAUUUAUAGACGCCUCAUUCUUGUUAGAGAGACAGGAGUUCUUCAGUUCUCUCCUUUUGUUUCUCUUUCUAUAAGCUCUCCCCUCUCUCUACAUCUCUCUUAGUAACAUAUUUGAAGAUUAAAUAAAUAAGAAGCUACUAUUUAUUACUAUUUCAGCCUUGCUUCUGGCUAUUAAGGUACAUAUUUCUUUCUUAUUUGUGUACAUUUAAUUCAACUUCUACUCUUGUCCAGCCGUGACUAUGUCCAGCUAAAAGGCUUCUUAUAUCUAUGUUGAAGGUCUAACUUCGCUUACAUGUUAACUAUGAAAGAUCCAGACUCUAUCAAAAUAUAAAGAAAUUUUUCUAUAGUUUCUUGACUUGGUUCCGAAAUGAUGGUACAGUCGAGUUCAAUACACUUAUGUUAGCCUUGUCUCUGUGACUACGUCUAGUAGGUUGUGCCUCUUUAGCCUGUUGUACUUAUACGAAAAGGACGAAUUCUGCACAAUUAGAACUUCUAGACACAUGGGUUUAACAUAAGGUUAUUAAAUCUCUGACAAGCCCCUUGUUUGGAUAAAAGAUUCCAUACAGUCAUUAAAAUAUUUGAAAUUCUUUUAUAUUUCGGUUGGUGCUUUGAUUCGGUUUUCCGACUUUGGCGUAAUCCGAUGUUGUUACAUGAUCUGGCAGGCUGAGUGACAUACCCCAGCCUAGUAAGAUCCUGUCAAUGAUAUCAGAGCCUAGGAACUUUCAUAGUAAAUAUGUUAAGUGUGGCGAAGUUUUCAGCAUAGAUAUAAGGCUUUUAUAAUCAUGGAUAUGGGUGAAGUUAGUACUAAGAAUACAAAACUCGAAGAGGUAGAUUUACCUCAAGAUAUGGAUUUAUUAAAUAAAUGGACGAUUCCAAAAGUUGAAUUAAAAACCAUAUAUGACUACGAAUUUUUUGAUAAAAUAAAAUAUAAAUAAAUUAUUAAAACAACUGAGGAAUCUCUUGCUUUAAAUGCUGAUGAACAGACUAUUCAACUCCUAAAUAAGCAUGAUAUUGAUAUUUUUAAACGUAAUUAUAAUUAUAUGCAUAUUGGUCUAGUACAAAUUGCCUUUAGACCUUUAACGCUAAAGGGACUCCCUGAAACAUUUUUAGCUGCUUUACGUGAUGCUAGAAAUUUAAAUUUUAGAAAAUCUUUAAUGGGAUCUAUUGAAUCUACUCUUGCCUAUAGUCCUGUAUAUUUUAAUACUCAGCCAAAUUUGCAAUUAUCUCUAACUGAUGUAAAUAUUCUUCAUUCUUUAGCCUUAAAUGUGAAAACUCAUGGUUAUGAUUAUGCGUCUAGAUCUGAGCUUAUAGGAUUAUCUUACCGCAUAUAUUAUCGUUUAUUAUCAACCUUAAAUCCUCGAUGUAAAUUAAUUGAUGAUACUUCUGAUUGCACUAUGCUUAUUGAAACUAACUUUAUAAAAUCCAGGGUUACUAUCCGAAGACCUAUUCGAUGGGAUGAAAUUGACUUCCCAAAAAUAUGAAUUUUAAACUCAGUCACUUCUCCAAAACAAUUGGCGGAGGAUGUGACUAAUUCAGAGUUAACUCAUGUAACUCAAAACUCUGAUGGACGAAUUUGUCUGCAAUUUGAUAAUAAUCCUCCAGUCUAUAGAAAUUCUUUUUCACUGCCAAGAAGACUUCCUUCUAUACAUCAUAUUUCUCCUAUUGAACCUGAUUAAUCUUUGCAUACUAUUAAUUCUGCAGAUUCGCAUGUUACACCUAAAGGUGUAGAAAAGAUUAAAAUCAACUUUAAAACUAAUAUAGUUCAAGAUUUUGAUAAUGAAAAUCCUACCCCAUCUGAGAUGGAUUUUGAUAUCAAUUCUGUUUAAUUAUGAUGACACAACUUACCGAUUUUAGUCCUGGUUCUCAGGCAAGAAAAUAUAUUCAAAAAGGAAUUUUUUUGUGAAAAAUGGAAAACCUUUAGGACAUGGUUUUUUGAAACUUAUAGUCCUGAUGAAUUACGAAAGAUUUUUGAAGAAUUCUAUGAAAUAUGUGUCUUAUAUAAUAAAAUUAUCUUUUUUGUACCAUGGUUUAUGUCUGCAUAUUUGUCGUCCUAUAUAAAAAUAAUUGAAAGAUCUUAUCAAAGUUUUGAUGGUACAAUUACUCAAGCUUUGUAUCCUCCUCAGUUUUCCUUUAUAUUACCCAAUAAUACUGCAAUGACUUUUUCUGCUUUUCAAAAAUUUGUAAAUGAAGAUGUUGAAAAAAUCACUGUUUCUGAAAUAAAUAACCUUAUCGCCCAAAAUAAUUAUUUAAGUCUUCAUGUUAAAGUUUUGGGAGAACAUAUUUCAUCUCUUGAUAAAAAACUUGACGAAUUAAUUGAGUUAGUUAAAAAACUUAGCAUGCAGAUGGAUUCCUCUAACAUUCCUUCUACUUCCGAAACCAAAGAAGAAGAAGGAUCUAUUUUAUCUAAACCUUGAAUCCAAAGACCUCUUGAAAUAGAAGGAUUUUAAAAGGUUUCUCAACUAGACCAAUUAGAAAAACUCUUAGAUUAAAAAUUCUCUCGUUUAAACAUUCAACCUCUUAAUAUUUCUGAUGAUUUUGCGCAAAAACUCGAGUCUAACUUUGCUGAUAAUAUCGAAUCUACUCAAAAUAUAGGAGACACUAUCUCUUCCGAGCUAAAUAAGCUCAAAGGUAUGAUUAAAAAACAACCGGCGAAAAGAUAUGCUGACAUUCCUCGUAUGUCUACUGCAUAUUAUCCACGUCCAACUCCUCAAAAUGUUCUGAUAGAGGAAAGAGAUUGGAAUCAAACAGAUAUUUCUUAUAGUGGAGAAGCUAUUUAUGAAUGGAAUAUUGAUGGAUUAUUAGAUCGAUAAAUCUCUAUUCUUAUCCACCGUAUGUCCAUGUAUUCUACUAUUGCCACAGCUACUGCAUCAGCAAAGAAUCAGGCCAAUCGUACUGACCCAACAAUUUGUAAAAUGAUUGUUGUGGGAUUUACUGGCCAACUUCGAGGCUGGUGGGAUAAUUUUCUAGACGAUGAUAAACGCGAAACUAUUUUUAAUGCCACUAAUGAUACACCUGAAAAAGACAAUUUAGGAGGACCACUUCGGACAGGACGACCAGAUGCUGUCUAUACCCUUAUGCUUACAAUUAUUGAACAUUUUGGAGGUAGAUUUACCAAUCAGUAUGAAAACAUUAGAACUCUUCUUAAUGGUUUAAAAUGCAAACAUUUAGGAGAAUUUAGAUGGUAUAAAGACACCUUUCUUAGUAGGGUUAUGGAUUACCCGAAAGUAAGUAUGACCAUUGGAAAGCUAAAUUCAUUGAUGGUCUUCCACCCUAUUAUUAUUAUUAUUAUUAAUAGUAGUAGUAGUAGUAUCAGCAACAGUACUAUUAUUAUUAUUAUUAGUACUAUUAUUAUUAGAAUUAUUAUUACUAGUAGUACUAUUACUAUUUCUACUACUACUACUAUUAUUAUUAUUAUUAUUAUUAUUAUUAUUAUUAUUAAUCUAUAAAUUUAAAAAUAUUUAUCAAUUGGGAUAUUUUAAUUUGAAUUAUAAGUGUACGAGUUGAAUUAUUAUUAUUAUUAUUAUUAUUAUUAUUAUUACUAUUAUUACUGUUAGUAUUAUUACUAUUAUUAGUAUUAUUACUAUUAUUAGUAUUAGUAUUAUUAUUAUUACUAUUAUUAGUAUUAUUACUAUUAUUAGUAUUAGUACUAUUAUUAGUAUUAGUACUAUUACUAUUACUACUACUAUUACUACUGCUACUAUUACUACUAUUAUUACUAUUAUUAUUAUUAUUAUUAUUAAUCUAUAAAUUUUAAAAAUAUUUAUCAAUUGGGAUAUUUUAAUUCGAAUUAUAAGUGUACGAGUUGAAUUUAGUAGCCUUGUUCUUUCUCUACUUUUUUUACCGUAGUCUAUGUUAUUACACUUAUUAUUUACUUUUUGCAUUCUAUGCAGGGAUAAAAGUAUAAUUAUAGUAAUAAUUGGCUUUGAAGUUUUUUUCCUUUUAAGUGAGUGUUUGGCAAUUUUUAUAAGGGAAAAUGGUCAGAUAUGUUCUCAAACUUUACAAAAAUGUUCAGAUAUACCCUCUGUUAAAAGUUUAACUCACCAAUGCCCUUGCCGUCAAAGUCUUGGCCCAUAUACAUCCCUGUUACAAAGUUUUGGGUCAUAUAUACCUCUGUUGCGGUUAAUUGCUUUGAUAAAAUUUUCCAACCCCCUUUUUCCUUUUUUUUAGAAAUCAUAUUUUCCACAUCACUUUUUAAUUGUCACAUCACAUAUAAUUAAACCCACCCCUUCUCCUACACAUUAAUCAUCCUUCAAAUGCUCUCAUCUACCUCACAAUCUCUUUGGAUUUUCUUUAAUUUGCUAAAUUUCCUUUAUUAUGUUUUUCGAUUCUUGCAUAACCCCAAGAAUCAUCAAGUAAAAAAUGAAAAAAAAAAAAGAGUCAAGAAUACCCCAUAAAAACUCAAUGCACAAUUGCGAUGAAAAUUCAGAACUAAAAUUCUUACCAAUUGCAAAUUAUUUUAGUAUCAUAUCAAUCGAUUUCAUCUUUCGCACCACCGUCAAUUCUAACAUCAAGAAUAAGAAGAAUAAGGAAAACCCAAGUGAGAAAUUGGGAUGUAGAAGUGUAAAACAGGCAAUUCAUAUAGAGACAGCAAAAAUAAGUUGUCAAUUAAGAAGAUAUUUUUUAUACGUACGUAUACGUAUGAGAGGAACGAUUGCGCAAGAAUUUGAAAAUACAACAAAAGAAUUUUGACAUUUAAUGUGUAGAAGAAGGUGUGAAUUUAAUUAUAUGUGAUGUGACGGUAAAAAAAAUAAUGUGACAAAUAUAAUUUCAUAAGGAAAAAAAAGAGAAAAAGGGGUUGAAAAAUUUCAGCAAAACAAUUAACGACAACAGGGGUAUAUAUGAUCCAAAACUUGGCAACAAGAGUAUAUAUGGUCUAAAACAUGAUAAUAGGGGUAUAUAUGGACCAAAAAUUGGACGGCAGGGGUAUUGGUGAGCUAAACUUUUAAUGGAGGAUAUAUCUGAACAUUUUCGUAAAACUUAGGAGCUUAUUUGACCCUUUUCCCUUUUUAUAAUUGCUUAAAAAAAAUUAAUUUUGACUUUUUUUUAAGCCUAAAGCAAGAAGUUGGCUACUUCUACAUAUUUUUUUUAGCUUACAAUUCAUUGAAAGUUGACCAAAUAAAUGACUUUUGUAUCCUUUAUCAUUUUCACUUAUUCCAAAAUUAUCCUCUUGUAGCCCUUAUAAUUUUCACUUAUAACAUUCAUGAUCUAUAGCAAUUUUUAUAACGAUUAAUUUUUUUAAUUUAAUUUUUUAUAUUAUAUAAAAUUAUAUUUUUUGUAACAAUAUAUAUUUUACUAAAAUAAUUAAUAAUAUUCAAACAAACGAUAUUAUUGCAAAAAAAAUUUAAGUAUACGUAGUAGCUUGUUGGCAGUGUAUACUAUUUAUGUGCUAUAUUUUUUAUUUUUUUUGUUUGUUUAUUUUUUCCUUCCAAGAAAACCUACUUUUUUUAUCUAAAUAUUUUUUAUCUUAAAUAUUUUUAAUUCAAACUUCUAAUUUCAUCCCAGAUAAGAAAGAGUAUGAGUUUAAAUUAAUUAGGUUUCAAAAUAAAUAUCGAGAAUUAAAUAAUUCAAUUUUGUCUAAAGAUUUUUUCAGCGCACAAAUUUAAUAGUAUAUAUANNNNNNNNNNNNNNNNNNNNNNNUAUAUAUAUAUUAAUUUUAAUUGAGAAAAUGGUCAAAAGCCUCCCAACCUUUACCCAAAUCUCAACUACACACCUAUACUUUGCGGGGUCCUAUGAUCCCCUGAUUUAUUUUAAAGUGGAAUUAUUACCCCCUGAAAGCUUACAUGGCGAAAGAAUAUGUUUGAGAACGUAAAUUAUUUAUUAAAAAUUUAUUUUUAAUAUUUUCUUAUUUUCUUUAUUCAUUUUUAUUUAUUCAUUUUCUUUCUUUCUUCUUCUUCUUCUUCUUCUUCUCCUUCUUCUUUCUCACAAACAAAAACUUCAAGAACUCAUCAAUGACAUCCAAAACUAAUUUAUCAUCUUUCUCAUCUCCAAGCACAAAAUCAAUUGGUUUCGACUUCAAGUUCGUCGGAAAUUUCAAAAUGGGUGUUAUUCAUUGUUUUCAACUUCAAGGUCGUCGAAAAUUUCAAAAUCGAUAUUAUCCAUUGUUUCCGACUUCAAGGUCGUUGAAAAUUUAAAAAUUUUCCAUUGUUUUCGACUUUAGGGUCAUCAAAAAUUUUAAAUUCGAUAUUGUUCAUUGUUUCCGAUUUUCAGGUCGUCAAAAAUUUUAAAAUUGGUAUUGUUCGUUGUUUUUGGAUUUAAGAUUGUUGGAAAUUUAAUAAUUGAUAUUGUUCAUUGUUUCCCACUUCAAGGUUGUCGGAAAUUUGAAAGUCGAUGUCGUUUAUUAUUUCCGACUUCAAGAUCAUUGGAACUUUCAAAAUCGAUAUUGUCCAUUAUAUCUAACUUCAAGGUCGUCGUAAAUUUUAAAAUGAGUAUUGUUCAUUAUAUUCGACUUCAAGGUCGUCAAAAAUUUCAAAAUUUUCUAUUGUUUCCGACUUUAAGGUCAUCAAAAAAUUUAAAAUUCGGUAUUGUUCAUUGUUUUCGGCUUCAAGGUCAUCGAAAAUUUUGAAAUUGGUAUUGUUCGUUGUUUCCGAAUUUAAGAUCGUCGAAAAUUUAAUAAUUGAUAUUGUUCAUUGUUUUACACUUCAAGGUUAUCGAAAUUUCAAAUUCGAUGUUUAUUAUUUUCGAAUUCAAAAUCGUUGGAAAUUUUAAAUUCGGUAUUUUUCAUUAUUUCUCACUUCAAGGUCAUCGAAAAAUUGCUGAAGUUUGAAAAGAAAAAGAGAUGAAAAGUAAUGGUGAAAAAAUGAUGAAAAGUGAUAAAAAUGAAGAAAAAAGUAAAUAAAAAUUAAUUUUAAACAAAAAAACACGCGUAAAAAUAUGGUUGGUGCGUGCAUCACACCACAUCCCAAACGACUGGUUGUCAGUUUUCGGGGGAUAAUAAUUCCACUUUAAAAUAGUUCAGGGGGGUCAUAGGACCUCGUAAAGUAUAGGUGUGCAGUUGAGAUUUGGGGUAAAGAUUGGGGAGACUUUUGACUAUUUUCUCAUUUUAAUUUGAAUUAUUUUAGAAAUAAAAAUUAAUAAUAAUUAACUCUACAUAUUAUUAACAGCUUUAAGGAUAUUUCAGACAUUUUGAUGAAAAAAAAAAUACUCAAAAAACACUUGUUUACCAAACACAACAAUAAUUUUUUUUUUCAGUUUCAACACUUCUAUCCAAACACGUAACUGCUUAUUUUUUAAAUAAGUUGAGCACUUUCAAAAACGGGUGAAUCUAAAAAAUAGACACAAAUUGGGAUGACUUUCAAAUUUUAGCCCCAAAUUAAAAAGUUUCCUUAAAAUAGCCUUUACCUAUUAACUAAUAUUUUUUUUAGACAAAAUUACCACUAAUCAAUUGAGUAAUUACAUAAAUGAUCCUAAUAAUUAUAAUAACUCCAUAUUUAUAUCUUUCAACUUUUAUUUUUUUCUCUUUUUAAAUUACUUUGAUUUUAAUUUUUUCUUUUUAUUUUUAAUUUUCUCAAUCCUUACUUUUUCCAUUUUUUUCUCUCAACUUAUUUUUUUUCUUUUUUCUUUUUUCUUUCCUCUUUUUUUUUUUUUUUUUUUUUUUUUUUUUUUCCUCUUUUUUUUUUUUUUUUUGUUCUUUUUAGUUUUCUUAACCCUUACUUUUUCUUAUUUACACCUUUGAUCGUCUACUUUUAUAACAAUUUUUUUUCUGUUUUUCUUUUUAAAUUUUCCUCGACCUUUAUUUUUAUUUAAUAUUUAUUUUUUCAUCAACCUUUAUUUUUUUUCUAUUCUCUCUCAACUUCUACAUUUUCUUUGAUUUUUAUUUUUUUCUAAUAUUUUUUUUUUCCGCAAUUUUUAUUAUUUUUGUUCUUUUCUUCGAUUACUUCCAUUCAUGUUACAUCUCAUGAGCAAGAGUUGACACUAUAACAUUAUAAAGGCAAUACUUACGACUUUCGAACAAUAAGCUACGUUUCAUGAGCAAGAGUUGACACUACUACAUUGUAGAGGCAAAACACUAGCACAUUAUAUUUUGAUUUAUGAGAUAUUUUAUAACUCUUACCUUAGGGACAAGACUUAGCUCAGGAACUUUCAAACAACAAAUUAUGCCCUAAAGAGUUGACUCUACCACGUUAUGUUUUCAUAUAUUAUAUGUUCUACAACUAUUGCCUUAGAGGCAAGACUUAGCUCAAGGACUUUCAAACUGCAAAUUCUGCCCCACGGGUAUGAGUUGACUCUACCACGCUAUGUCUUCAUUUAUGGGAUGUUUUACAACUCUUUCUAGAGGCAAGACUUCGCUCAAAGAAUUUCAAAUAACAAAUUAUGCCCCACAGAUAAGAGUUGACUCUAUCACGUUAUGUUUUCAUUUAUGAGAUGUUCUACAACUAUUGCCUUAGAGACAAGACUUAGCUCAAGGACUUUCAAAUAAUAAAUUAUGCCCCACGGGCAAGAGUUGACACUACCACAUUAUGUCUUCAUUUAUGAGAUGUUCUACAACUCUUGCCAGAGGCAAGACUUUGCUCAAGUAUUUUCAAAUAAUAAAUUAUGCCCCACGGAUAAAAGUUGACACUACCACAUUAUGUCUUUAUUUAUGAUAUUCUACAACUCUCGCCUUAGAGACACGACUUAUAUCAAGAAUUUUCAAAGAACUUCGUAACAAUAAUUCAUGCCCUUAAAUUUGCUUUGAUGUAAAAAAAAAACAAGAUCCCUUUGCGGAUUAUCUAAUUUUCUAUUCAUUAGCAAAAUAUAAUAGAAUUUGAGAAAAAAGAAAACAACGAUCAAACAAAAUAGAGAAAUAAAAAAAAGAUUGGGAAAAAAAAGAAAGAAAAAAAUAAAGAUCACGAAAAAGCAAAGAAUUAAAAAAAUUGAGAAAAAUAAAAAUAAAGUCUGAGAAAAAUAAAAAUAAAGUCUGAGAAAAAUGAGGGGAAAAAAGAGAACUGAAAAAAGAAAAAAACAAUCAAACAAAAUAGAGAAAUUAAAAAAAAGAGUGAGAAAAAAAAGGCAAGAAAAAAAAUAAAGAUUAAGAAAAAAGUGAAGAAUUUAAAAAAUUGAGAAAAUAAAAAAUGAUAGGAAAAAAUAAAAAUAAAGUUUGAGAAAAAUGAGGAAAAAAAAGAGAAUUGAUAAAAACCAAAAUUAAAAGAAAAAUAAAGGUUGAAGACAAAUGAAUUAAAAAAAGGAAAGAAAAAAGAAAUAGAUAAUGCUUCAGAAAAAAGAAAAAAAUGAAAAAAUAAAGAUUGAGACAAAUGAAUUAAAACAUGAAAAUAUAGAGCUACGUUUGUUGCAAGCAAUAUACAGAUACUUGUAGCAAUAAAUCUCUCUCAUGUCUUACACUAUUAACCUUUCAUCAAACACCAUAUCCUUUAAUUGAAUGAUCCUUGAAUCAUACCUCAUCACCAAAUACAAAAAGCAGAAAGACACAUACUGAUGACGCAAAAUUCGUUUUCUGUUUAUUCAAACAGGCAGCAAAAAACUGUUUAAACCAGUACAAAAUUUGACAGCACAGAGAUGAUAAAGCUGAAAAGGUUUCAUAUAUCAAUAAUAAGAAUCGGAUUGCACCAGUCUGAGAAUCUGCCUAUAGUUUGUGGGGCUGUCAUACCAAGUAGUGGUAUUAAGAAUCUCCUUUUCCAACCAAUAUGGAUCUACUUCUUUCUUGGACAGGCUUUUGAAGUAGCUCUCCCACCGUGCAAUUGUGCGCCCAAGACGAAUACUCUUUUGCCUUAGAAAGAUAAACUUGAGAAUAUCCCUUGUGAACACUGUCAUCUCCUCUCUUUCAAUUAUGUAGAUAUACUGAAAUGAAGGAAAAUACAGUGAUUUCUCAACUUGUUAAGAAAUCAAGAGUAAGUAACCGUUGCCAACUUGUUUCAUGUGCAAUUAUUACUAUAACAAGCACACACUUGUGGUUCAUUUGAAACCCUUUCAAGACAUUUUCUUCAUCAGAAGAGAGCUCAGGCGAAAGAUCACUAAACAUACAAUACAGAUUAUCAUAAUCUGCUCCUGUUUAUAUCAUCACUCCAUGACUCUAACUGGUCCAUAACUUACCAGAAAUGGUCUAGACAAAGGUAUUCAGUUAAGUUAGAAAAAAAUUUCGGAUAAGCCAGCAGCAUAACAAAUCACCAGUUAAGUAAAUCUGCAACCUGAAUUUCAGCCAGCUGCAAGGAUUGCCUUUUAGGGUAAAGAAUAUAAACAGUGAGCUCCAGAAGUACAUAUAUAUCUUCGGANNNNNNNNNNNNNNNNNNNNNNNNNNNNNNNNNNNNNNNNNNNNNNNNNNNNNNNNNNNNNNNNNNNNNNNNNNNNNNNNNNNNNNNNNNNNNNNNNNNNNNNNNNNNNNNNNNNNNNNNNNNNNNNNNNNNNNNNNNNNNNNNNNNNNNNNNNNNNNNNNNNNNNNNNNNNNNNNNNNNNNNNNNNNNNNNNNNNNNNNNNNNNNNNNNNNNNNNNNNNNNNNNNNNNNNNNNNNNNNNNNNNNNNNNNNNNNNNNNNNNNNNNNNNNNNNNNNNAAAAAACUGUUUAAACCAGUACAAAAUUUGACAGCACAGAGAUGAUAAAGCUGAAAAGGUUUCAUAUAUCAAUAAUAAGAAUCGGAUUGCACCAGUCUGAGAAUCUGCCUAUAGUUUGUGGGGCUGUCAUACCAAGUAGUGGUAUUAAGAAUCUCCUUUUCCAACCAAUAUGGAUCUACUUCUUUCUUGGACAGGCUUUUGAAGUAGCUCUCCCACCGUGCAAUUGUGCGCCCAAGACGAAUACUCUUUUGCCUUAGAAAGAUAAACUUGAGAAUAUCCCUUGUGAACACUGUCAUCUCCUCUCUUUCAAUUAUGUAGAUAUACUGAAAUGAAGGAAAAUACAGUGAUUUCUCAACUUGUUAAGAAAUCAAGAGUAAGUAACCGUUGCCAACUUGUUUCAUGUGCAAUUAUUACUAUAACAAGCACACACUUGUGGUUCAUUUGAAACCCUUUCAAGACAUUUUCUUCAUCAGAAGAGAGCUCAGGCGAAAGAUCACUAAACAUACAAUACAGAUUAUCAUAAUCUGCUCCUGUUUAUAUCAUCACUCCAUGACUCUAACUGGUCCAUAACUUACCAGAAAUGGUCUAGACAAAGGUAUUCAGUUAAGUUAGAAAAAAAUUUCGGAUAAGCCAGCAGCAUAACAAAUCACCAGUUAAGUAAAUCUGCAACCUGAAUUUCAGCCAGCUGCAAGGAUUGCCUUUUAGGGUAAAGAAUAUAAACAGUGAGCUCCAGAAGUACAUAUAUAUCUUCGGACAAAAUUUAGAGAGAAGGGGGAUAGGGAGAGAAAGGAGAAAUUACCAAAAAUAUGAAGCUCAUAGUUGCCAAGACUAUUUGUCUAAGCUCAUCCAAGAUCCCUGGAAUGCCUUCAUCCUCUGCUCCACCAAAACCAUCACUGCCACCUCCACCGCCACCACCUGGACGAUCUCCACCACCAUCUCCUCCAUCAUAGUAUUCUUGUUUUUCAAUCUGUUGCUUCAAUAAAUCCUCAACUGACUUUUCCUUCUUCAGAUUUCCCAUGGCUUUCUCAAGAGCUUUCCAUGGAGAAGCCUAGACAGAUAGUAGUACCAAAUGGGGUGUUAUCUUCUCAUGUAAUAAACAUCCCAUAAGCUUACUUUGCUGAAAUCAAGAUUUUGAACAGAAUUGGAGCUACUUUAUACUCAAUUCCAAUGCAGUUCAUGAAAAAGAAACCGCGCUAAUGAUCAGUAUUAAUGGAGAAAAGAUUCAUCUGUUAUUGACUUCAAAAUACAGCACAAUAUAUCUAUUUUGCAUGGAUAAGAGUUAUGCUGUAACAAAUUCACACAACAUUGUCACAAGAAACAGAUUUCCUUUGAAUAAAAGGAGAGGAUAAAUGUGACGGUCAAAUGGAAAGCAGAUUAUAUAUGCUCAACGAGGAAAUACAAAUACCCAAAAUUAAUCAAAAUAAGAGGAAAGAAUUGACUAAACCUUAGAAGCUAACUUUAUCAAAAAUGUUAUGGUUUUCUUAAAGCAAUUAAAAUUAAACGGGCACAUGACAUGCACAACAUAUUGGAUAGAUAACCUAAACAAAGUUGGUGUACCAACUAGCAUUGUGUACAUGAUAGGUCAUAUAACCAGCAAAAUGUUAGUCACUCCUCAACCUACUUAUUUAGUGAAAGUUAAAACACUAGUCAAGAUGAUAUCAAGUAAUUUAGCUUAUGAAACAGUGUUAGUAGAUCAUAUAGUCGAUACAACUAGUUUGGUAUUGAGGCAUUGUCUUUGUUUGUUGUUGUUAAGCCACAUCGUAAGAUAUUAGAUACUACACUAUGGCAUUACUGCGGAAUAGGGAGAAAAAGAGCGUAGGCGAUUAGAAAGGUUGAAAGAGACAUUCUGUUCUUUUACCAUUCUCCUAGAUUAUUUCCAACUGUCUUAAUUUUUUUGUCGAUUCCAUGUCAAAGAAAAUACAAGCAACAAAAUGGGAAAUUAAGUGGAAAUGAGAAAGAAAAUGACUAUGACCGAAUAUUAGAGGAUGAUGUUUAACCAAUGAUGAUGAGCUAAAGCACUUGUAACAGACAAAUGGUGCUGUGCUUUAGAAUAUCUGGAGUCAAAACUGGCCAGUUGAUGUUUCUUGCUAAAGACAAGGAAGCAACCAAAAGGCCUGCCAAUGGAACACUUUAUGUAGUGAAAUAUAAAAGAUGUCUAUGCCUUCUUGAAGAGUUUAGACUAUUCUCCUUAUUUCACAGCCAAGACUCAAGAUCACCAAUAGCAAAACUGAGGCCUAUACCAAGAUGCAUGUAACAAUGGCCUUGCACUUAUCUAAUUAACUAGAUAAUUUUAGACCCACAAGUUUUAGAGUUCCCCCUCAAUUCACGGCCAAGGGCCAUGGUGGCAUCAUAAGAAGAGCCCAUCAUGGGUUUAUACUACAUAUGCAUGUAAGAAUAUGGAAGAACACCUUGCACUUAUCUUAUUAACUAGACAGUUUUCUCACCCAAAUGAUCCAAAAAGUGCAAAGAAAAUAAAGGGGAGUGAAUAUGGGGACAGAACCUACUUCCCAUCUCUUUCAUCUUGGGUGAUAUCUAGAGGUGCAUGUGACUUUGGACCAUCUUCUUUUUAUUUUUUGGUGAUACGUAAAUAAGAUGGCUUUGGAGAAUCUCAAAGUAGAACAGAAACCACACCACAUAUAACCAUUUCUCAAAAUUUGAAAUCAAAAGCACCUGCAUAUAGUGGGAAAACUUUUCUGAUUGGAUUAGUUUGUGGGUGGUUUGGAUGAUCUUAUGUAAACUACAAUAUUUUUAAUUAACUAGAUGAGUUCAUCUUGUCCUUAUCAGUCAGUUGGUUAGAUGCCUGGAGAGGGUCCAUGAAAGAAAUGUUCCCAGUUUGUCUCACAGUCGGCAUGUGGCAACUGUCCUAACCAUUGGUGCAAUUUUUGCUUCAUUUUCUUUAUACCUCUGCGUUCAAGAAAAAUGGAAAUACUUCUUGGAUUUAACAAAUAAACAAACUUUACUUUGAUCAUGUGUGCAAGCUCACAAUCCCAAUCCCGAGUCCUGUAAAGCGGAGGUUUAUGAUAUGUUUACGACGAACCCGUGCAAUCAACUGAAGAAACAAAUUCAUAUAGGUGAUACCAACUACCUGGUAUUAAUGCUCAUGUCCAGAAGCUUAUAUUAGGCCGUUGACAUUUGUUAGUAGUCGUUUUUUCUUGUCAUAGAUUUGCUUAUUUAUAAGAAUGUAGAGAACUACGAAUUUUAAGAACUUAAAUUAUUGUUAUUGUAGUGAAACAAUUUCAAAUGGAGCAAGAUGGAUAGUGAAAACUCAUAUAGCUUACCCUAACUAGCUUGAAAUUGAGGCAUGGUGGAUUUUGUUUACAAAUAAACAAACUUGAAGCAUUUCAUAAGUUUCAAAAUUAAAAAACUCAAUCUACAAAAGAAAACAUCAAUACCUCGGCCACAUGCUUGGGCUUGCUUUUGGGCAAUUUGGGUUGUUUCAUGAUUUCUUUAUUCACACUAGUUAUUCCCUCUGGCUAAAGAUAUUACUCCCUCUGUCCCAUUUUAUGUGGCACAUUUGAAAUUUUCAGAUUAAAACUUCUAAACUUUGAAUUUGUUGAAAUAAAAUUUUAUAACUACGUAAAAAAUACUACAGAUCACAAUAAUUAACAACUUAAGGUAUUUAAAUGGAAUAUGAAAUAAAUAGGUCAAAGAAAAAUUUGAUUGACUCUCGGAAUUCCAACUAUGCCACAUAAACUGAGACGGAAAAAGAGAGCAGCCUGGUGCACUAAAGCUCCCGCUAUGAGUAGGGUCCAGGGAAAGGCUGAACCACAAGGGCCUAUAGCACGCAGCCUUACCUUGCAUCUCGGCCAGAGGCUGUUUCCACGGCUCGAACCCAUGAGCUCUCGAUCACAUGGUAGCAACUUUACCAGUUAAGCCAAGGCCACAUAAAUUGGGUCGGAGGGAGAAAAGUUUUUUGACACAUACACAAUGAAUGGUGUUGCAAAAGGUUGUACCUCAUUGUCAUUGCUUGCCCUCCCUUUGCCACCAAAUAAGCAUACAGUUCUGCACAGCUGCUGUGGUCUGAAUACACCUACUUCCGCAUUCAGGAAGAUUUUCGGGAGUUUUGUACCGAGAUAAAUUGAAGAUAAUGUGGUCGUUUUUGAGGUCCUUUUUGGAGCAGUAAGUGAUGGAAAGGAAGCAUUUAGAUGGGAACUGUUUAUGGCAACGCAGCUCAUUUCCUCAAAUGACCAGUCACUUGCAAGACCUAAACACGUUGAUUCAAAGCCAGUCAGGGGUGGCUCAAGGUAAAGCUAAUAAAGCCUUUGCUCUAGGCCCCAAAAAUUUGGAGUCCUCCAAAUUUUUAAUAGUAAUCUCUAUAAUAUAUCGAAAAUUGGACAGAAAUUGAAGAUGGAGAAGAAGACUUGUAAGAAUGAGAUCGAGGCUUCGAGCAAAAGCAAAAAUUGUCUUUGGUCUCUACAGAAUAUCAGCAAAAAUUGAGCUUCACUAACGAGAUUUCAGCAAAAAUUGUGAAUAAUGAGAGAGAAGUGAUGAGACUGAGUGAAAAUUGGAAGAUUGAAAAUUGGAUCCUAUUCUCUAACCCUAACACCUAAGUCAUAAACGGGUUUGGACUUUGGGCUUGGGAUUUGGGCCAGUGGAACGGGUAAUGGGUGGGAAUUAUAAUUGGGCCUGAGACGGGAGACCAGUGUGUAAUAUUACUAAAACACUCACCAAAUUUUCGCUAAAAAUAAAUAGAUAAAUAAAUAAAAAUUGCUUUCUGACUUGAAUUGAUCUAUGUCCGGAGCCCCUCCAGAUUUGAAUUCUCCACUGCAUUAUUCAUCACAUAUUACUGGUAUAUAAUUUUUUCUUUUAUUUAAUGAAAUUUCAUGAAAUAGAUUUAUUUAUUUAUUUAUUUAUUUUGUUUCUCGUGAUGUAUUUGAUUGAUUUUGAAGUUUACUAAAUCAGCGGUUUUAGUUAGUUAAUUUGGAUGAUUUUUUUGUUAUUAUAGUGAAUUAUUGGCUUUCGAUUCAUUUGGCUUUUGCAAAAGGACGAUCUGUAGAAUUGCAUUUGUUGUGUAGGAAAAAGGAUAUUUGUACUGAUUCAGUACAUCGACAAUCAACAUUGAUAUUUUGUUUGUGUUGUUUUGUUAUAAUAUGGGUAGAGUGAAUUGGAUUUUGAUUCAUUUGGCUUUGCAAAAGGGUAGAAUUGUAUUUAUUGUGUAAGAAGAAGGAUAUUUAUACUGAUUCAGUACGUCGAAAAUUGACAUUGUGAUUAUUUUAAUUUUUUUUUUUUUGGUUCUUUUGGUUAUAGUAUAGGUAUAGUGAAUUGACUUUCGAUUUAUUUGGGUUCGCAAAAGGCAGAGAAAGACGAUCUAUAGAAUUGCAUUUGUUGUGUAAGAAGAGCUAUAUUUGCACUGAUUCAGUAUGUCUACCUUGAGAACUUUUUUGUGUUCUUUUUGUUAUAGUAGAGGUAUAGUGAACUGGUUUUCGAUUUAUUUGGCUUCGCAAAAGGCAGAGAAAGACGAUCUAUAGAAUUGCAUUUGUUGUUUAAGAAGAGCUAUACUUGCACUGAUUCAGUAUGUCUACCUUGAGAACUUUUUUGUGUUCUUUUUGUUAUAGUAGAGGUAUAGUGAACUGGCUUUUGAUUCAUUUGGUUCUGCAAAAGGCAGAAAAAGAUGAUCUGUUGUGUAAGAAGAAGGAUAUUUAUGCUGAUUCAGUACGUUGACAUUGAGUUUCUUUUUUUGUUUGUUUGUUUAUUAUAGUAUAGGUACAGUGAAUUGACUUUCUAUUUAUUUAGCCUUGUAAAAGGAGAAAAUAGACGAUCAUAGAAUUGCAUUUUGUUGUGUAUGAAGAAGGAUAUUUAUACUGAUUCAGUAAGGCGAGAUUGAGAUUUUUUUGUGUUGUUUUAUUAUAGUAGAGGUAUAUUGAAUUGGCUUUUGAGUCAUUUUGGUUCUGGAAAAGGCGAGCUGUAGAAUUGCAUUUAUUGUAUAAGAAGAAGGAUAUUUAUACUGCUGAUUCAGUACGUCUACAUUGGGGAUCUCACACUGAUGUGGACAGUGAUUAGGAGUUGUACCUUUAAGAAUAACUGAGAUCAUGACAUUGAGAAUUUUUUAUUUUAAAUUUUUGGUUGUAGUAUAGGUAUAGUGAAUUGGCUUUCAAUUUAUUUUGGCUCUGCAAACGGAAAAAAAGACAUCUAUAGAAUUGCAUUUUGUUGUGUAAGAAGAAGGAUAUUUGUACUGAUUCAUUACGUCGACAUUGGGGAUCUCACACUGAUGUGGACAGUGAUUAGGAGUUGUACCUUGAAGAAGAACUGAUAUCACGACAUUGAGAAUUCGUUUUCUUUUUAACAACAACAACAACAAACCCAGUAAAUUCCCACAUAGUGGGGUCUGGGGAGGGUAGAAUGUACGCAAUCCAUACCACUACCUCCGAAGGAGUAGAAGAGAGGUUGUUUCCGAUGUUUUCUUUUUAAAGGAAGCAUUAUUUAAAUUGAGUUAGAAGCAUUAUUUAAAUUGAGUUAGACUUAGUUUGUGAUGUGUUCUUUUGUUACUAUAGGUAUAGUGAAAUUGCUUUCAAGUCAUUUGUCUCUGCAAAAAACAGAAAAGACGAUAUGUAGAAUUGCAUUUUUUGUGUAUGAAGAAGGAUAUUUAUAUUGAUUCAGUACGGCGACAUUGAGAAUUUGUUUUUUUCCUGUUUCUUGGAAGCAUUAUUUAAUUAGAGUUGGACUUAGUUUGAUGUGUUCUUUUGUGAUACUAUAGGUAUAGUGAAUUCGCUUUUGAUUGAGCUGGCUCUGCAGAAAGCAGAAAAAGGCGACCUGUAGAAUUGCAUUUGUUGUGUAAGAAGAACGAUAUUUAUACUGAUCCAGUACGUCAACAUUGAGAAUUUUUUUUCUCUGGAAGCAUUAUUUGUUAUUUAACUGGAGUUUGACUUAGUUUGUGAUGUGUGCUUUUGUUAUACUAUAGGUAUAGUGAAUUGGCUUUCAAUUGAUUUGACUUUGCAAAAGCAGAAAAGACGAUCUGUAGAAUUGCAUUUUGUUAUGUAAGAAGAAGGAUAUUUACGCUGAUUCAGUACGUCUGUCUGUCUGGGGAGGAUCUCACACUGAUGUGGACAGUGAUUAGGAGUUGUACCUUGAAGAAGAACGUUUACGUUGUGGAGAGUUGUGGAGUAUAGUGAAUGAAAGGGUUUUCAGAAGGAAGAAAGAGAUGAUUGUUUUUGCUAUUGUGUGGUUGGAGGAACAAUGACUGGGUGGUCAUUGGGUCUUCGGACAGGAAGCGAUGGAUCGUUGCAGCAAUUGGCACAAAAUGGAGUUUACCACUCUCAGAAUUCGUUUUUCUCGCGUAAAGGUUCAAAGACAUCACUUUCUGGUUUCAGGGAAAAGGAAAAAUGGCUUCCCUCUAUUUGCAGGUUUUUGGUACGAAAGCAGGUUGGAAUGCUGAUUUUGGUUGUAUUUGCACUCUUGGCUUUUGUUGUAGGAUUUUCCAUGGUUAAUAAAGGUCCGUUUCCUGAAGUCUUUUUGGUUUCUUUCUUGUGGAAUAUCAUCUAGAAUAGGGAUCUAUUUAUGUUUAAACUUUAGUAGCUUUAUUAUCCUGAGUGGGUUGCGAGCAGGGCUGGCUGUCACACCUUUUCUUAGCAGGACCAAAUGCAUAUUGUGGAUAGAUGAAGGAAGCGGCCAAUAAAAAUGAAAAUGUUUGUUUUAAGUUUAAGCACACCUGGGCAAGAUACAUAGGAUGCAGUCCACUGAGAAAUGAAUUAGAGUCACAAGUUUGAGUAAUUGCAAGGAGUAGAAUAAAGUCUAUGUCAUUUUCUAGACUGUAUUAUGGGAGCAGUGGAGUUUUACUAUUGUUGGCUUCUGGUGUUGUAACGUCUAAUAUAUUGAAGAGAAGCGUGACGGUUUGUUCUUAAUCACCAUCUCUAUUGGCGUAACCUAAUAUCAAUGUGAAAUUUAGUGAAAUAAUAAAACAAAUAUGGAACGACAUGGAUAACUAGUUCUUACAAUUUAUGUAGUUAAAUUAGAGCGUCUUCUGUAAGGGUUCCUAUUUGGAAGUGUGAAGCUAAAAGCUCUUCACCUGUUAAUGGGAGUACUGAUUUGAUAAUAAAUUUAAAAAAAUGAUAUAUUUAGUUUCCUUCAAGUGUUGGGUGGCAGCGAAGGAAGUAGGUAUUUAUCCCUUGUUGAGCUGUGAAAUGCGCCAAGUAUGUCUCACUACUGCAGUCAUAGAUUUACAGUGAAUUGUUAGUUGACUCUUACUUCGUCUUUUCUUUUUUGAGAAAUGGUAACGUUACUCUUUGUCUUUCUUCUUUCGAGCAUCGUUGGAGUAUCGAUCUAUUUCAUGUCUAAAAAAGAGAAAAAGAAUGUACGGUAGGUGUGGUGCUUGCCUUAUUUUUUGUCAGAAGUGGCGAAGGCAUCAUCAGCUAUAUGCUGUAUUUUAUUUAGUAUAGAAGUUACUUUUGUAGUUUGUUAUGUGAUGGAUUUCCUGAUUUUUCAUACAAGAUUUUUGCCAUUAUCAGAUGAUGCAUCUAGGGAUUCCAAAUUGGACUUCAAGGAGAGGUUCGAAAACAACACAUAUCAUGUAUCUGCAUUAUUAACCAGGAAGGUUAUGGUAUGCGGUGAGAAUAAGGCCCAGCUGCCUCCUCCCCAUGCUUUGGCUAUGAUACAGGCUAAAGAUUUCACUGCUUUUCCCCAUCCUUGUCAAAAUUUUGCAUUUCCCCCUCCUCCACCUGGUGAUAGUAGGCGAAUUGGGCCUCGGCGUAAGUUUAAAAUUCACUUGUUUCCAACCUGAUCUUAUUUCUUAGCUUCACAAAUUUGUAUUCUAGCCUUUCCUUUGAUCAGCACUUCACAUAAGUAAUGUAAUCUUGUUUAUACUCUCAUUUUCGUUCAGCAUGUCGUGUAUGCUACGUUCCUGUGGAGCAAGCAAUAGCUCGUAUGCCUAGAGUUCCGUCAGCUUCACCGGGGCUUCAGCAUUUAACUUAUUUCCACGAGCAAAUUCCCAUCAAGACUGAACCUCACGGGGGUUCUGCAUUUGGUGGGUACCCUUCUUUGGUGGAGAGGAACAUGUCUUUUGACAUAAAAGAGUCAAUGACGGUACAUUGCGGGUAAGUUGCACUUGUCAUCUUGACACAGUCACUUGUUUAUUGUUGUUGGCUUUAGUGUUUUGUUCUCCUUCCAGAGUGAGUAUUUGCUCUUUGUUCCAUUCCUAAUAUAUUUGGAUCAGAUUUGUCAAAGGUUGUAGACCUGGUGAUCGGACGGGGUUUGACAUCGAUGCGGCUGAUCUAAAGAAGAUGGAGAAAUAUCAUGACAUCAUUGUUGCAUCAGCCAUAUUUGGUACUCUAUAGCCAUGCUUCAUAUUUUCAUCUAUGUAAUAUGUAGAAUAUUAAUUUUCUUUAGUAAAUCUAAGAAUUAUAAGAUGAAAGAGGAUCAGAAAAUGUAGCCAAUAUCGAAACCACAAGAAUUUUCAUCUAUCUAUAGCACUUUUUUUUUUAAGACAAGGCAAUUAACAUCUAUCUAUAGCACUGUGAACCUCAUAAGCAUAGAGAAAUACUGAUAUGGCUGAAGAUGGUGUCAUAUUGGUGUCAUAUUUUAGGUUUUAGAGAUAUCUUGCUAGAUAUUCAGUUAUGUAGUACAUUGAUGCGUGAGAGAUAAUCAGGCACUUAUUAGUUGGCACCCAGCAAUAUUAUCUGCUCCAUUUUUAAGAAACAAGUUUGUUGCUUGCACCGCUUAUUUUGAUUUUUUCAAAAUCCAAUAUUGGGUAAGCAAAAUUUUCAUAGGUGUAUACAGUUACCAAUUUCAAAAAAAUUUCAUAGGUGUAUAUCAUCCUCUCCAUCCUAAUUGUGCAUAACACUGUCAUUAGCAAAGAUUUUAAAAAGUCUGAUUUGGUUAUCUGAAUAUUCCAGAGACAAUCAAAAGAUAAUACAUGAAUAAUAGGUAAAGUAGUAUUUUUAUAUAUAAGUUGAACAAUUUUUUUAUUUUUUUUUGUGAAUUAGAGAAAAAAAGUGUUCAUUUGGUGUUGGUUACAAUUAAUUAGCUUAACUAAAAUGGAUAGGGGGCAAUGUUUAUCUUUUUUCCAGCACUAAAAGAGUUUUGUUUUGUUUUUAAUUGGCGUUUCAAUUAUAGAUUUUAUUUGUCUAUCUUAUGUAUGCGCCUUGAAAUGGAUACAAUGUCUAAUACUCAUGGAAUUGGAAAUGCUUUUCUGAAAUAGUUUUGGAUUGGAUUAGAUAACGUUGCCUUUGAGACUUGAUAUUUAUCUCUUGUGGCUUCUCUAGAAGUUGGAGAAUUAGUAUUGUGGCGUUUGUAUCAGGCCGCAAUGUGAUUAUUUUUCCUUUACCUCUAUCUGCAUGAAUGCUCUACAGGAAAUUAUGAUGUAAUUCAACAGCCAAAGAACUCGGGUAAAAUUGCUCAAGAAAAUGUUCCCUUUUAUAUGUUUGUUGAUGAAGAGACAGAAGCAUCCUUGAAGAAUUCUAGCCUCUUGGAUAGCAGAAAUAGGGUUGGUUUAUGGAGGAUUAUUCUUGUUCGCAAUGUGCCUUAUUCUGAUGCGAGACGCAAUGGGAAGGUUUGUUCUCCUAGUUUUCUUCGAUAUCCUCCUAUCUUAAUUGAAGUUCCUUUCAAAUAUUAAACUUGAUCUCUAAUCUGCUUUCUUCAAACGGUUGAGGUUUUGCGAGUGCUUGAUGUUGCAUUUGUAUGAAAAGGCCCUACCUUCUGAGCAUGCUGUUUGUAGGAAACCAGGGAAAAAAAAAAGAAAAGCAAUGAACUUGCAUAGUUAUAUACACCCUUGCCUUUUAGUAAUAUUAAGUAUCUAUUGUGGCAGUUUGUAGUAUAGCACUAUAAUCACUGUUAAGUUAGUCUUUUACACCUCUCAUUGGAAAUGAUUGUUAGCCGAUUGAGGGAUCCUAUCUUUUGAUUCAUGCCAUAUUGCCAUAAUAGUUGAGACUUUGGUUUUUUGACAACCAACAAAUCCCCGAGGGUUAGUGGCGCACAAUUAGAAACUCGGUAGCUAAUGGGCCCACUCCUCUACCCUGCUCCACUUAAAUACCAUGCUUUUUGUCUACAACAUAGUUUGAACCCGUGACAUGUGCCUAAACUGCUUAUCACUUGCUGCACUCUUACCACUAAACCUAAGCCCUGUGGCAAUGUAAUAACUAAACUUUUCUUCACAAAUGGUGAUGACAACAGACCAACACUCCAAGAGGUAAUAGAAUAUAUGCAAUGUCUUUUUUUCUUCUACUGGUAUAGAGGAUAUGUUAUCAUUCAUCUGACAUCAAUGUGAAUUGACUUCAUUAUAUUUAUCUUUCAUGGAGUAUAGUUUCAUUAACUCUUUCAUGUUAAAAGUGUGGAUUAGAAGUAGAACAAGUGCAUAUGAUUUGCUUGAAAGAGAUGUAUUUGUGGCAGGUACCUAAGCUCCUACUGCAUAGGCUCUUCCCUAAUGUCCGCUAUUCUAUUUGGAUAGAUGGAAAGCUUCAGCUCGUUGUGGAUCCCUACCAGAUUCUCGAGAGGUACAUUUGGUUUACUGUCUCUUGUGUCCUUGGAUGCCACUUGGAAUACCUUGUGUUUGGCUAGAUGCUACAACUAAGUUUUAGCAAUGGCCAAUUAUUGGUGAUAAAGGGAAAAGGUUUUUAAUAAUGGCUAGCUACUGUACAUGGUUUUGAUUUGGUAAUAGGUCUAAUUCAUUUUCGUUUAAGCUUCCUAAUAAUAAUUUUCAUCUUUUAUGCACAUCAGUUUUUGCUACUCAUUUGAUAGUACUAGUGGUAAGCUGUUAGCUGUGGGGUGAAGCUGAUAUUUCCUGGGUUAUGACUGGGGUUGGAGGCUUGAAGCCGAUGAAGGUCUGGAUCAUCUAAAACCAGAUUGUUGUUGCUGACUUUUUACUUAAAAUUUCCUCGUUUUCCCAUACAUACUCAAAAAUGUUAAUGUCUGUGCAGUAAUUAUCAUUAAUGAGGUUGCUUUUCCAAAGGAGAAAAAGGAACGAUAAGAUACAUACAAGAAAAGAUAAUAUACAUACUUGUAUCUGCUCAGUUUAGGUAUUGAUCAAAUGAUUAUAGUAGUGGAAGUAUUGAUCGAUGAACGGUCAAUGUCCAUAAUGCAUUAUGGUCUCCAUUUCUAUUUGUGGGUCGGACCUUGAAUGUGUUCUUGUAUGGGUACUAUUGGUAAGAAUUUAUUAGGCAGGAUAGUGCCAGCCCUUAGGGUUUUCCCAUGAUGCCACCCCUUAGACAAUGGCCAAUGAGUUUUCAUCUUUUUCUCCAGUUGCUGUAUAAUUUCUUUUCGACAUGGUCAUAUUCUAUUUGUUGUAGUGGCGUGUAUGGCAGCCUAACAAGUGAUUCAUUCUCUUAGUUGGUUUAUACCUUUAGUUGUGAGUCUCACGUCUACUUCAACUUUAUGAGUUUCUUCUUUCCUAUUCCAUUAUCUCAGAUUCUUGUGGCGCCAGAAUGCUACUUUUGCUAUUUCAAGACAUUAUAGACGGUUUGAUGUCUUUGAAGAAGCUGAAGCUAAUAAAGCUGCAGGGAAGUACGAUAAUGUAUCCAUUGACCACCAAAUUGACUUCUAUAAGAAAGAAGGUUUAACUGCAUAUUCGGAGGCUAAGCUUCCUAUUACUAGUGGUGGGUGUGAUUUACACCUAGUGUUCAUUUGCCCACUCACUCUUAAAAUUUACUUAGCUCAUUAAACUUUUUGCAGAUGUUCCUGAAGGAUGUGUUAUUAUGAAGGAGCAUAUUCCCAUCACAAAUCUCUUCACCUGUCUGUGGUUCAAUGAAGUCGAUCGUUUUACCUCAAGGGACCAAUUGAGCUUUUCCACUGUUAGGGACAAAUUGAUGGCAAAAGUUAGCUGGAACGUCAACAUGUUUUUGGAUUGUGAGAGACGGAAUUUUGUAAUACAGGUAUCCAUCCACAAAAGAAAACAUCCGUUAUUCCAUCCAAAACCUAUUUUUUGCCAAGACACUAGUCGUGCAUGUCUCCACUGUUUAUGGUCAGCCAGUUAUUUGCCUUAAUUUUCGCUGUUCAGUACAUACGAUACUUUCUCAUAGUAUAAGAGUGUAUACCAAAUCUAUGCAGGCAUACCAUAGAGAUUUACUGGAGCAGAGGGCUCACAUGACAGUUUUGAGAAGUCAUCCUCCACCCGCUUUGGUUCGUGAUAAAUCUGUUCGUGAUAGUUCUACUAGUAAAUCUCCAGUAAGGAGACCUCCAAAGCACGGAAAAGGUGAAAGGAAGUCUAAUUCAAGGCGACAUCGGAGAGGUGGGUCUGGGAAUAGGGGAAGCAGUACAACAAUUUGAUUUUCUUUCCCUCCCUCCCUCCCUACCUUUUGCUCCCCUUCCCUUUUUGGGCUGCAAAAAGAAAAGAAACUAUUUUUUCAACGAAUUUGUUCCUCACUAUUCAGCAAAAGGUUAGGACAAUUUUGAUAUAGGUACUUACUUGUCCAAUGGGAGAAGAAAGAAAUUAGUUUUGCUUUUGUUUGAGGUUGUGAAUAUCAAUUCAAUUGUAGAUAUCACUAAUUGAAAUAACAGGCUGUUCACUUUCUUGUUUUGUAGAUGUCAUAUUUUCUGCUAGUAAUAAUAGCACUAAAACAUUGUUAUAUAUGCUACAAGCAAAUGAAUGAUGGUGCAUAAGGGAAUGAGACACUGACAAUCAUAUUGCACCACUUUGGACAUGAUUUUAUCCUAACUAAUCCUGGGAUUAAUUUUAGUGUUGCAUAAGUACGUGUGACAAUAAACCCUUGUGAUCCGGUCUUUUUUCAGGUUUCAUGCAUAGCAUAAGUUUUAGUGCUCUGAACAUCCCUAAUUAGAUGAAGCACUAGGUUAUAUCCUUGAGAAAUGGGACUUGAACUAUCUCCUUUAUAUUUUUUUUCUUGCCUUUGAAUAAAGAAGGAAAAAGGAAGAAAAAGAAUAAAGGUAGAUGGGAUUAAUUCAUUUAGUCAAAUUUGAGGUGGAUUCCCCUUUUAGUUGUGGGACAAGUUUUUUGGUACUUCAAACAAACUCAAUUUCAAGAAAAAAGUAAACAAACGUAUGUAACACAGUAAUUGGUUUCAUUGAAGUACAAGCAACUAAUGGAACUAAAUAAUCAAGGCGAUGCAGCUUUCCAUGAAAGAUGUCAAUGUUCACACUUUAUCUUGGCACAACUCUUGGAAUGCAACUUAUAAAUAGCGCAUGCGAAAAUCACAUUUGAGAAGAGUAAUUUACAAGCAAAAUUUAAAAACCAUAUUAAAUCACAUUGAAUGAUUUAAGUAGGGGUAAACAAAAGUAAAAUUUACAAACAACAUUUCAGAACCACAAUAAAUUGNNNNNNNNNNNNNCCCCCCCACCACCACCCACACAAAAGAGAGAGAGAGAGAGAAGCAAGGGGGGGAGUUCGUCUAGUUGGAAACUUUAGGGGCUGCUUUGACACUUUAUAGAAAAGUCUACACCAAUAAAAGCAGCCAUUGUUGGAAAUGGUAGUUAAGAAUUUGUCCGCAUAAAUAAACCUCUCAAAAACCCUGAGUUGCCGAGAAGAAGAAAAACGAACCAAAGGUACGCAAAAAAAUUCUCAAAUUAACAUGGUUUUUUACAAUUAAAGAAUUUUUAUUAGAAAUUUUCGUUCUUUUUUUUUUGUGUGUGUGUUUUGGAUUCUUAUAUAAGUUGCUUUGUGUCAAUUGAAAUACUUAGAAUUUCUCAAUUCAGAUAAUUUUAUGUGAUAAACUAAAGGUGUGUGAAGAGUUAAUGUUCAAUAACCCACCUAAGCGUAGCCCCAAUUUUUUGAGUUUGAUAGGUGAAUUAUGAGGUGUGCAAGAAUUUGACCACUGCAAGUUGACCUUCUUCUGAGUCAAUCUGGACAUAGGGGAUGCAAUAGAUGAGAAUUCUUCAACAAACCAUUUGUAAUAGCCAUCCGAACCAAAGAAACUUCUAAUAUCUGAUGGAGAGAUAGGUCCAGGCCAGUUUCACACUGCUUUGGUCUUUUAGGGAUCAACUGUAAUGCCAUCACUGGAAACUAUAUGGCAGAGAAAAGCUAUUGAUCUUAGCCAAAAUUUACACUUACUAAAUUUAGAGAACAACUGAUGGUUUGAGUUUUCUACCUAAACUAUCACCAACUGUUUAUCAAAAUAUACUUCAAUUAUUAAUUGUUUGAGUUUCCUACAUUGAACUUUUAGGUAGGAAAACAAUUAAUAGUUUAGGUGUGUUUUGAUAAAUAGUUGGUUAUAGUUCAGCUUAUAGUAAGGUAUGGAGGAUGCGAAUUGAGUUAGAGGUGCGUGUGGGUAUGUCGUAGCCAGUAGAUAUGAGUGCUUUGGUGUAGCCUUGCUAGUAGUAUUAGGGCUUUGCACAUAGAGUUUCUAGUUAGGAGGGUUUGGGUGAUGUGUGUGCUUUGGUGUGUUUUUGGUUAUGUUAUUUCAUCUUGUUUCGUGUUUUAUUACGACUUUGUUUACCGUCUUCUUGUCUUGAGCCGGUGGACCUAUCGGAAACAACCUCUCUACUUCUUUGGAGAUUGUGGUAUGGAUUUUGCAUAGUUACCCUCCCCAGACCCCACUAUGUGGAAAUACAUUGGGCAUGUUGUUGUUGUUGUUAGUUGGUGAUAGUUCAGGUAGGAAACUCAUACGUCUGAUAAUUUAUGUAUUUAAUUUAAAAAAUCGGGAUUUUUUAGGUGUAUUUUUGAGGUAGUGGUAUAGAGUGCAUGUAGUUAUCCUCCUCAGACCCCACUGGGAAUAUACUAGGUAUGUUGUUGUUGUUGUUUUAGGUGUAUUUUCAACCAUUAACUCUCUGUGUUGCUUAUGGGAUUUUACCUGUUUGCUUUGGUUAAUGAUAAUUAAUUGAUUAUAGAAGAUAUAAAUCUGGAAUUUGCAUUGCAUUCUUGACAAGUUUUUCAUAUCUUAUGUCGAACAAUUUAGCUUGUGUUCUCCUGUUUAGUUAUGUCAAUGAUAAAUCCCACCUCAAAGGUGAGUGGAUUUGUCUACUUUGAUCCAGUGCCUUGAACCCACAACCUCGCAGUUGGAUGUAGAGGGUAGUACUAGUACCGAGCACAGGUUAUCGCUUUGUACCUCACACCACCAACCUUAUGUUGAUAUAUACUCUUUUAUUUUAAAAAAGGGCAGUCCGGUGCACUAAAGUUUUCGCUAUGUGCAGGGUCCAUGGAAGGGCCCCACCACAAGGGUGUAUUGUACGCAGUCUUACCUUACAUUUCUGCCAGGCGCUGUUUCCAAGGCUUGAAUCUGUGAACUCCUGGUCAUAUGACAACAAUUUUACCAAUUACUUUGAGGCUCCCCUUUUAUUUAUGUAGUUGCUAAAAUUCUAGAUCUUUUCAUAGCGAAGUUCUUUGUGCCGGGCAGAUUAUUGGAUUUGACAAAGUUAUAAUUUGAAGGCUGUUAGUACUUCAGAAUUUAGAUAGUUACGAUUGCAUACUGCAUUGCUGGAAAAGAAAGGUGACUGAACAAGAAGUCCCUGAUAACUUGGAACAUUAUAUCACACGUUAUCUAGUAGAUUAUUUGGCUGGAAAGAACGAGUUUUUCAAGGCAAAAAGACCGUACAUACUUGGCCGUAAACACGGAUGUAUUGCUUUACUAGCUUUCUUGGUGCAACUUGUCUCUUGUAAAUAACAAUGUACAUGCAUUACUAGGCACGAUAGAGGAUUUGCGCAACCUGUAAUUUCUUUUCGUUGUACUGCUCAGAACAUGUUUACCAUCUGAAAUAUUUUUCAUCGUAGUUUGUCAUUUGGAAGGUUUGUUCUAUUAAAACGCUUUAGAUGCUACCUCUCCGAUGGUAGUGGUAUGGACUGCGUACAUUGACCCCACUGUGUGGGAAUACACUGGGUUUGUUGUUGUUGUAUUUAAAUGCUUUGGUGUUUGUAAAUCUUUUGUCCAUCUGUUGUGUGAUUUGCGAGUAAUGCUAAUCUGAUAGCCAUCAACAAUAAUUUGCCUCUUUCCAGCCUUCUUUGAGAAUGGGGGGUGGAUUAUCAAAGGAGGGCACUUCAACAACCAUAUCUUCGUCGCAGUUGGGGGAUGGACUAUCAAAGGAGAGCACUUCAACAGCUACAUCUUCGUCACAACUUCCAAACGAUGAGAAGUCAGUUCCCACUAUGGUCUCUGCAGAUUCAAAGCCAAAGAAGAAGAUUUGUUGUGCGUGCCCAGAGACUAAGAAGGUGAGGGAUGAAUGCAUUGUGGAACACGGUGAAUCAGCUUGUCAGAAAUGGAUCGAGGCUCAUCUUAAAUGCCUUCGAGCUGAAGGAUUCAGCGUCUGAAAUAGUUUACAGAACUAAUUCUUCAAAAAAGAAGAAAGCUGAUACACUUGGUAUGUGGUGUUAUGCGAAAAUUAAUUAGCUUAGUUCUCACAUUAUAUUUAUACAAAACCUUUUUUUCUGGGACAGGAAAUAGAGCGAAUGGUUUUGCUUUUGUUAUUUUUCUUUUGAGAAUUGGAAUCAAUGUUGUUAUACGGAGGUUUAACUUGUAUUUCUUAUGAUCUUUCACAUAUUUAUACUCUAGAUUUAAGAAAUUUUAUUCAGUUUCUUUUUUCAUCUGCUUUUAUACAUGGCUUAAAGAAUGCAGAAAGAGUUUGGCUGGGAUAUUUAAAUCACUGUAGAACAGUUUCUAUGCCUUCUUCCCUACCAAAGGGGCAACCCGGUGCAUUAAAGCUCGCGCUAUGCGUAGAGUCUGACUCUAUUGUAUGCAGUCUUACCUUACAUUACAGGAGUUAUUUCCAAGGCUUGGACCGCGACCUUCUUCACCAAAUCUCCCAUUGCCCCCCGCCCCACUCUCCCUCUUCUCCCCUUCCAAUGCAAUUUUUUUUUCUUCCACUUAAGCGGCUUGAAAUAAAUUUGUAAUGUGAGAAGAAGACUAGAAGUGGUUAGUCUCCAUCAUCCAAUAAAGAUGUCGGAUUUGAACUCUUGAGAAUGGAAUAGUGUUUGAUAAAAUGUUUUAAUCUAAAAGUGAAACUUGACAUGAAUUUAAUUUAAUCAAGCUCUAUUACCAUUUUUAUUGUGAUCUAAUCAGUUAUUUAAAAUUAUUUCUUUUUUAAAUGAGUAAAAAUUAUUUUGAGUCUUGGAAAUCAAUUCUCGUGUUAAGAGUUAGAGAACUUACAUGAUAACUCUUGUAAAAGAACAACGACAUAAUUUUCAUGAUUGAAAUUUGAAAAAGACGACGACAUAAUUUUCAUGAUUGAAAUUUGAAAAAGAUAAUGCAUAUAUAAAUUUUAUCUCUAUCCAGACUUUUGGCUCGAGGAAAAUAUAUAAGCAUAAUACGUAAACAGAACCUUCAACUUGACGAUAAAUUAUAAUUAUGCCCUUUAACUUUACUAGUAAAUAAGUAGGUCCUUUAACUAUAUAAAAGUUAAAUAAAAAAACACUUUAAUUCUGCAACUUAUAUGUGUGAAAUUCAUUCGUUCCUACGUGGAUUAGUAAUCCACUCAGAUGUUACUACCUAAUAAAAAAGACACAAUAUAACUAUAACCUUUAACUUUGUCAGUGCACAAGUAAAUCCUUUAACUAUACAAAAGCUGGAAAAAAAAAACUUCAAUUCUAAUUUUGAUGCACGUGAUUUUGAGUGUAUACACGCAUUUUGCUAGGUUGGAUUGAAGUGUUUAUUUGUUCAAUUUUUAUAUAAUUAAAGGGCCUAUUUGUGUAGUGAUAAAGUUAAAAUAUCAUAUUUAUAAUUUGAUUUCAUGCUAAAUAUGCUGUUUACGUAUUAUGCCAAAUAUAUACUAUAGUAAAAAUAAAUUCGAGCCUAAAAUUCCUUAUUUUAUGGGUCAAUAAUCCUUAUCUAGAACCCUCCAAAACCCUACUUCUCUUAAACCCUAUUAUAAAUUCCUUCCAUUUUCAUUCAUCAGUGCCCUAAACGACACUAUUUCCAUCUUGUUCCAAACAUGGCCGCCGUAUCUAGACUUCAAAGCUUAACAAACAAAGCUUCACUCCGUAAUCUCAUUCGCCGCCAUCUCUUCCGCCCUUCCGCCGCCGCUGAACAUCAUCUCAACAUCUCCCCUGGGUCUCAACCAGCACAUUUUUCAAAUGCUGAUAAUGAAGCUCUUUUGAAUUGGAAGUGGAACUUACCUAUGGGUGCUGUAGUCUUCGGUUUGCCUGUAUUUGAUUUUUCUGUGAUGGAGCUACGUGCCGCACGUUCGACUAGUAGUAGUAAGAAGCGUCCUGUUGAUUCUGACGAUGAUGAUGAUGAUGAUGAUGAUGAUGAUGAUGAUGUGGAUGAUGAUAUUGAUGAUGUGUAUGGAAGUUCUGAUAAUGAUGAUGAUGACGACUAUGGUCGCCGUGGUGGUGGUGGUGGCAGAGGUGGUGGUUCUCGUGGUGGUGGUGCGUAUACCGUCUGAAAUUUGGACCAAGUCCCAAUUUGCAUUUUUUUUUUUUUGGUUAUAUGUUGGGGAUUGUCAGUUUUAUAUUUUGCUUUGCUUAGCAAUGAAAUUUGUUUGAUGUUUAGCUACGUGUGAUUAUUUCACAUUACAACAACAAAUCCAGUGUAUUCUCACUUAGUGGGGUUUGGGGUAAGAUUUACGCAGUUCAUAUCUCUGCCUCUGAUGAAGUAGAAAGGCUGUUUCUACUUAUAAUUAUACAUUUAUUCUUUGCUCUGAUGCCAUCCGAAAUUAGACCUUCUAAUUUAAUAAAGAGCUUACACAAAUCGUCCAAAUUAUGGUAGAGUUGGGUCCAUUUAUGAACUAAUUUUGAAUUAUCUUAUUUAAAACUGGGUUAAUUUUGGCUAACUUAAGCAUGGCAUCUUUGUAAUACUAUUGUAGCACAUCUUUCGGUGAUAAAUAACGACUAAAAUGCAGGGCAAGAUGCUAAUAUUUCAUUUUUGUUUUUUAAUAACAAACUUCUAAUAACUUAAAGGUGUAUCCAAACCAAAAACAACUCUUAAUAUGAAAUAGAGAAAGUAUAUAAUAAAAGAAAAAAGAAUAAUAAUUUAAUUUUAACUUCUUUUUUAAAAAUUAAUGACACAAGUUAGAGCAAACAACAUAUAAAUUUCAACUGUUUAGAGUUUAAUUAUUGAAAAUCUUGAUACUUUGCAUAAUUAUUGAAAAUUACAAUUCUGGGUUGUCGAGAUACAUCGUUUGUAAAGAUACAUAAUUACCUCUCGAAAUAAUUUUUUUUAUUUUGGAUCUAUCGAAAUAAAUAAUAUAUUUAAUGAAGAUAUACAUAAUUAACUCUCAAUACAUUUUUUUUUCGACUGUGGUUUGUCAGAAUACAUAACUAGCUCCUAAUAUAUUUUUUUUCGAUUGUGGUUUGUCAAAAUAUAUAACUAGCUCCUAAUACAUUCAACGAAGAUAAAUAAUAAGUUCAAAUGGAUAAAAAUUUGUGUAAAUAUAGUUAUUUAUGUAUGUUCAUGCUAUUAUUUCGUAUGUUCAUGUUAUUAUUUCAACUUAUAAUAAACUUUAGAGAAAAUACUCAAUUAUCC